AGACUAACAAAAUGAAGUGACAACAAGAAGUCAGUGUCCUUUGAUGGAUGCAUUUUUAGGCAGAAAUAGGUUUGUAAUUGACCAAAUUUGUCUGGCAUGCCAAUUUCAAAAAAAUUAAAUUAUGUGGUUAUUAGCUGUAAUGAAGGGGGAUUGUAGGUCCAAUCAGGUGGAUCCAUGAAAGUUCAACAAAGUUCUGGUAUGGCGUAGAAAUUGGUUUGUGGCAACUCAAGAGUCUUUCUGGUGAACGAUGAUGGGUUUGAUUUAUAAAUGUUAUAAAUCUACUGUGCAUAGUAUUCUAGUAGAAUCAUCUAUAAGUUCUAGUUAUUGAAAUUGUCUACCUUGUUCAGUUUGAGUUAAGGGCACAUGUAAUAUGAAAAAUAGUUGUUGCAUCUUUUAGGUUACCUAACAUUUGAUCAAUCCUAUUAUGAGGGCUUCAAGAUGUCUAACAAUAUGUGGAAUGCCCAUGCUCCUCCCCAUUGUUUAUCUUAUAUAAUAAUUUGUUUUAGAUGCUAAUAUCUUUGUCGAUACGGUAACAAUAUUACAAUAUCUGCGUUUAUUGGGUUUUACAUAGGUUCGACUGUUUGACAGUACACACUCUCUGAAGGCAUUUGGAAAUGGAAUGUAUGGAUUGCUGUUGGGUGGAGUAGUGAUGUUCUUCCUGCUGUCAAACGUAUGUCUAAUGUUGCAGUUGUUGUUCCCAGUCUGGUGCUAGCUUAUGGGCUGAUCUUUGGGUAUACCCAUGCCUGCCAUUCUACUUCAAUAUUCACAUUGUUAUCUCCUUCAUAUUAGUGAUCAGUAACACGAUAAUGUGACUAAUAAGUUCGUAUUCUCUUUAUAGGCAAUCCCUGCUGCCUCAAGACUGAAACAAAACAAAUUGGAGGCGAGUCAGAGGUGCAUUUCCAUUAAUCCAUCAAUGGAUAGAAUUCUGCUUGCAAACAGCGAGAGCAUUGCCUUUCAAGCAAGAGGUUAUCCCGAGCGCAUCUCCCUCUGCCCUUGAGAGUACUCUGGUUAAGUUGCCUGAAGAACUUUUGAAGGGUAAACCAAGUCUGGAUACUAACUUAAUUGCUGAGUACCCUGACGGAAAUUCUGGCCAGAUGUGAGUUUUUGGAGCCAUUAUCUGAAGCUACAUUGUCGGAUUAUGAGUGGCUGGUUGCUAAUCUGCAAAAAUCCACUCCUGUACUGAUCAACAAGAUGCAACAUUACAUGUCAUCAUUGAUCUUUAGCUAAAGGUACAUUGAAAAGUUAAUGGCACUGCAUACCAGUCAUUAUAAUUGGGUCAGGCAAUUGGGUCAGGGCAAUUGGGUCAGGGCAAUUAGGUCAGAGCAUAACUUCAUUAGGAAAAGAGGCUUCAGCUACGUUAAAUAUUACAGGAUGUACUGAUGGCUGAAGUUGUUGACGUUGUACGAGAAACGAAAGAUGAGUGUUUGUUUUGAACAAAGUUGUUGCCAAUCUUGCAGAGUUCGAGAAGAAAGAUCACGAAGCAAAUGCCACCGAUUUCUUCAUCACUGUAGCCUCCAUAGUUGAAGUUUCCUCAUUUGAAGCUGUUUAUGCAUAUGCUUUUUCCCUUCUCAAGUACAGGAAAUUGAAGAAUUAACCAGAUGUGAUAUGCUGAAAGAGGGAAGUUUCUCCCUUGAAUGUGGCCUUGUGAUUUGUCUUGAAGGAAUAGGAUGAUCACUGGCAAGAACCCUAUCAAGGUAGAUUUUAUGAUGUUAACAUAUUAUUAAGCAUUUUGUUACAUCAGCAAUGAUGCUUUCAUAGCAUGAAAGUGUUUAAAUUUAACUGAAUGAUCUUGAUUGAUCAAUUAUGAGUUUUAAUCGAGUAAAAACUAAAUACAAUAAUCGUUAACAAAUAUUGAAAUUGGGUAAAUAUGAUCUUGAUAUUGAUGAAUUUGAAAUCACAACCCACACAGGAAAUCACCCUGCGCGUGGGAUGGAAAUGUUUACUGCAGCGAUAUUGAAUAUGUCCACUGCUGGACUAAUUCUGAUUACCUAAUUGACUCAGGAUCGGCUGGCAAUAAUAACAGUUUAUUAACAAUGCACAGUCCGAGUACUUUUCCAGGAUCAGAUACGACGUGGUCUAAUGUUGAUAAUAAUAGAUUAUCAAAUGACAAAUCGUUGUUCUACUAUUGCAAGCCCCCAGAUUUAAGAAUCUUUUUCAGAAAUUAAAUACAUUCUGAGAGAUGCUGGUCUACUAUUGCAAGCCCCCAGGUUUAAGAAUCUUUUGACGGUAAUUUAUCACCUGUAACUGUGCCGGAAGAUUCAACUAGCACUGAAAAAGAUGAUAAAUUAAUUGAUAUGGAGAGUUUUCAUAUCACUUUUAAAUCAUCUUAUGUAAUUGUGAUGUUAGGAAGCAUUAGUGAUCUAUAUGUGAAUUAUUAUUGGCGCCAUUGGUGGUUUUAUCUUGUUAAAAUAUGGAUGACUUCCAGUUACUAUUUUGUUGCAGACAAUCUUCUUCAAUUAACAUAUGGUUUAAAAUCAUUAUGUAAAUCAAUCUAUUAAUUUUCAAGAUAUUUAACUGAGUUAAAACUAAGUGCACUCAAUAAAUCUCUUUUCCUUUAAAAAACUGUUACGCUUUAAUUUUAGUGCUUAAUAUUUAUUGAACUCCGAUACAGGGAAUUUGAAAUCAAACUCGUAACUACAUAUUAUCUAAUUGCAAGUUUCUAUCCAUAGCUGCUGAUUUGUAGUGAUUAUCUAAUUGACUGAGGUGACGACAAUUUUUUUUUUUUAAAUUUUCAAUAGCACAAUGUGGAAUUCAAUAAUUAAAUUCUCCUUUUUAAUUUGUUUCCAGUUAAAUUAUUAAUUACUUAAACUCUGUUUUAAGUCUUUAAGUUUAUGUGUUUAUGCAGAAUUGGAUUCUUGAGCGUGUUGGACACGACCAACAAUGAAAUUGACAGUAAAAAAACAAUACAACGUGUGGACUCCGGUAGAUGCCAUACAAGUCUACAACUUUACAAAUAAUAAUUGAGUAAGCAACUUUGAUUCUCGGGCCCUUCAAUGAAUUUCUAGCCCCGUUGACUCCGCCAACUAAAGUUUGUAAAAUAAAAAAAUACAUAGAAUUCCACUAAAUGCAAAACGCGUGGAAUUUAAUUUUCGGCCAUGUGGACCAAAACAUAAUUUAAUGAAAAAGGAAAAAAAUGAUAAGAUUUCUAAAAUAUGUGAAAGAUGAUCCAUAUUUUACUGAAACGACUUAUUAAAUUUUUCAAAGAUUUAGAAUAUUUAGUCAUAAAUUACGUGCAUGUUAAUUUUUCCGCCAUUGACUAUCAUAUUCUAAACUUAAUAGUACAUUUCUUGUUGAAGGGUACUUAGUCUCUCUUCUCCUCUUAUAAAAAUUAUAUUGAUGGAUUUCUUGUUAUAGUUAAUAGUCUUUAAGAACGGAUAACUUUAUUGUUUUCGUGACCAAAUUAUGUCCGCCUAAGGUUGUGACUAUUAAUAAAAUUAAUAUUUAAUGUUUAUGUUAAAAGAUAUAAGAUUUUAUGCGUUCAUUAAUUGUUAUUAGCUAAAGGAUGAAUUAUUUUUUCAACCCAAUCAGUUGAUGCAUCUGCAAGAGUUUUUUCUUUUAUUGACCAUAAUUAUGUUCCGGGUACAAUAAAUUGUCUUUGGUGCUUGGAAAAUAUGACUUCUUACUUCAAGUUUGAUAUGUCUCUCACCAUAAACUUACUGGAAAUAUAUCCUCAUCUACUGUCAUUUAUCUAAUAUCAAUUGAAGAUCUCACUUUUUCAAACUAUCACUUCCAAGUCUCAUUGUCACUUGGCCAUUCUUGGAUCAUUCAAAACCAAUCAAGUGUUGAAAUAAUCAAAUAUAUGCAAAAUUAGAGUCACGAUUUUUUGGUCCCCCAAAUUCUAAUUAUAUAACUUCUAUAUAUUUCAUUGCCAGGUCACGAACUUGUUGGCACAUUUUCCAAAUUCCUCUUCCAUCAGCUCUCACACGUUAACUUAAGUGGAAAGUUUCCAAGUUGAUUGCUAGAAAGCAACGCAAAAUCAGACACACUUGAUCUGUCCCCUAAUUCUCUUUUCUACGUUGAAAAAGAAAAAAAAAUAAAAUACAUAUAUAUAUAUAUAUAUAUAUAUCUAUGUAAAAAUAAAUAAUAAACUGAGUAAAAGUACAUUUGUUUAAUUAACAUCUGAUCGGGGCAUUUUUGGUGUAAGCCACAACUAAAAUCAAACAGCCCCUUAGCAUACUUCUUCCAUUUUAUCUGCUACUUUUGUGGAUCUUAUAGGGUGGGCAUGUGGACAGAAUUUAAAAGUUUUAAUAGGCUCAAAGAAGAAGAUGUGUUAAAUCUAAAGUUGUUGCACCUUCUGAUUAAAUAAAGUUGUACAAUUUCAUCAACUUGAAAGAAUUGACAUUAAUGAACUGGUCGCCUCUCCAUGUAUGAAGCCUUCUUAAAAGUUAAUUUUUAUUUCAGAAAAAAAAAAGUUUAAGUUACAUAUAUUACAGUAAGAUUUUUUGAGACCAAUUCCCUUCUUGAAAUAAUAAUAGAAAAGUAUUAAUUUAAAAAUAAAAUGAAUAUGUAUUGAUUAUAUCCUGAUUUUCAUCGAUUAUAGUUAGAGUUUCACCAAAUCAAUUCCCUUAUUCAAAUAAUACAGAAAAAAUAGUAAUUUAAUAGUAAAAUAAACAGGUGUUGAUUAUAUAUCCUAAGUUUCAUCGAUUAUGUGAUCAAAGUGGCAUUGUUGAUUUAUUUUUUGUUCAAUGUUAAUUUUUAGGUUAUAUAAAUUUCAAGGAUUUAAAAUCUUUGGCCAUGAAUUACACGCUUGUUAAUUUUCCUGCCAUUGACUGUCAUAUUCUAGACUUAAUGAUACCUUUCUUGAUCAAGGGUAAUUACUCUCUCUUCUCCUCUUAUAAAUUCCUCUUCCAUUAACAUCACUAGGAGUAUGUUGAUCUCUCAGACGUUAACUUGAGUGGAGAGUUUCCAAAUUGAUUGUUACAAAACAACACAAAAAGUAGACACACUUGAUCUGUCUAAUAAUUCUCUUUCGGUAAAAUUAAAUAAUUUUAGGGGAAUAUUCGGCCAACCUCUAUAAUUUCAGAGUGAUCAUUAAUUAAUUAAUCGAUACAAAUAUCUAAAGUGAUUAAAUGUGACUUGAAAUUUGAUCUCUAUCGAUUGGUUUACAAAUGGACGUACUUGUGCCUUUGUGGCGAUAAUCGAACAAGUACCCAUGAUUAUUAUUUUUUCCAAAAACUUUUUUACAACAAAUUCAUCUCGUCAAAAAUUCUAUGUUGCUAACUAACAAUAAUUGAGCACUUGGCCGCAUUGACUCCACGUCUUCACCUCUUUCUAAAUUCUAAGUAAAAACAUGGAAAUGUAAUUUCCACAAAAUGCCAAAUGUGUGGAAUUUAAUUUUUUGCCUUGUGGAUCAAAAUACAAAUGAAAGAAACAGAAGAAAAAAAAGGCCCAAAGACUUCUAAAAGAUGAAGAAGUCUUUGUGCCUUUUUAUAAUGGUGAAUUUUUUAAAAGAAAAAAAAUAACAACAUUUUUAUGGUUUGUUUUGAUAAUCAUAUUUACAUAUACUCUCUAAUUUUCAAAAUGGACACAUAAAUCUUUUUUUUUUACAAAAUAUAUAUUAUUCAUAUUUUUUUUUAUUUUUUUAUUAUCAUAUUUUUAUUUAUUAUAAAUGUUUAGAGCAAAUUUUUAGGUUGAAAUAUAAUAAAAAGGUAUAAUUGUUCUCUUAUUAAACACACAUACUUUUAUUAGUUUCUAUCCAUUUGUCAUCUCAAUCUCUCUCAAUUAUUCUUUAUUGCUAGCUCAAAACGCGUUGCUGUUGCAAAUUAUAGCAAAAUGACAAAUAUGGAAAAAAAGGGAAGAAAAUUAAUGCAUGAAAGACUUGGAGAAAACAACAAAAUAAGCCAACUAUGAGUUAGUUGGGUGUAUAAAUUGUUAGAUGUGUUAUAUACAAAUAGCGUAGAGCCCUCUAGUUGGUUCCAAAGACAGAAAGAGCGUGUGUGUUUUUUCACAGUUAGAGAUAUAGUUAGAAUGGGUGGUUCAAAAUCAAAAAUGAUGAUAAUGUUUAUUAUGUUAUUAAUAAUAUUUAAAAGUGGGUGGAGUGAGGGAUGUUUGGAUCACGAGAGAUUUGCUUUUUGAGACUCAAACAUUUCUUCAAUGAUCCUCUUAAUUCUCUUUACGACUGGGUAGAUGGUGAGGGAGCUACUGAUUGUUGUCAGUGGGAAAGGGUUGAGUGCAGCAACACCACAGGCCGAGUGAUAGCACUGGACCUUUCUUAUAUAUAUUCGGGAGAGUACAGCUGGUAUCUGAAUGCUUCUUUAUUUACUCCCUUCCAACAACUUGAGUCACUUGAUUUAACUCAAAACAAAAUAGCCGGAUGUGUUGAGAAUGAAGGUACUUUGUUUAAUUUAAUUAAUUUACUUUCUCCCCCCUAAUUUAAGUUGAAUAUCAAGACUGAGCAAUUAUACGCAUAUUCAUUUAGUCGACAAUUUUGACUUUUUUUUAAAUGAUUAAUUUUGAAAUUACACCAGUAUCUAUGAUCUUUUUUAUUUUAUUUUAUUUGCAGGUAUAGAGAGGCUAUCAAGAUUGAACAACUUGAAGAUGCUUAAUUUAAGUGGAAACUCAUUCAAUAAUAGCAUUUUAUCAUCUCUAACUCAUCUUUCAUCAUUAAGAUCAUUAAAUUUAUUGUGGAAUAGAUUGGAAGGAAGUAUUGACGUUAAAGGUACAUAAUUAAAACUUCAAGCUCUUUCAUUAACUUGCUAAAAUAAGAUUCAAGGCUUUGAAUUCAAUUUUUUUAUGAUUAAUAUUAAAAAAACAGUUUUAAGCAAUUUAUAAAAACAAGUUUUAAUGUUUCUUGUAAUUUCAUCUUGUACUUUCAUAUGUCUUGAAUUUAAGAUUAAAAAAAAAACUCUAAUAGCGAACCAAACACCUCCACAACUUCUUAUUAUUUGUGGUGAGGUUUGAAACAUUCAACUCAAUUUGUACUUAUUACAGAAUUUGAUUCUUUGAGAGAUUUAGAGGAGCUAGACAUUGGCGGGAACAAGAUUGACAAAUUUGUGGUCUCAAAAGGUACUACAAAUACCAUAAAAAAAUAUGCUAACUUUUACAAAUUAGUUAGAUUCUUUGCCAUUUGGUUUAUUAUUUUACAGGUUUGAGUAAGUUGAAGUCUCUCGGUUUAAGUGGUAUCAAACUCAAUCGUAGCAUCUUAUCUUCUCUGACUGUCUUUUCUUCGUUAAGAGAAUUACAUCUACGUGAUACGGGAUUCAAAGGAACAUUCGAUGUUCGAGGUAAGCCUAAGUCUUGCUUUCUCAUUUUAUAUAUGCCAACUAGAUUUGUGUAUCAUCGACAUAAUUUAAUAUUUAAUUUGAUAAGUUUGAAUGAAUUACAUGCUAAUUUAAACACACUUUUAUUUACUUUGUCAAUUAAUUAAUUAAUUAAUUAAUACUAUUUGGCUUGGUUUGGACGAAAUUCUCAUGAUGUUUUAAUUUCUUUAAAUUAAUUAAUUAAUUAACUCUGUUUUUAAGUCUUAAGUCUGGGCGUGUUUGCAGAAUUUGAUUCCUUUAACGACUUAGAAGUGUUGGAUAUGAGAUACAAUGAAAUCGACAAUCUUGUGGUUCCUCAAGGUAAACAAUUAAAAGGUACAGAUGUGGCCAAAUUUAUAAAUAAAUUGUUAAUUAAUUAAUUUUUUCGUAUUAUUAAUAAAGCUAAAUUCGUUGCUCCUUCCUUCUAAUUCUAAACAGAGUUGCACAAUUUCACCAACUUGGAAUAUUUGACAUUGGAAUCUUCCUCUCUCCAUAUAAGCCUUCUGCAAAGCAUUGCAUCAAUAUUCCCUUCGUUAAAAAAUCUGUCGAUGUCUUUUUGUGAAGUCAAUGGUGUCGUACGCGGUCAAGGUAAAAGAAAAGCGUUGAUUGUGAACUCACUCAAUGGUGUCCUACGUGUUCAACAUUUUUAUUUAUUUUAUUGUUUAAUGUUUCUGCUAGGUUUUCCUCAUUUCAAGAGUUUGGAACAUUUUGACAUGAGGUUCGCGCGCAUUGCGCUCAACACCAGCUUUCUUCAAAUCAUCGGUGAAUCGAUGCCCUCUCUUAAGUACUUAUUACUGUCAUAUUCUACUCUUGGCACUAACAGCAGCAGGAUUCUUCAUCAAGGUUAAUGAGAUGCUGCCACCCUCCCCUCUUAACCUAUAAUAUUAAUUUUCGAUUAAAUAUUUAAUUACACAAACCAAUCACUUAUUAUAAAAGAACAAUACGCAUUCAUUAAUUUUUAUAUUGUAUUAAUAAUUGAUGAAUUUAAUAAAUUUUCAGGCCUCUGUUCGUUGGUGCACCUGCAAGAGUUGUACAUUGAUAAUAAUGAUUUAAGAGGUAGCUUGCCUUGGUGCUUGGCAAAUAUGACAUCCCUCCGAAUAUUAGAUGUUUCUUCCAAUCAACUUACGGGAAGCAUCUCCUCAUCUCCCCUCGUUCAUUUGACAUCCAUUGAAAAGUUGGAUCUUUCAAACAAUCACUUUUGGAUCCCAAUUUCACUUGAACCACUUUUCAAUCACUCACGACUCAAGCUUUUCUAUGCUGACAACAAUGAAAUAAAAGCUGAAAUAACUGAGUCACAUUCUUUGACUGCCCCAAACUUCCAAUUAAAAUAUCUCUCAUUGUCUUCCGGUUACGAAGAUGGUGUCACAUUCCCCAAAUUCCUUUACCAUCAACAUGACCUGGAGUAUGUUGACCUCUCACAUAUAAACAUGAGCGGAGAAUUUCCAAAUUGGUUGUUGGAAAACAACACAAACUUAGAAUAUAUUUUUUUGGUUAAUGAUUCUCUUGCAGGACCUUUCCGGUUGCCAAUUCAUUCACACAAGCGGUUAAGACUGUUGGAUAUAUCCAACAACAACAUCAGAGGCCACAUUCCAGUAGAAAUUGGAGAUGUUUUACCGGGUUUAUUUUCUUUAAACAUUUUCAUGAAUGCUUUAGACGGUUGCAUUCCCUCUUCAUUUGGUAAUAUGAAAUUCCUCCAAUUUCUGGACUUAUCCAACAACCAAUUGACUGGUGAAAUCCCUAAGCACUUGGCCGUGGGUUGCGUCAACUUAGAGUCUCUUGCGUUGUCAAACAACAACUUAGAAGGUCAUAUGUUCUCCAGAAACUUCAACCUGACAAACUUGAAAUGGUUACAAUUGGAAAGCAAUCACUUCGUAGGAGAGAUCCCACAAAGUUUGUCUAAAUGCUCCUCACUAAAAGGAUUGUAUCUUAACAAUAAUAGUCUUUCGGGUAAGAUUCCACGAUGGUUGGGUAAUCUCACAUGGUUACAAUAUAUUACAAUGCCCAAUAAUCAUCUUGAAGGUCCUAUUCCAGUGGAGUUUUGUCAGCUUGAAUGGCUUCAGAUUUUGGACAUUUCAGACAACAACAUAUCUGGAAGUUUACCAUCUUGUUUCCAUCUUCUCUCUAUCAAACAAGUUCAUCUUUCAAAAAAAUAUGUUACAUGGACAGCUAAAAAGAGGUACAUUCUUUAAUUGCUCUUCCCUUGUGACAUUAGAUCUUAGUUAUAACCGCUUGAAUGGCAGCAUUCCGGAUUGGGUUGAUGGACUUUCUCGGUUAAGCCACCUUAUCUUGGCUCACAAUAAUCUUAAAGGUGAAGUGCCAGUUCAAUUGUGCAAAUUGAACCAACUACAAUUGUUAGAUCUUUCUAAUAAUAAUCUUCAUGGUCCUAUUCCUCUUUGCUUUGAUAACACCACACUUCAUGAAAGUUACAGCAAUAGUUCUAGUCCUGAUGAGCAAUUUGAAAUAUAUGUUUUCAUCGAAGGCCCUCAGGGAGGUGUAGAAAAGAAAAUCCAUGAAAUUUUUGAGUUCACAACAAAGAACAUUGCGUACAUUUACCAAGGAAAAGUGCUUAGCCUCCUAUCAGGACUUGAUCUUUCUUGCAACAAGCUAAUCGGUAAUAUUCCUCCUCAAAUUGGAAAUUUGACAAGGAUUCAAACAUUGAAUCUAUCGCACAACAACUUGACAGGAUCGAUCCCAUCAACAUUUUCAAACUUGAAGCAUGUCGAAAGUUUGGAUCUUUCCAACAACAAAUUGAAUGGGAAAAUCCCUCAUCAACUAGUGGAGUUAAAGACAUUGGAGGUUUUCAGUGUGGCAUACAAUAACUUAUCAGGCGAAAUUCUAGAAUGGAAAGCACAAUUUGCAACCUUCAACGGGAGUAGCUAUGAAGGAAAUACUUUUCUUUGUGGACUGCCAUUGCCCAUUUGCAGAUCACCAGCAACUACGCCGGAGGCUUCAAUUGGCAAUGAACGAGAUGAUAAUUUAAUUGACAUGGACAAUUUCUUUAUCACAUUUACAACAUCGUACGUAAUUGUGAUAUUCGGAAUUGUUAUUGUUUUAUAUGUAAAUUCUUAUUGGCGACGUAGAUGGUUUUACUUUGUUGAAAUGUGGAUAACUUCAUGUUAUUAUUUUAUUGUAGACAAUCUUAUUACAACAAGAUAUUGUCAUUGAAAUUAAUUAGGAGUUUAAUUACGAUUCUUUAAGUUCUAAUCAAGUUUGCUUAGGAAAUAAAUUUAUUUUUAUUUUUUAUUAAAACUGUAGUAGUAUUUAGCUCUAUAUAGCUUCCAACUUCCAAGCACUUCACAUUUGUCUCUACACUUCCAAACCCAUAUCUAUCCACCAUAACUUAUACUUCCCUAUACUGUGCAGCAUACUUAAAUAAGAGAACCAUCUCCAAUGUUAAAACCAGCCACUCUAUAACAUUCAUUUAGAAUAGUUUUAUUAUCAUACACAAGAAAUGAAACACCUAGAUGCACUUGAUCGCCUAUUUUACUUUAAAAAAUAAUGAUUAUGGUGCUAUCAUCAUCUUCUUCACUAGCAACAUUAACACCAAAUCCAGCGAUGGACCCAGACAUUUUAUCAAGAAAGGUAUAUAUAUAAUAAAGUUGAAGCUUGACAAAAAAUUCAGGAAGAUUAAUGCCUCGCCACAACAAGGGGCACAACAACAUCAAAGUAGAGAUGAAGCAAUAUUUUCAAAUCUAAAACUCUCAAAUCCACCCACCAAAAUUUCAUAUCUCCUCAACAAUUUUAAGAACUAAAGAUAAUUAGGAUCUAACAUUAGUUUUUUAUAUAUUAGUUUCAUAAUUUACAAAUCAAUGAAGAUGAAGAUUAUGCUAAUGAAUUCAAAUUAUACCAUAGAUUCUCGAGAUGUUACCAAAAAUUUCUAAGCCAAUCCCACAUAUUUCAUAAUUUUAAGACUAGAAAAUUUCAUUAGUUAGAAGUUUCAUUACCUUCAAGUGGAAGAUGAAGAACAUUAUACAAUUGAUUCAGAUUAUAUCAUACAUACUCCAAAUGCAACUAGAAAUUAACAAGUUCAUGCGCACAGAUUUCAUAACAUUAUGAUUGGAAAGUUUCACAAAGAGAAAUUCUAAAUUCAAUCUCUUGCAUCAAGGUAGUUUGAUUGAUUUGAGUUACUUUCUCAUCAAGCUACUAAUAUAACAUUCAAGUCAGGGAGAAAGUAAAUUAAAACGGGGAAGAAACAACAGUAAAAAUUUGUUGCUAAACAUGAUGUGUAUUUUUUUUUAAGGCAAUUUGGAAACACAGUUGUUACUACAGAUAUUCUCCUCAACUUAGAGAUAAAUACAAAUAUUAAAAUGCAUAUGAUCGCACAUAUUACUUGGAGCUUAGUAAGAUUUCAUUAAGAGAAGCAAUCAAACCACUUAUCAAUUGUUGCAAUCGUUCUAUAAGCUAAAAUAGCAAUAUAAUACAAGAAAAAGAACAUAUAGAUACUUGGCAAGAGUUCAUUAAGAAGUCGCAUCACAUUCGGGUGAGUUUGCUUCUGAUAUCUUGCUAGCUGGGGCUUUUUCUUGUCUUUCUACGUAUGCCGAGGGAAACCAACCAGCUUGGCCCUUGCAUUCACCUUCCGACCAUCCAGUAGGAGCCACCUUGAGAAGUUAUAACUAAAAGUCUAAAACAAUGAAUUAAACAAAAGUUGACCGUUCAAAGACCUAAGGGGAAAACUAAUUCUUUUACGUAGGAGGAGUGAAUUAGUUGUGAUCACUGAAAUAACAGCAUAACUAUGGAAGCAUAACAAGAUAUAAAUUCACACGUCUAUAAGGGUAAACUGGGUGGUUUAGAACUGAGCUAGCAACCCUACUAUAUUCUGAUUUGCACAUCAAUGUAAAAGGGAAUAUAUGGUAGGAAGAAAGAAAACCAACCAUCAGUUGUUAACUCAUUGCUUUUCAAUCAAAAUUUUAAGAACAAAAUGCCAUGUGCUUUGAACAUCAAAUAAGUAUAAGCAUUAGUUCUAAAUUCCACAUAUCAUAAGUUAGAAGGACAAGUCAAUAGCAUAGUAGAAAAAUCUAUGUGUUGUUAUUUAGAGGGGAAAGUACCUGGCGAACCACAACAUAAUCAUCAAUUGAAAGACUUAGCUCUCCAUUUGCUUGAGCAUCAAAUGGAUGUAUAACCUGCAAGAUAAUGGGAUAAAUAGAACUUAAUCUUAAAAAAAGCAUAACAAAAGCAGCAACAGUAGCAGCAGCGUUCAUUGUAACCACUAUGAUCAUGGCCAACAAAGAUAUAUUACAAACAAAAUUCCAUUUUUACUACGACAUUAAUAUGUACUAUAUGAUAUCAUGACGAUUGGGUUACCAAGAGCUAUCAAAGUCCAAUAAAUUCUGUAUAACUUUAGGUAGUUAUUCAAAUUAUGGAUCAGAUUUUAAAUCCGAAAUUUUGACUGCUCUCCACAAAACAUGGCCUAUGCACAAGAAAGUCAUAGAUAAUGAGGAUUACAAGUGUCUGACAUCUUUUGAGUGAUGGAUUUAACAUGAGAGCUUAUGGUCAGUCAAUUUCCUCUGCCUAGCAAUAUAAGCUUUCUCGGCCAGAUUUAUCAUCAAAUACAUAGAUUGGCCCCAAGUCACAUCCAAAUAAACAUAGUUUUUCUAGGUAAACCAAGUAAGGAGAAUCAUAAUUCAGACAUAAUCAUAAAAAGGCCCAUCUAACUUAAGAGAAAAUCUCAAAAAGAGGGAUGUUGAGCUAUCAGUCUUGUAUCUAUAAGCAAUAUCAAGACUUUACAUCACCUACUACAUCGUGAGUGGCUACACAACUUUCAGUGGUUUGUCUUUCUUUGGCAUGCCUAACUCAGCUUUGAUGUUGCUGAGAUAUUGAUAGUAAAGACACAUGAUACUUCUAGCCCAUGCAUUCUAUCUAGCUCAUCCGACAACUAUCUCUUUUUUAAUUCAUUAGUGUUUGCUAAACCUCAUGCUUAAAAGUCCUAUUCUCCUAAACAAAGCUUCCUAAGAAUGACUUCCUCAGCACCACAUUUGGACACUUUUAGAGCAAUUUUAUUUGGGGGAAAAGAAUUUUCAAGGUGUUAACUAAUAAAUUUUAAAAAAUAAUUACAAUUUGUCCUACAAUUAUAUGACAAUUUAUCUGGGAUGAAAGGAUACAGACAGACAUCUUCCACUUUCAAGACUAAUCACUACUUCCGUAGAUGUUUUGCAAUAAUACAAAUACUUGACCAGAUGGUAGAAAAAAAUUUUAUUGCUCCAAAAUUAAAAUAAGAAUGCAAUAUGUUAAGCAAAAGACUGUGCAACAUCAAAUUAAUUGAUAAGUUUGUAAUUCAGUAAAUUAACAACUUUCAUGGUAAAAUACAACAAAUUUCUUUUCAAAAAAAAAAAAAAAAAAUUAAAAGACGGCAUUCAAUUUUUUGGGCAUCUUAUUUCUUAAGAUUUUCCAGGAGGAGGGCACUAGAGGGACUUUCACCUAUGCAAGAGAGCAGAAGCCUUACUUUCGCUAUAAAGUAGACGUCAUUCUGAUUAAUAUGCGUUUGCAAAUCAGCUCCAUUUGAAUCAGUAUUCUGAUAGACACGUGAGGCAUUUACAUCCAUUUCCAAAGUCACAUGUUGCGAGGAGGACUCAUUUGAUUGCUCCUCUAGGAUCAUCUAAUUCAAGUAGCAAGGGUUGGAAGAGAAUAAAAAGUCACAAUUAUUCUUUUGCAUAAGUGAGACGAAAAUGAUAAAUGCAAUAUUAUCAGCAGUAAACAAGAAGAGAACACUCCAAGGAAUAGAUAGAUGCCGACAAGCAAGUUAAAAUGCACAGUUCCAAACCUCCGCAUACAACUUCUCUAAAAUAGCAAUAAUGUGUUGAUGAUAUGUUUUCUCAGCAUCUACCUGCAAAGGCCUGAGACCAGGAAAACAACAAUAAAACCACUAGCUAAAGGAGAAAGUAAAGAAAGAAAUACACUUGACAUAAAUCUUGACAAGAAGCACAAUUUAAGACAUAACAAACCCCAAUCAGAUUGUUUAGAACUACCAUUCGUUAUUUCGUUAUUGUAGCAUUUCGAACAAGUGUUGACUUAAUUCAACAUUGUUGGAAAGAUAGGCUUUUAGAAGCGGAAGAAAGCCUCUCAAACCAAAGUGAUUGUCCUUGUAUUGAUCAAGGGAUGUAAACAUAUUACAUUUGCAGGAUGAGUUUUAAUCACUCCCCUGAUUUAUUUGGGUUGCAGUAAAACUAAGCGAGCAACUGUUUGACUUUCAAGCAACAUCUAAAUCAGCUAUUAAAAUUCAAAUAAAAUUAUAAUAGAAUAAUAACAGGCCAUCUUGCAUAAAAAAUUAAGUUUAAUUUGUGAAUUUUUUUCUAUAGACAUGUUAGUUCCUGCUAUUGAAAUGUUAAAAGCAUUGAAAAAUUAUUCAAUAAAUUAUGCAAACAUUAAAAUAGAGGACAUAUUAAAAAGUUUCUAAUUACAAUGUUAAGAUUUCCUAUAUUUUAGCAUUUGCAUAUUUUAAUUUAAUUUAAAAGUUACGUCAAUCAACUUUGGGCGUGAAGAUUUUAGCUUCUACGAGACUUGAUUGGAAUAUGCAUAAGGAAGAGUGUUAAAAUAUGAUGCAUCCAACGAAAGACAAACCACGUGUAGUCUUUUAAUUAAGCCAAAGUAGCAGCUCAAACAAAUGACACUUGGACCAACAUGCAAUCAUGAAGUGGCCGGUAAAAGGACAAAUGCAACUUUGGCUUAAAUAAAAAAUAACAUGUGACUUGACUUUUGCUGACAUGCAUCAUGUAUUACAAGACAACAGAAAUCAGUAUGAUAGUACUAAAAGUUGACAAUAACAUGAAGAUAAGAGCAGAAUGUCAACACCUGCAUAGGCACACACAAGAAAGUAUUAACAUAUAUACCAUAGCAAAAAGUCUUUGAUAUGUCAUCUGUUGCUGCUGUGAUUCAACUGACAGCAUGGCAGCUGUCGCUUCUCUACCAAGAGCCAUUAUUGUAGAUUUAAGCUCGGUCAAUCUUGCUUCUGCAUUUCGAAGCUUCACAGCACUCUCUGCUGAUAUAUCAGAUUUCCUUAUCUUUGAUCGGUGCCUAAAUACUUCAGCUGCCUGGUGAAAAUAUUCAAUAUAAAUCUAACAUAAUUCUCAUCUUGCCUUAUACAUGCAUAUGUUACCUCAAAGCUUGCCUGGGCUUCAAACUUCAUGUCGAAGUUGUCAUAACGAUGAGUCAGGUGUCGAGCAUCUUCCAAAGGUGCUCCGUUGAUUAACGCCCGUAGUGGCUCAGAUACCUACAUGUCCAAAAACCUGUAACAUAGUUAGAAAAAUGAAAAGAAAGAGCGAAACCUCAAUUAAAAAGUUCCUCCAACAUAAUCAUGGAAUUUGGGCCUACUUCAAGGAUAUAUAUAAGAUAAUUUAUGCAAUUUUGGGUCUUAGGAUGAUUCAUAUUAGGUUAGUGUUCUUCUCUUCUGUAUUUAAGGUUAAAAUAGAAAUAAACCUAUGCAAAUAUCUAAAUUAGGGCUGUAAGACUUCCACAUGCAUCCUUCAUCUCAUGGAUUUGAUUUACUAUAGAUGCAAGUGUCUUUAUCGAAAAUGCUUGGAGUCAAUUGAGAGAACUCACAGCCAAUAACUUGUCACAUGCUAGUCUUUGCUAUGAUGCAAGAAGUCACAAGGUCUCUUCAACAUUUGAACCAAUAAAAUUAUUAAGUCAUGGAUGUCACUAGCAAUGAUUUCAAUAUAAAACAUUAAAUAUUUCAAGUUGUAACUUUAAAAUGGAUUCUUUUAUUCAAUAUCUUAGAACUAAGUUUCCUUAUGAGAAGAUAAUAGUUUCAGUAGUAAUUACAUGAAAUUUUCUAUAUUUGAAUUAUUUUCUAGUUAGGGAUGAACUAACCUGAUCAUGAAGAAUCCCAAGCAAAGUUUCCCUCUCAUUUUCCAUCAAAUCAUGUGAAGUGCCAAAUUGAAGAGCAGCUCUUGCAGCGCAAGAAUUGUCACUUUGAUUCUCCGCUCCAUACUUGCAACAAUCUUCAGCCAACUUUCUCGCUACAAUAUUUGAAUACAAAAAUAUUGUACACAAGAACCAGUCAAGAAAAUAAAAAAAAAAUCAAAUAUAUAUAACGAGAGCAAGAGCAAACAAACAACCUAUUUCCAUUUGUUUCAAGCUUACUGCAACAAACCCUUCAACGCCACGGACAAUAUUCCUCUGAAAAUGCUGUGCUACAGAGCAUAUAUUCCAAAUUAUUGUUCAGAUAAAACCAUAGAAACCAUCAUAAUUAUCAACAUACAUUAAGCUCCGUUUGGUAAAACUUGCAACUUCAGUCUAGAAAAUACAGUUUGUUUGUACCAUAUUUGACAAAAUUAUAUUUAAAAAUCAUAACUAAUUACCAAAAGCCACAAUAAAUCAUAUCAAACAGAGUCUUAUUAUUAGCUAAAGGAGGAUGGUGCCUUAGCUGCCCUGGUGGAAUUGUAUAGAUUUUAAAGUUGUUGGUGACACUCAAUUUCAGCUUCAUGAACCGCAAUAUUUUCAAUACCAAGAUGGAGCAGAUGCUUCAAUGCUGCCUGUACAAAUCAUAAAAAACUAAUAAAAAUAAAUAAAAUCGAUAAAUUCACUAACUAAAAGUCUAAAUAUAAUUUUUGAAAAAAGAAAAGAAACGGACUUGCUGCUGCUUGGCGACUUGUUCUCGGUGCUUGAUUGCCUGUUCUUGAUAGCUUCCAUACUGUUUCUUUCAAAAAGCAACGACGCUCAGCUCAUGGAGGUGGAAAAAAAAAGUAUGAUCGAGAAAAAUAAAAAGCGAUGAAUAAUUUUUUGACAAAAAGCGAAAAUAAAAAGGCAUGAAUAAUGAAUAAUUUUUGACAAAAAGCUCUUUCCAGAAAAUAAAAAAGAAAAAAAGAAAAAAGAAAAUUAUAAGUUUGAAAGGAGUAGAUGAUAGUGGAAGUGUGCGGUGUGGCUGCCAGCUACUUGAAUUGUAUUGUCGGGUAAGGUAAUAGUAGAGAAAUUUUUUUUUUGAAGAAAAAUGGGUAAUUUUUAAAAACCUCCCCUGAGGUUUGGCUUGUUGUAAGUAGAUGGCGAGAAUCCAUUUAUUUGUAAAAAACCCCCUACGUUUUUGCUCCGCUUGGUUGCCGUUUGGGCAAUUGUGGCUUGUUGACAUUUCGCAAUAAAACAAAUCUUUUGCAACUUUCGUUUCCUUGAGAACAAUAGCUAGAUUUCUCAAUCUGUUUCAUCCAACACUUCAAAAAUUUCAACUUUUAUGAGUUAUUGCAUUCUCUGGCAAAGUAGACUUCUUCUAAUUUUAUCACAGUGCUUUCAGGAACAAGAAUGGGAUCCAUUAACAUCCCCUCAAAUUUUACAGCUUCCUUACAGCUAUACACUGCUGUAACACGAAGUUUAAUGAUUCCAUCGCCAAAUAGUCCCCAAAAUCUAUUCUUCCCCAUAUUGAACAACUUAAGUUCACAACACUUGCAUUCUAAAGGCUUCCACUAACAUCUAAUAUCUCAAGACUCAACGUUGCUUUACAAUAAUUGUUAUUACUACCAAACAAACAUGAAGAAACCCCGAUUAUCGGAUAAAUCAACCAAAAUGAACAAGAGAAGAACCCAAAACAAGUGAAUCGCUAGAGCAAAACCCCCAACCCAUAUCCCUAAUCCCACACUCAAAAAAACCCAAUUUCUCUCCAAAGUCAUUGACACUAGCAUCACUACUAGACUCUAAUUCCAAUCCUAGAUUACAUUUAAUGUUAACCCAACUAAAAUGAAUGUUCUUACUACAAUACGCAUCGUUUACACUCUCAAACAACGCGCUGAACUUACUCUUAAACGAUCCCACAUUGGUCAAACACUCAUCACUCACAUCGACAUCCAAGAAUUCACUCAAAAACUUCAUAGACUCGACAAUUGGAGAAAACAAAACCACUAAACUCAACUUUAUACAAGCAUACCCAUCGAGAAUCUUACCGUCAUUAACCGAAUCACAACAAAUCACCGGGUCCCACGCGCAGUCGUGAACGAGCUUACGCAUGGACGGGGCAACAUUUAACCCCCGCGGCAAAAACGACGAAGCUUUGGAAAAAUUGUNUUUUUAAAAGGCAAAAAUAACAACACUUCUAUGGUUUGUUUUGAUAAUCACAUUUACAUAUACUCUCUAAUUUUCAAAAUGGACACAUAAAUCUUUUUUUUUCUACAAAUGUAUAUUAUUCGUAUUUUUUAUUAUUUUUAAUAUCAUAUUGUUAUUUAUUAUAAAUGUUUAAAGUAAAUUUUUAGGUUAAAAUAUAAUAAAAGGGUAUAAUCGUUCUCUUAUUAAACACCCAUACUUUUAGUUUCUAUCCAUUUGUCAUCUCAAUCUCUCUCAAUUAUUCUUUAUUGCUAAAAACGCGUUUUGUUGCAAAUUAUAGCAAAAAGACAAAUAUGGAAAAAAAAAAAGGAAGAAAUUAGUGCAUGAAAGACUUGAGAAAAACAACGAAGUAAGUCAACUAUAAUCUAGCUGGGUGUAUAAAUUGUUUGAUGCUUUAUAAGCAAAUAACAAACAGAGACAGACAGUGUGUGUUCGUUUUUUCAUAGUUAAAGAUAUAGUUAGAAUGGGUGGUUCAAAAUCAAAAAUGGCGAUAAUGUUUGUUAUGUUAUUAAUAAUAUUUAAAAGUGGGUGGAGUGAGGGAUGUUUGGAUCACGAGAGAUUUGCUCUUUUGCGACUGCAACAUUUCUUCAAUGAUCCUCGUAAUUCUCUUUACAACUGGGUCGAUGAUGAGGGAGCUACUGAUUGUUGUCAGUGGGAAAGGGUUGAGUGCAGCAACACCACAGGCCGAGUGAUAGCGCUAGACCUUUUUGAAAUGUAUUCGGGAGUACAGCUGGUAUCUGAAUGCUUCUUUGUUUACUCCCUUCCAACAACUUGAGUCACUUGAUUUAACUGCCAACAAAAUAGCCGGUUGUGUUGAGAAUGAAGGUGCUUCGUUUAAUUUAAUUAAUUUACUUUCUCCCCCCUAAUUUAAGUUGAAUAUCAAGACCGAGCAACUAUACGCAUAUUCAUUUAGUCGACAAUUUUGACUUUUUUUUAAGUGAUUAAUUAAUUUUAAAAUUACACCAAUAUCUAUGAUUUUUUUUUUUUUAAUUUUGCUUGCAGGUCUAGAGAGGCUAUCAAGAUUGAACAACUUGAAGAUGCUUAAUUUAAGUGAAAACUCUUUGAAAAAUAGCAUUUUAUCAUCUCUAACUCAUCUUUCAUCAUUAAGCUCAUUAAAUUUAUUUUUAAAUAGAUUGGAAGGAAGUAUUGACUUUAAAGGUACAUAAUUAAAACUUCAUCCCUUCUCCAAGCUCUUUCAUUAACUUGCUAAAAUAAGACUCAAGGCUUUGAAUUCAAUUUUUUUUAUGAUUAGUAUUAAAAAAAACAGUUUUUAAGCAAUUUUAUAAAUACAAGUUUUAAUGGUUAUCGUAAUUUCAUCUUGUAAUUUCAUAUGUCUUGAAUUUAAGAUUAAAAAAAACUCUAAUAGCGAACCAAACACCUCCACAACUUAUUAUUAUUAUUAUUAUUAUUAUUAUUUGUGGUGAGGUUGGAAACAUUCAACUUAAUUUGUACUUAUUACAGAAUUUGAUUCUUUGAGAGAUUUAGAGGAGCUAGACAUUGGCGGGAACAAGAUUGACAAAUUUGUGGUCUCAAAAGUACUACAAAUACCACAAAAAUGUAAACUUUUACAAAUUAGCUGGAUUCUUUGCCAUUUGGUUUAUUAUUUUACAGGUUUGAGUAAGUUGAAGUCUCUUGAUUUAAGUGGUAUCAAACUCAACCGUAGUAUCUUAUCUUCUCUAACUGUCUUUUCUUCAUUAAAGAAUUACAUCUACGUAAUAUCAUAUUCAAAGGAACAUUUGAUGUUCGAGGUAAGCCUAAGCCUUGCUUUCUCAUUUUCUAUAUGCCAACUAGAUUUGUGUAUCAUCGGGCAUAAUUUAAUAUUUAAUUUGAUAAGUCUGAAGGAAUUACAUGCUAAUUUAAACAUACUUUUAUUUACUUUGUCAAUUAAUUAAUUAAUUAAUUACUAUUUGACAUUGGACGGUUCCUCUCUCCAUAUAAGCCUUCUGCAAAGCAUUGCAUCAUUCACUUCGUUAAAAAAUCUGUCGAUGUCUGAUUGUGAAGUCAAUGGUGUCCUACGUGGUCAAGGUAAAAGAAAAGUGUUGAUUGUGAAUAAGCUGUUAAUUAAUUAAUGUUGUUGCUCCUUGCUUCUAAACAGAGUUGCGCAAUUUCACCAACUUGGAAUAUUUGAAUUGGAUUCUUCCUCGCUCCAUAUAAGCCUUCUACAAUUGCUUGAACAAUUUAUUUAUUUAUUUAUUUAUUAUUAUUGUUGUUGUUGUUGUUGUUGAAGUGGGGUGGGCAAGCGUUCACUCAGUUAAUAUGUGGGGAAUUAAAUAUUACAAUCCAAGGUAGAAUUGUGGAAAAUUAAAGCUAAAUGAGAAAUAUGGAAAGAAAGGAAGAAAGUUAAGGGCAUGAAAGACUGGGAGAAUACUAAAAACCACCAAAUAAGUCAACUGAAAACUAGCUGAGGCCUGGGUGUACAAAUUGUUAGAUGUUUGUUAUAAAUAACAUAGAGCCAUCUUGUUGGUUGCAGAGGCAGAGAGACAGAGAGUGUGCAUUUUGUCCAGUUAAAAAUGAUAAAAUUUAUCAUUUGUUUAUAUUGAUUUAUUAACUCUAUUUUAAGUCUUAAGUCUUGGCGUCUUGGCAUGUUUGCAGAAUUUGAUUCCUUGAGCAACUUAGAGGAGUUGGACAUGAGCGGCAAUGAAAUAGACAAUUUCGAGGUUCCUCAAGGUACACAAUUAAAAUAUUAUUUAAUUACAUUAAUUUAAUUCGUUUGAUUAGGGAAGGCCCAAAAUGUACAAAAACAUAAUUAGAAAAAAUAAAGAAACAGAGAAUUCAUAUUAUUUCAAAUAACAAAAGGUAAUACUAUUAUUUCAAAAACAGAUUGUAAUAAAGAUUUGAUUCCAAUUCUUUAAUCUUUACAGUGAUUGAAAAACGAUACUACUUCCCAAAGCAUAAAAUACGAAUUGACUCUCAAUUAAAUUAAUCAUUUAUUUCGUUUAGGUCUAAAUUUAGAAAAAUGAAUUUUGAUUCUCUUGAAUCAUUUCCUAAUAUUAUUAUUCAACAGGUUACAGAGGUUUGAGGAAGCUGAAAAGCCUGCAUCUAUCGGGAGUUGGAAUUAGAGAUGGAAGCAAGUUGUUACAGUCAAUGGGAUCAUUUCCAUCCCUCAACGCUCUUUACCUGAGCAAUAAUAAUUUUACCGGUACAACGUCAACUACUCAAGGUAAGUAAAAGGUACAGAUGUGGCCAAAUUUAUAAAUAAACUGUUAAUUAAUUAAUUUUCUGUAUUAUUAAUAAAGCUAAAUUUUUUGCUCAUUCCUUCUAAUUCUAAACAGAGUUGCACAAUUUCACCAACUUGGAAUAUUUGACAUUGGACGAUUCCUCUCUCCAUAUAAGCCUUCUGCAAAGCAUUGCAUCAAUAUUCCCUUCGUUGAAAAAACUGUCGAUGUCUUAUUGUGAAGUCAAUGGUGUCGUACAUGGUCAAGGUAAAAGAAAAGUGUUGGUUGUGCACUCACUCAGUGGUGUCCUACGUGUUCAAUAUUUUUAUUUAUUUAUUUUAUUGUUUAAUGAGAUGCUUCCACCCUCCCCUUUAAAUCUAUAAUAUUAAUUUUCGAUAAUAUAUAAUUAUAGAAACCAAUCACUUAUAAAAGAAUGCUAUGCAUUUGCCAAUUUUUUUAUAUUUUACUGAUUGAUGAAUUAAUAAAUUUUCAGGCCUCUGUUCGUUGGUGCAUCUACAAGAGUUGUACAUUGCAACUCUUGUAGUAAUUAAUUAAUUAAGUAUUAGUUAAUUAAUUAAUUAAUUAAUUUUCUGUAUUAUUAAUAAAGCUAAUUUUUUUGCUCAUUCCUUCUAAUUCUGAACAGAGUUGCACAAUUUCACCAACUUGGAAUAUUUGGCAUUGGACUCUUCCUCUCUCCAUAUAAGCCUUCUGCAAAGCAUUGCAUCAUUAUUCCCUUCAUUAAAAAAUCUGUCGAUGUCUAGUUGUGAAGUCAAUGGUGUCGUACGCAGUCAAGGUAAAAGAAAAGGGUUGAAUGUGAACUCACUCAAUGGUGUCCUACGUGUUCAACAUUUUUAUUUAUUUAUUUUAUUGUUUAAUCUUUCUGCUAGGUUUUCCUCAUUUCAAGAGUUUGGAACAUUUUGACAUGGAUUUCACGCGCAUUGCACUCAACACUAGCUUUAUUGCACUCAACACUAGCUUUCUUCAAAUCAUCAGUGAAUCGAUGCCUUCUCUUAAGUACUUAUCACUAUCAUAUUAUACUCUUGGAACUAAUAGCAGCGGGACUCUUGAUCAAGGUUAACGAGAUGCUCCCACCCUCCCCUCCUAAUCUAUAAUAUUAAUUUUUUAUUUAAUAUAAUUACACAAACGAAUCACUUAUAAAAGAAUGAUAUGCAUUUGUUAAUUUUUUUAUUGUACUGAUGGAUGAAUUAAUAAAUUUUCAGGCCUCUGUUCGUUGGUGCAUCUACAAGAGUUGUACAUUGCAAGCAAUGAUUUAAGAGGUAGCUUGCCUUGGUGCAUGGCAAAUAUGACAUCCCUCAGAAUAUUAGAUGUUUCUUCUAAUCAACUUACUGGAAGCAUCUCCUCAUCUCCCCUCGUUCAUUUGACAUCCAUUGAAGAGCUGAUGCUUUCAAACAAUUACUUCCAGAUCCCAAUUUCACUUGAACCACUUUUCAAUUACUCAAGACUCAAGAUUUUCAAUGCUGAGAACAACGAAAUAAAAGCUGAAAUAACUGAGUCACAUUCUUUGAUCGCCCCAAAAUUCCAAUUAAAUACUCUCUCAUUGUCUUCCAAUUACGGAGACGGUUUCAUAUUCCCCAAAUUCCUUUACCAUCAACAUGACCUGGAGUAUGUUGAUCUCUCACACAUAAAGAUGAAUGGAGAAUUUCCAAAUUGGUUGUUGGAAAACAACACAAAAUUAGAAACUCUUUUCUGGUUAAUGAUUCUCUUGCAGGACCUUUUCGGUUGCCAAUUCAUUCACACAAGCGGUUAAGACAGUUGGAUGUCUCCAACAACAACAUUCGAGGCCACAUUCCAGUAAAAAUUGGAGAUGUUUUACCAAGUUUAUACGUUUUCAACAAUUCCAUGAAUGCUUUAGACGGUAGCAUUCCCUCUUCAUUUGGUAAUAUGAAAUUCCUCCAAAUUCUGGACUUAUCCAACAAUCACUUGACUGGUGAAAUCCCCGAGCACUUGGCCGUGGGUUGCGUCAACUUGCAGUUUCUUGCAUUAUCAAAUAACAACCUACAAGGUCAUUUGUUCUCUAGAAAUUUUAACUUGACAAACUUGCAAUGGUUACAAUUGGAGGGCAAUCGCUUCGUAGGUGAGAUCCCACAAAGUUUGUCUAAAUGCUCCUCACUAGAAGGAUUGUACCUUAACAAUAAUAGUCUUUUAGGUAAGAUUCCACGAUGGUUGGGUAAUCUGACACGGUUACAAUAUAUUAUAAUGCCCAAUAAUCAUCUUGAAGGCCCUAUUCCAGUGGAGUUUUGCCAGCUUGAUUCGCUUCAGAUUUUGGACAUUUCAGACAACAACAUAUCUGGAAGUUUACCAUCUUGUUUCCAUCCUCUCUCUAUCAAACAAGUUCAUCUUUCAAAAAAUAUGUUACAUGGACAGCUAAAAAGAGGUACAUUCUUUAAUUGCUCUUCCCUUGUGACAUUAGAUCUUAGCUAUAACCGCUUGAAUGGCAGCAUUCCGGAUUGGGUUGAUGGGCUUUCUCAGUUAAGCCACCUUAUCUUAGGUCACAAUAAUCUUGAAGGUGAAGUGUCAGUUCAAUUGUGCGAAUUGAACCAACUACAAUUGUUAGAUCUUUCUAAUAAUAAUCUUCACGGUCCUAUUCCUCCUUGCUUUGAUAACACCACACUUCAUGAAAGUUACAGCAAUAGUUCUAGUCCUGAUGAGCAAUUUGAAAUAUUUUUUUCCAUCGAAGGCCAUCAGGGAUUUUUAGAAAAGCAAAACAUGAAAUUUUUUGAGUUCACAACAAAGAACAUUGCGUACAUUUACCAAGGAAAAGUGCUUAGCCUCCUAUCAGGACUUGAUCUUUCUUUGCAACAAUGCUUAAUUGGUCAUAUUCCUCCUCAAAUUGUGAAAUUUGACAAGGAUUCAAACAUUGAAUCUCUCGCACAAUAACUUGACAGGAUCGAUCCCAUCAACAUUUUCAAACUUGAAGCAUGUCGAAAGUUUGGAUCUUUCCAACAACAAAUUGAAUGGGAAAAUCCCUCAUCAACUAGUGGAGUUAAAGACAUUGGAGGUUUUCAAUGUGGCAUACAAUAACUUAUCAGGCGAAAUUUCCAGAAUGGAAAGCACAAUUUGCAACCUUCAACGAGAGUAGCUAUGAGGGAAAUACUUUUCUUUGUGGACUGCCAUUGCCCAUUUGCAGAUCACCAGCAACUAUGCCGGAGGCUUCAAUUUGGCAAUGAACAAGAUGAUAAUUUAAUUGAUUAUGGACAGUUUCUUUAUCACAUUUACAACAUCGUACGUAAUUGUGAUAUUCGGAAUUGUUAUUGUUUUAUAUGUAAAUUCUUAUUGGCGACGUAGAUGGUUUUACUUUGUUGAAAUGUGGAUAACUUAAUGUUACUAUUUUUGUUUAAACAAUCUUAUUGCAACAAGAUAUUGUCAUUGAAAUUAAUUAGCAGUUUAAUUACGAUUCUUUAAGUUCUAAUCAAGUUUGCUUAGGAAAUAAUUUUUUUUUUAUUUUUUUAUUAAAAUUGUAGUAGUAUUUAGCGCUAUAUAGCUUCCAACUUGGUAGAAAGCUCCAUUUUUUGUUUGGCUACAGUAAAAGCAUGUUGUUUUAUUCUUCUUAUACUUUACGCCUGCAUCAGCUUAAAUCACUUCUUAAACGCUUGCUUUAACUGCACCGCUUCGUACUGCUCUAUAUAUGUAACGGUUAUGCGGUUGUAGCUCACGGCUCAAGCUACGCGUUUGUUUGACGUGGUAGUUACGUUAUGAUGUUUCGAGUCUGUUAAACAUUCGGUGAUAAGAUUAGUUACAACAAACCUACUAGUUUUAUAAAAUUCAAGUGAGAUGGAAUAAAAUAAAAAAUAAAUAUAAAAUUGGCUUUUAUUUUUUUAGGUUAACCAUAUUUGUGUUCUCUUCGGGCACUACUACAAUUGUUCCCUAUACAUCAGUUACACUCACGUAUCAUCGACACGAAAAAUGAAAUCUAAUAUCACCUGUUUAGUUAAAGAAUCACUCAUGAAAAAAAAUUACCAUUUUGAUUGAAGAUCCAUAUUUUGAACUACCAAUUAAUGUUCAUCAAGAACAGAGUGUGGCCGUUAAGUAGAAAAACUAUUUUUGGACAAAUUAUUAAAUUCCAAUAUUGUAUCCAUAUGCAAACGAUGCCUGAAGCAGAGCCUCCAAACAAUGACCAGGGCACAAAACAAGAGUGUAGUAAUCAAGUGUAUUGUCUCAUAAUCAAUUAAAAGCAGAUAUACAGGAUACCAUAUUCAAUUCCAAAUAACAAAAGCAUAAUGAGGAUGAGAAGAACAAUGAUCACUCAAAUAUUUCUUCACUUUGGUUGUCAAUUAUCUAUUCAAAUUAAUCAGUGUCAUUAUGGACUUAUUUAUUUAGAAGAGCGGGUGAUAAAUAUAUUCAAUAUGUGAACAAGAAGUUGAUUAACUUUAUGAUCAUUUGGAAGGUCGGCCGUGUCAUCACUCGUCAAACACAUUGCAUCGAUCCACCAGCAUGAACCGACCGGAUUAUGCCCAAAAAGUUGAAAUAUCAAUAAAAAAAACAAUUAAUUAAAGUCGAAGAUGGGUCCUUUACAUUAUGUUUUGUUUUCGUAUUAGGUAGGAGGUUAUUAUAUUAUAUCAUGUAAUUAAUUUAUUAUUACUCAACACUAAGUAAUAACUUAACUAUAUAAAGACAACAAGAAGAUAAAAUGAUAUAUAAAAAAAAAAAGAAUUUCAAAGAGAUAGCAACAUACAAUAGACUGAAGCCAUUUGAUCUGCUCAUUGAUUUCAGCCUUAAACUUGUAAAUAGUUACUGUCAAAUAUUCUAUUCAUACGAAAAAAAUGUUUAGAUAUCUUACUAUAAAUAUAGCCGUUUGACUGUCUUAAUAAAGUCACACACAACCAUUCUUAUUAAAUUAGCAAGAUCAAACACUGCCCUGGAUCUUGAACAGAUCAACACAAGAUGCACAACUUAUGAUUGAACCAGAAACAAUCAAAUCUUUAGCAAGAACAAUUAAUCAGAGUCAAGAAACAAGUUUAAUGAAUAUAAAACCUAUAAUUGAAACAACAUAGCAAGAAAAAAAUACAGAUUUUACACGGUUCAGUUGUACCUAGGAUGGCACAACCUACACCACGAGAGAAGCUUUCUGGUGAGAUUUUAUUGAUGAUCAAAGAAGAAUCUUUUGACAAAGCUAAUAAUAGAGAUUUCAGAGAAUAAGCUGUAACCCUCUCUCCCUCUUCAAUCUCUCUCUAUUUUGUUCCCAUUGAUGACCCCAAUCUGCUUAGUUAUCCAGCUUUAUAGCUGCAUCAGUAACAAACCAGCAACCCAGAUUGAGCAGAUUGACGACACGUGGAUAACGGCUUUAACGAACCUGGUAAGAACUGCUCACAUGUUCGUCACGCGUGCUGCUUAAAUGAUGGCCAAAACGACUUCAAACAAAUGUCGUUUUGAGGCUUAUGAAUUACAAGUGAUAACACGAGCUUGUCUCAUGACUUUUAAAUGCAACAACGUGCCCACAACGCCGUCGUUUUACUCUGUUGAGUUUGAUUCAUUACUAAGCUUUACGACUGGCAAUGGAGAAGAUGAUAAUUUAAUUGACACGGACAGUUUUUUAUAUCACUUUUACAACAUCCUAUGCAAUUGUAAUAUUGGGAAUUAUUGAUGUUUUAUUCUGUGAAUCCUCAUUGGCAAAAACUAGUGGUUUUAUCUUUGUUGAAAUAUAGAUGACCUCUCGUUACUGUUUUAUUAUAAACAUAUAUUUCGUAAGUGAAACUAUAUGUUUAUAAUAAAUUAACAUAUAGUUUUGUUACAUUUCUGCCUCAUUAAGAUUCUCAAAUACCAGUCAGGUUUGCUUAAGAAAUAAAUUUUUUCCAUUAAAAUUGCAGUAGUAUUUCCAAGCAUAUCGCAUUUUCUAUGAGUUUUCAUAAAUUAAUUAAUCUGCGGUGCCAAUAUCAGAUUUAGUUUUUCAAACUAAAUAAUCAAGAAAGCAAACAUACAAAUAUACAGUUUAGAGGGUAAACUAGGUAGGUGGUUUAGAUUUUAGAACUAAGCCAGCUACCUCGCUAAAUUCCGAUUCGUACAGUGAACUGCAAGAAACUGAGAAAACAAUGUAUUUAUAAUUUAAUAGAAUCAUAAGAAAACAAUGCAGUCAUUGCUCAAUAUAAGAUGAUGAUUUCGGAGAGGCACAUUGUUUUCAAGUUAAUUUGAUCCGUUUAUAAGAGAUGAAGUGGAAUGAAGUUGAAAGUUUAAAUAACAAAUCCUUGUUCUUGAGUUUUACGACGUCGUUACUCCUUCAAGUGGCAGAUUAUGCAAGUGAAUGCAGAAACACAAUGCAUCAUCCGCGGGGAUGAUACAUCAAAAGCGGGAUUUGUUUAUGCCUGCAGAUUAGCAAUUUCACUCAUAUAGAAAAUUAAUUUUUUAUAUAUACUAAUCAACACUAAAUUGAUUAUGUGUUGUAUGUUUAUAUGCUAAUCAACACGAAAUUAUAUUGAAUUAUUAACAUUCAUAUUCCUAAUAAAAAUUAUUUUCCAUCAGUAUUCAAAAUUUUCACUUAUAGAAAAUGCGUUUUACGUGAAUACUAGUUAUUGUGUAAAUUUGAAUGAUAGCGAAAAUAAACCUAUUUGAAAACUGUAAGGGUGUGUUGGGAUAUUUUACAACUGUCGGAAUCUGGUAGGAUAUUGCACCAUUUGCCCAAUAUUUUUAGACGUACUCAACCGGUAUUCAAGAUAAGUAAAAUUUACAAGCGUGGCAAAAUAAAAAAAAAUUAAAUUCGUAACUUGUAAACGAAUUUUCCUGACAUGUAUAGUAAAUGAAGUUGUUGAUCCUUUCUUUGGAUUAUUUCAGCUCUGGUUGUUGGUCACCGAUGAGCCGAAGUCUUAUUUUAAUUUUAUUUAAACUCAUCAUAAGAUUCGUGGAGCACCUAACUAACUUAACUGACUGCGCAGAUCAUCUCAACAUGGCAUAUUUAACCAUCAUUCAAGUGAUGGGUUUAAUAAGACUGCUUUUGUUCUAUCAACUAUCAAGUUCCUCUGCCUCUAAGCAGAAUUACUAUUGAAGGGCCAAAAGAAAAUGAAAACGUGUGAGCUCCAACAACCACCCCACAAAUUCAAUGACGAUGCUCGGAGAGGGUUAGGUUGGGCCUCUGAGAAAAAAAAAAAUUAUUUUGUUAAAAAGUUACCCUUAUUGAAACCUGUAUAAACAUUUUAUAUUAAUUAGUUAUGUCGCCUCUUCAACGAUGAUCAAAUUCUUAUCUGAGCUCAUCAUUUAAUGAGUAAACAUGUAUUUUAAUGAUCUCAAUUAAUAUUUAGAACAAAUAUUUUAAGAAGUAAAGCUCAUUAUAUCUUCCAUUAUUAUGUAUUUCUUUAAUUUCUUAUUUACAUAAUUAUAUUGUACAUUAAAAAUGUAUUGAAUUUGAAGAAAAAAAAAUUCAACUCAAAAAAAAAAAAAAAUGCUGGUAGCUUCGUAAUAAUUACUGUAUUGACUGCACCAGAUAAAGUUUUGUAAAAUAAUAAGUUCUCAUAAGUGGUUUUUCAUUUUUAAUUUUUUUUCCGGCACACCUGAUCAAGAAUUCUAUUUUGUUAACUAAUCAAUUGCAAAGCAUAAGUGUUGAACGGUACAAAAAAAUUUAAAAAAAUACACUUAAAACGUGGGGGUAGGGUAACGGCUUCACUCAAAUCGUUAGGUAGAAAUUGUGGAAAACUUCAAAGCGAAAUGAGAAAUAUAGAAAAAAAGAAGAGGUGGAUUUUUUCUAGUGAAAUUUCUAUGGGUAACGGCUCACUCAUCCUUCUAUGAAUUUCUAGCUGUAUUGACCCCAACUGCUAAAGUUUUGUAAAAAUAAAAAUAAAAAUAAAAAAACUGGAAUUUCAACAAAAUUCAAAACGUUUGAAAUUAAUAUUUUGGCCAUGUGGAACAAAAUGUAAAUUAAGUAAAAAUAUAAAUCUCAAUUGCUUAGUAUGGUUAGGAUUUUGUGAGCAUCACUAAAAAGUGAAAACUAUGAAUGAUAGAGGUGAUGUUUGCAACAUGAAUAAAUGAUGAACUGAAUCAAUUGAUGAUCGUAAUUACAUAAUGAACAAAAUUUACAAAAUCAACAAAAGUUAAUAAAAAAUUUAUUUAAUAAUAAAAAAUCAAUAAAACUUAUUAUUUAAGGGCGCUCUAACCAUGGAAUACCAUAAUCAUAAUCUUCUUUUAAGAAAAUUAUAACUUAUUAUUUUACAGGAUUGAUCCAUUUGGAAUGAAGUGGUCUCAAGUUGAAAGUAAUUAAUUUAUUGAAUAACUUUCGACUUAUUAAUAGUUAUAUCAAGGGUGUUUUACCUCAUCAUGUCUUCAAGUGGAAGAUGAAGACUAUGCAAGUGAAUUCAGGAAUAUUGCAUGCCUGUUGUCUAAAGCAUUACCUCACAAGGUUUCAUGAGAAACGAAAGAUGUGUUUGCUUUGAACAAUUAAAGUUACUGCUACGAACCUCCCCAAAGGUCAAGAAGACAGAACAGGAAGCUAAUGCCAUCAAUGUCUUGUUCAUUAUAGCUGCUGGGUAGUUAGGUGUAGUUUCCUCAUUUGAAGCUGUCUAUACAUAGGCAUUUCCCUGCUUAUGUACAAAUAAAUGAACAACCUUGAAGCUUUAUUAUUCGCAACAAAAAGGGAUUACUAAUUGGAGAAGACUAUACAGAGUUUUCUCUCACACUUUGCUCUCUGUCAAUUUCAUCCAGAAGUCCCUCUGAAAGCUUCUCCCAAAACAGUUAGUCAUCUUUUAUGCUCUGUUUUCUGAAAACAGAGUCCUAACUAAAUUAAUUGACUGUACAGUGCAUUUCAACAUAGCAUAUUUAACCGUUUUAACAGUUAUUUGGACCGUCUUCAGAGGUAACAUCAACAAACUCAUUCAUAUGCUUAAUAAUGAACGAAUAGUCUUGGAUUGAUGUUUUGCAGCAAGAGCAACACGACACAAUCUGGAUUCAACCUCCUCCUUUCUAACAGGGGAUUUCGAUUUGAGUUACUUUGUGCUCAAGCAAAUUCACAUCAUAGUUUUGAUUCUUUAGAUAUGAAUUCAUCUCAUUACAUAUAUCAGAUUAAGUGUAACAAAAUUUGUAAUUUACUGCGAAAAGAAUAUGCACUAAAAAAUGAUUUCAAGACUAUUUGACUACAAAAAGCAGCUGUCAGAGUGCACUAAAAAUUUCUGUAGGAUAUUUUGUAGCUGUUUAAUAUGUUAUGAUGGGCAUAUAAUUCUCAAAUUUUGAUGCCUCUCAGCGAAAAAUAUAUCAAAGUUACGGAUGAUAUCACGUAAAACAUGCAUGGCUCAGGCUCAGGCUCAGGUAAGAAAGCCACAGAAAAUGGAAAAUCUCACUGUCACGACUCACGUCACGCAUCAUUCAAGUGAUGGAUUUAACAAGACUGCUUAUGUUCUAUCAAAUUCCUCUGCCUCUCAGAAGAUAACUUUUCUGGGCCAAAUUUCUCAUCUAAAGCAUAUUAUGCCCCAAAGUCACAGAUAACAAAAUGGGGCACUACCGAUUAUGAAAGAGAACUAGUAGUUGUCAGAAGCCUAAGCCAAAUUCCGGUAGUAAGAAGAGGCCUUUCUUGAGUUUAGAUUAUGUGUUCGAGUUUUAAUAAAUGCCUAAGUUAAUAAUAAUAACAACAGUAAUAAUAAACUAAAAAGCAUAAUUACUAUUGAAUGGUAAAAAAAAAAAUGAAAAUGUGUGAACUCCAAUAACCACCCCAGUGGCGAAUUUUGGAGAGGGCUAGGCCGGGCUUCUUAGAAAUUAUUUUUAUUUAAUUACAAAAUCACCUUUACUGAAACCUAUAUAAAAUUUUUUAUAUUAAUUAAUUAUGUUGCCUCUUCAAUUAUCAUUAAAUUCUUGUCCGUUCAUAAUUUGAUGGAUAAAUGUGUAUUUCAAUAAUUUCAAAUAAUGUCUAGAACAAAUAUUUUGAAUUAUAAAACUCAUUAUGUCCUGCAUUACUAGAUGUAUCUAUAAUUUAUUAUUUACAAAUUAUAUUGUAUGAUAAAAAUGUAUUGAAUUUUUGUUUAAAAAAAAGUUCGGCUCACUCAGAAAAAAAUGUUAUUAGCUUCGCCACUGCACAAAUCUAGAAUAAUAAUUAUUCCUUAUUAUAUUGACUGCACCAAGCAAUAAACUAAUAAGUUCUCAUCAGUGGUUUUUAAUCUUUUUAAUUCUUUUUACCGCACACCUGAUCAAGAAUUUUAUUUUGUUAACUAAUCAAUUGCAAAGCAUAUAUAAGUGUUGAACGGUACACAAGAUUGGAAAAAAAAAAUCUUAAAAAACGUGCGGAUUCGGGUGGCCACACCAGAAAUCUAUUUACAAUAAUUAGCUUUGAUGCUGGGAAUCUUUUAAUUUCUGGCCGUAUUGAAGUUUUUAAAAUAAUAAGUUCCCCUUCUCGUUUUUUUUUUUUUUUAAAUAUAUAUGCUUAUAACAAUUUUAGAAUAAUGAUUCAUUUGUAGAAGAACUUAUGAUUUCCCAUUAAUAUUAAUAUUGAAGUGGGGUGGGUCAAAUCUCAAUUGCUUGAAGAAUUUAUGUAUUAUUAAAUAUUACCAUCCAAGGUAGAAUUGUGGAAAAUUAAAGCAAAAUGACAAGUAUGGAAAGGAAGGCUGAAAGUAAGGCAUGACGAAAGGCUUUGAGAAGGCUGAAGACUACCAAAGAAGUCAACUGAAAACUAGCUGGGGCCUGAGUGUAUAAAUUGUUAGAUGCGUUUGUUAUAAAUAACAUAGAGCCCUUUUGUUAUUUAUAGUUAUAGAGAAAGAGAGAAUGUGUGUUUUUUAAUAGUUAGAGAUAUAGCUAGAAUGGGUUGCUCAAAAUCCAAAAUAGUGACAAUGUUAGUUCUCGUAUUGAUAAUAUUGGGGGGGGGGGGGGGGGGGGGGGGGGGGUGUUGGGAGGUCGAGUGAGGGAUGUUUGGAGCAUGAGCAAUUUGAUCUUUUGCGGCUUAAACAUUUCUUCAAUUAAUAUCGAUCUGGGAGAGUGGUAUCUGAAUGCUUCUCUAUUUACUUCCUUUCAACAACUUGGUAACAAAAUAGCCGGCUGCAUGCGUUGAGAAUGAAGGUGCUUCAUUUAAUUUAAUUUACUUAAUUUCUCCCUCCUAAUUAAUGUCUAUAAUCAUUAGGAGGAACAAGGGAUUUUAUUAACUCAAAUAUAUCUAAUGGAUCUCAUUCUUUGGUUUUACUUGCAGGGCUAGAAGCAGGUGUCAUCUAACAGCUGCUUUGAUAAUUUCCCUCCCCUUCAUCUUUGAUGGAAAGAUGAAAUAAAAACAAAUUGGUGAAAAUGGUAUUGGUACCUGAGGCUAUGUAAUCUAAUUCAAAAACUGCACCAUCAAAACGAUUACAUAAGUCUCAGAAGAAUCAAAUAUCAGUUUGCAAAAUAUCAAUUGCUGGAGGUUUGAUUCUAACUUCCGCUCUUCAUUUUUAUGGCAUAUUGUGUUGUACUUGCAUCCGAAAAUCAUAUUUUAGUUUACUUGCACUCAAUGCUUGGAUUAAAGUUUUUUUGGGGGGGGGGGGGGGAUUGAAGAAGACUAAAAUUACACCAAAAAAGAGUUGAGCGAGAGCGGGUUUUGUCUUCAUUUAAGGAGCUCUUUAUAAAUUUUGGGAUUUUUUUCCUGAGAAAAUUUAUGCCAACUCAUUCUUUGCUUCUUUUCUGAAGGGACACAUGCAACCGAAAGUAUAUUCUUGAAUUCUCCAGGAUAAGAGACAUACGUUUAGAUUCUGGAGCAUUUAAAACAAUGUCAAAUUUUAGAUUGCUGAAAUUUUAUAUAUCCGAGUAUGAUGGUGUUCCAAUUAUAAGCUCCAGGGUGCAACUUCACUGAGGUUUAGAAUGCCUUCCUAUAGAAUUGAGAAAUCUCCAUUGGCAUAAAUAUCUUUUGAAAAUACUGACAUCAGAUUUUGAAUUGGAGAACCUGAUUGGACUCAGCUUGCCCUGUAGUAAGGUUAAGCAAAUUUGGAAAAGAGAAAAGGUAUAAUGUAUUACUAUUACCAAAGUAUCUAUUUUUCUUUCUUUAAGUAUUUAUAAUGAAUAACUUUGAAAUUCAAUGAUGCUCAUUUAGUAUAGUUAUGUAUCUUUGGUUAUAGGAAGCUGUCAAGUUAAAAUCUAUAGACCUUCACCACCCCUUUAUCUCAAUAGGAUCCCAGAAAUACUAAAUCUUAAAAAAAUAAAUCUUUCAAAUUGUGAAAGCAUGCUUACGUUACCCCCGUAUAUCCACAAUUUCAACUAGCUGAGUAUGUUGUGUUUCAGGGAUGCAAAAUUCAUUUUGUUUCUCAUGAAAGGAUUGACUUGUCCGGAUGUAUUAGGGUUAGUAAACCAACUAAUCCCAUAAUUUGUUGAUGUAGGGUCCUAACAAAUUAUUGCAGUAGAUUGUAGAUCAGUACACUAUUCGAAAACGUAUUUGAUCCACACAGUGAAGUGGAUAUUGGACCAAUUUGAUGAUAAUGAAUUUCUUUCAAUCUCAAUCUUUUUUCUUUUUAGCAACAUGACUAGUCAUUGUGCAAAUUCAAACUCUGACAAUAAUUUCUCAAUCGGUUUCUAAGAUGAUGACCAUGCAUGUAUAUGUAUAUGCGUGUGUAUAUGUGUGUGUGUGUAGAGAGAGAGAGAGAGAUCACACGUGUGUGAUUUCCUUUUGCCAAUAGGAUAUGCAGAGAGCUUGAUCUUACCCAAUAGCGAAACAAACUUCCUAAUAAGUGAAGGUAUAGUAUAAAUACUUAUACUUUCAUGUUAUUUUGUUCAUCAGUAGCUUGAUUAUUUUAUAUGCGUCUUCGAUUUUAAUUUUCUUUCCCUAUAAUCGCUAUUAUCUUUGAACUGGUCAUAAUUUGCCCAUAAGAUUUCUCAUGUUGUUUUGAGGUGCAACGGAUUUUGAAUUUAGUGACAAGCAGUGGAAGCCAGAAGGCAAAUUAUGAAAAUGGAUAAAGAUCUAUAAUUAGCUGUUAUGGGAUGUCACAUAUCAUAUUGAUGGUAACGUUAUAUAUAUGUACAUAUAAUUAAUGGGGUUGGCUCACGAGCCCAUUAAUAAUGGUAUAUUAGCUUAUAUACUUCAAACAAUGUACUAUGAAGCAAUUUCACAAAUACUUGUUAGCUUAUGUUGAGCUUUAUUGAAUCAGUAGUUCACAGUUCAAUAAAAUGCAGGUUUGCUAUUUGAAGUACAUGGUUAUGGUGCGUACAUUCUUCAUAAGGCUAACUACUAAUUUAUCAUUGAAACUUGAAAAAUGUGAUAGAGAGAUGUAGAUAACAGCCGCAAAACACUGAGAUUGAAAAUCAGGGCUACUAAAUUCUAUUAAAAGUCCUUAAAAUAGACAGCGAUCACCCUGAAAUGUAUAUACUGAAACUAAGAAAUAUUAAUCGCAAAGUUAUGCAUUAAUAGAACUAUUGACUACUUAUCUUUAGCAUAAAGUAUAUUUUUAACUACAGCUUUCUGCUUUGUUCUAAGAACUAGGCAAAAGUGGUGUAUCUUCAAUCCAAUCAACAUAUAUACCACUUAUCUUCCUCUUCACUUCUGUCUAUUUUGAUUUGCACUUCAUAUCCUGCACUUGCUGCUUAGAAAUAGUCUUUAUUCUGGACAUUGAAAGUAGAAAAAGUACUUGAAACAAUCAUUGGCACAGCCCGAGAUUCCAUUGAAUCGUGGACUCCAAGCUUUCAUAGUUCUAUAAAGAAGAUGACAAAACUUCAUACAACUGGCAUUCUGCUUUUAACAUUUGCACAACCUGAGCGAGUUAGCAAGCCCCUUGUUGCGUUCCCAUUGAAUAGACCUACUUCUGUUAUCCGCAGAAGAUCCACCACUCAAAAUGUUUAUCACCAGGCUAUUCUUAAACUGAGCCUAAACUGAGUAGAAACUUCCGCACAUCUCUCAGCAUUUACAUGAAGAAAUCGACAACUAUCCUCAUCUCUCAGCAUUCUACAAAGUUGCAUUUCACUAAGCAAUCUAUCCUCUCCAUUCCUAGCAAAGUGACAUUGAUUCCCGUAUUUGUAAUCGCCUAACUUGGGUUUUGGGCAUAGCGUGGUCUUAAAAUUACCACCCAAUACUUUGUUCAGUGCCACUGGCAUCCACAAGCUCUAGCCCUGUUAGUUGAAUCAUAUUCAAUGGGACAGUGAGGCAGCAUUUCACUAACAUAUUCAAUUUGACUACUUAUAUUGACGCAAAUAUUAGAAUUUGAAAUCACUUCUUUUAUUGGAAUAUUAUAUUAAUAUGACCCCAAAUGAAAGUUCUUGAAUGGAAAUGAUUUUUAUUUACUUUUCGAACAGAUUCAAGAAAACCCAGAGAACACAAAAUUUACACAGUAAUAUGAUUAAGAGCUGAGAACGUACAUGUAGUAAAUGUCUAUCAAAAAACACCCAAGGGUUUCUUUAAAAUUAGUAACUAGUAAACAAAAAGAAAGAAUCAUUUUACAUUUUUAGCAACUUUGGGGUGAGUGAGUGAGUGAGAAAUUGAAACCCUCAAGUGAUGACAACAGUAAGAUUCAGUAUGAAGUGAAACCCCAAUUUGAAAUGUAGGCAUGAGUUGCUGAGUCAGUAGAUGAAGCUAUAAAUAGGCAUUCGGUUUCCUUCUUUUCGGUUUGGAGGGCCAUGGAAUAGUGUAUUGGAGUGGGCUCCAAGUAAUAGCCUCUAUCACUGGAACGACACAUCUAUAAAAUGUGAUACAUGGGGAAGGAUUGGGCAUUUUAUUCUUAGAUUAGCCCCUUAUUUAGGGUGUAUAUUAAGCAGAUUAUAUAUUACAUGGAGAUGGAGUUUAUGAAAUAGAUUAAAAAGAAAAGGAAAUUUUGGUGCCUAAAGUUUGCCACUUGGAAUAUUUCGGUGUCUAAAAUUCACUCACCACUUAUUUCAUGUUUGAUUAUAUGUUGAAAAGAUAUUAAAAUAGUAUAAUGCUAUUAAGGCUUAACGUAUAUUUUUUAUUAGUAGAGUGUAGAAUUUUUAAGAAAUAAAUUAUUAAAUUAUUAUAACUAACAUAUUAUUUUAAAGUUGUGUUAUGAAAAAAAUGAAAUAAAAAUGUACAGUAAAUAAGAAUAUUUUAAAACUUUUAUCUUUUUAAAAUUAGUUUUUAACAUAAGGUGAACUAUUUUUUUUUUAAAAUCACAUAUUCUAGUUAAAAUCAAAUAUGUAUUUAUACGAAGCUUGUAAUUUUUUUUUUUAGUACUGAUAUUUGAAUAUUAUCAAUAAAAAAAAGGGUAAUGUUCAUGCUGCAUUAUUUUUGUAGCACACAAAAGGACAACACCGUUUAUGGUAUAAUACUAUCGCUUCUGUUAUGAUAAUUUUUUUUGUGGCCAAAUAUCUUUUUUUUUUUUAAGUAAAAAAAAGUGGACAAAAUGCAAAUCAGUUUUUAAUCCUCAAUCUCUCCCAAAAUAUAUAUUUCGGUGUCUAAAAAUUCACUCACAAAACUAUAGCUGACAAAAAGUUACUAACAAAAAGUUAGGUCCAUGGGUUGUUAAAACUAUAGCUGACAAAAAGUUACUAACAAAAACAGAAUGUCCAUUUUAUAACUUUCUUAAAAAACUUUCCUUAACUUUUUAAACAAAAAGUUAUUUCCAAUUUUUAUUUUGUUAUAAUGUUUAUAACAAAAUUCGUAGUUAACUAAACUCUUCUUAUACCCUUUCUCAACUGCCAUACCCUAACCCACUAAACCACGCUCAAUUAAGGCCAUCAGAUUCUCCCGGGCCCACAUUAAUCCAACUGCUCACAGAGACCGACAGCCUCUCUAUCUCCAUUUCAAGCUCCCUCUUCAACUGGCUUCUGCUACCGUCCUACUCUUUCUCGGCUUCGGAGUCCGUAUUUGCUCGGCCUGUCCCACGAAGCUCCCUCUCACUCCAAUUGUCGCCCCACAAGACCAAUUGCUUAAUCAAGACACCGAACAAGAAAAGGAUGAGAAGUUGAAACAAGAAUUUGAGAAUUGGAAAUAAAAAACGUACGCAUUGACCGUGCCUUUGAGAGUCGUUUCUCUUCAGAACUCAGUGCCUCAAUCUUGGAUUAAGGAUUUUAUGCGAAGUCAGGGAAAGAGAUUGAAGUUUCAGAUGAAUUUGUGUGCUAGCAUUGAUGGGAUCUUUAACAAUUUAUCUGUGCCCUUUAACAAAGUUAAGGCUAAGUCAGCUUCUUAUAUGGCUGCUGAUUUGGUUAGUGUUGGUGAUUCAUGGCUUAGUUUUGCCAUUAAAAAGAGAUUGAUUGAGCCAAUGGCUGGAGCUGAAGACCAAGAUUGGUUCAAAUGCUUAAGUCACAAAUGGAAGGUAACAUCUUUGUCUUUGAUCCUCGAGGUAAAAUAUGGGCGGCACCGUACAGGUGGGGCACAACGGUGAUAGCCUACAAGAAAAGUAAAUUUCGAAAGCAUAAUUUGGCUCCGAUUGAGGUAAUAAUUUUCUUUAAACUCAUUUAGUUUUAUAUCAAACAAAAUCAAGACUGCCUUUCUCUUCAAUAUUUUUUAUGAUAAUAUCUUUAGAAGCAUCUCAUUGACGGGUAACAAUGGCAUCCCUGAAAGAGUCUAUAAACUCAAUGAUAUUAUCUUCUACAAAUGGUUCAUUAAACUUUGUCGUUGUACUCAAAUGUACACUCAGAUCAAUGAGAAGCUAUGCUACGUUAGCAUGUAGUGAUGGCACUUAAUAAGUGAGUUGCUAGGAUGUGAACUAGAAAAAUUAAAUAUUGUCUCCUUGGGUAUGCUAGCUGGUAAGUCAGGGUUAAUAUCAGAGCUUAAGAUAGUAUAACCGUGAGAACCUAUUGACUGCCAAUUAAAAUAUCCAUUGAAAUGUCUAGGGAGUUAUGAAGGUGGAGGUAACUUCCAAUUUCUAAGGCCACAGAGUAGACAUCAUCCAGGAUCCUAGGAAAGUCCAGUUAACCUCCUGCUCGAUGCAAUUAAUAAAUUUGGUCAAUGCCACUGAAACCUGCUAACUGACGUCACAAUGCGACAUGAGCACUUCAAAAUGGGACAGACGGUCAGUAGCACUAAAUUUUUCUUGCCCAAGAUUGAGCAAUUGGUCUAACUACUAAUCCCUAUUGUAGGUUGAUCAUUAUUUUUUCAAUUAUGUUCAGUUUGACCCAAAAAGUUGCAGAAUCUUGAGCUGAAUAUUGUCACUGAACACUGUCAAUGUCAUUUAGCAUAGCCAACUAACUUGAUGUUAAAACAAACACACAGUGUGUCUCAUGUCUCACAAUUCAAAUUAUCAUCUGUAAUGUUGGAGAAUUUUUCCAAUGUAUGAAGUAUGCUUUGAUACGUGGGUUACCUUGGAGAAGAUAUCUCAAAAUAAAGAAUAUGGGGAGAAAACAGUUCAGUAGUUUAUUAUUCUGUAGUCAAGUUUUGUCUCGAAAAUGGUCAAAAUUUAAAUGAAUAAGGACAGGGGAUCUUCAUUCUUUUUUCCCUUUUUUAUACCAAGAUAUCUCUCAACCUUUAUAUAAUCCCCACUGGAUAUCUGCUUCUAAUAAUUAAAAUAAAAAUUUCACCGCUCUAACAAUAAAAAGUAACAUCUUUCCUCAAAUAAUUUACAGUUCCUCAUCAUCUUAGUGUGAGACUAUCAGUACAUUCCAAAAACAUAAUAAAACUGGUUUGAUCCUGUUUAUUGAUGUUUAAAUGUUGUUCAUUGUGACAGGUAGAAAUGAUGAGGCGAAGUUUAUUUGGACAUCAAUUAGUAAGAUCUUGUUUGAAGUUGUUUUCUGAAAUGAACUGCCAAAUGGUAGUUUUUUGGGGGCAUUUGAUGGCUCUUUUUUUUUCCUCAUUUUCAACAUGUGCCUGCUUGGAACAUGAAGGAUUAGGCUGCAGAGUUGUUAUAUAUUUUGAGAUGCUCUGGUCAUUGCACAAUUUGUUCACACUGGAAAUUAGAAUGAGAAAUUUGUUGAUGCUGUUUUGAGAGAUCUGCAUUCUAUGCACAAUAACAUGAUUAAUGAAAAUGCAUUGUAGGACUGGAAAGAUCUGUGGCAGCCUGAGCUCGCAGGAAGAAUUUCAAUGGUUAAUUCUCCCCGAGAGGUUAUUGGUUCAGUUUUGAAGUAUAGGGGAACAUCAUACAAUUCAAACUAUAUUGAUUCGCAAGUUGCUGGUGGGAAGAUUGCUGUUCAGCAGAAUCUGGCAUUACUGGCAAACCAGGUACUCUUACAGAAAUCAUAUCUGGUCAUUGCAUGUUAUUGCCUGACAACUGAUUUUGUUUGUAAAAGUCUGCUUCUUCAUACAUAUGAAUGCAUAUGUUAGUGUUUUCUUCUCCUUUUCAUACAUAUAAAUGCAUAUGUUAGUGUUGUCUUUUCCUUUUCACACAUAUUAAUACAUAUGUUGGUGUUCUCUCCUGAGAUGGAUGCAAUAAAGGCUUUUGCUCCUAAAUUUAGCUGAAGAAAUGGCAAGGGAUGUGAGAUUCUGUCUCAUUAAAUUAACAAAAACCCAAAACAAUGAAAAUCCAUAAUAAUGUGGUGUGGGUAAAUUGGCUCCAUUUGGUUCGUUUCCUUAAUGUGAAUGCGCGAGCAAUAGAGACUAACAAAAUGAAGUGACAACAAGAAGUCAGUGUCCUUUGAUGGAUGCAUUUUUAGGCAGAAAUAUGUUUGUAAUUGACCAAAUUUGUCUGGCAUGCCAAUUUCAAAAAAAUUAAAUUAUGUGGUUAUUAGCUGUAAUGAAGGGGGAUAGUAGGUGCAAUCAGGUGUAUCCAGGAAAGUUCAACAAAGUUUUGGUAUGGCGUAGUGAAAUUGGUUUGUGCAACUCAGGAGUCUUUCAGGUGAACGAUGAUAGGUUUUGAUUUAUGAAUAUUAUAAAUCUACUGUGCAUAGUAUUCUAGUAGAAUCAUCUAUAAGUUCUAGUUAUUGUAUACUUUGCCCGGUUUGAGUUAAGGGCACAUGUAAUAUGAAAGAUAGUUGUCGCAUCUUUUAGGUUACCUAACAUUUGAUCAAUCCUAUUAUGGGGGCUUCAAGAUGUCUAACAAUAUGUAGAAUGCCCAUGCUCCUCCCCAUUGUUUAUCUUCUACAAUAAUUUGUUUUAGAUGCUAAUAUCUUUGUCGAUACCGGUAACAAUAUUACAAUAUCUGCGUUUAUUGGGUUUUACAUAGGUUCGACUGUUUGACAGUACACACUAUCUGAAGGCAUUUGCAAUUGGAGAUGUAUGGGUUGCUGUUGGGUGGAUUAGUGAUGUUCUUCCUGCUGUCAAACAUAUGUCUAAUGUUGCUGUUGUUGUUCCCAAGUCUGGUGCUAGCUUAUGGGCUGAUCUUUGGGUAUACCCAUGCCUGCCAUUCUACUUCAAUAUUCACAUUGUUAUCUCCUUCAUAUUAGUGAUCAGUAAACACGAUAAUGUGACUAAUAAGUUCGUAUUCUCUUUAUAGGCAAUCCCUGCUGCCUCAAGACUUGAAACAAAACAAAUUGGAGGGCGAGUCAGAGGUGCAUUUCCAUUAAUCCAUCAAUGGAUAGAAUUCUGCUUGCAAACAGCGAGAGCAUUGCCUUUCAAGCAAGAGGUUAUCCCGAGCGCAUCUCCCUCUGCCCUUGAGAGUACUCUGGUUAAGUUGCCUGAAGAACUUUUCAAGGGUAAACCAAGUCUGGAUACUAACUUAAUUGCUGGAGUACCCCCGACUGAAAUUCUGGCCAGAUGUGAGUUUUUGGAGCCUUUAUUUGAAGCUACAUUGUCGGAUUAUGAGUGGCUGGUUACUAAUCUGCAAAAAUCCACUCCUGUACUGAUCAACAAGAUGCAACAUUACAUGUCAUCAUUGAUCUUUAGCUAAAGGUACAUUGAAAAGUUAAUGGCACUGCAUACCAGUCAUUAUAAUUGGGUCAGGGCAAUUAGGUCAGAGCAUAACUUCAUUAGGAAAAGAUGCUUCAGCUACGUUAAAUAUUACAGGAUGUACUGAGAUGGCUGAAGCUGUUGAGGUUUUACGAGAAUCGAAAGAUAGUGUUUGUUUGAACAAAGUUGUUGCCAAUCUUGCAGAGUUCGAGAAGAAAGAUCACGAAGUGAAUGCCACCGAUUUCUUCAUCAUUGUAGCCUCCAUAGUUGAAGUUUCCUCAUUUGAAGCUGUUUAUGCAUAUGUUUUUUCCCUGCUCAAGUACAGGAAAUUGAAGAAUUAACCAGAUGUGAUAUGCUGAAAGAGGGAAGUUUUCUUCCUUGAAUGUGGUCUUUGUGAUUUGUCUUGAAGGAAUAGGGUGAUCACUGGCAAGAACCCUAUCAAGGUAGAUUUUAUGAUGUUAACAUAUCAUUAAGCAUUUUGUUACAUCAGCAAUGAUGCUUUCAUAGCAGCAUGAAAGUGUUUAAAUUUAACUGAAUGAUCUUGAUUGAUCAAUUAUGAGUUUUAAUCGAGUAAAAACUAAAUACAAUCAUCGUUAACAAAUAUUGAAAUUGGGUAAAUAAGAUCUUGAUAUUGAAGAAUUUGAAAUCACAACCCACACAGGAAAUCACCCUUCGCGUGGGGAUGGAGAUGUUUACUGCAGCGAUAUUGAAUAUGUCCACCGCUCUUUGGGUUAUGGUGCGACUUGCCCUGAAACAAUGGAAAAGAAUAAUUAAUAAUUUAACGCCAAGACAUAAAAUUAAAACGUGUGGACUCCGGUAGCUGCCCUACAAGUCUACAACUCUACAAACAUUAACUCUACAAACAUUAAAACGUGUGGACUCCGGUAGCUGCCCUACAAGUCUACAACUCUACGAGAAUAAUUUCUAGCCCUGUUGACUCCACUAACUAAAGAAAUUUCAAAACGUACAUAGAAUUCCACAACAAGCAAAACGUAUGGAAUUUAAUUUUUUGCCGUGUGGAACAAAAUACAAUUUAACAAAAAAGGAUAAGAAAAAUGGUAAGAUUUCUAAAAUGCAUGGAAGGUGAUUCAUAUUUUACUGAAACGACUUGUCCUGAACAUUAAGACGAUUGAUUUUUUUUUUUUUUUUAAUAACAUCAACUUCCAUAUCUUUCUAACCCCUAGAAUAUGCUCACGUUCAAGUCUAUCUUGGUAAUUUGAAAAAGAAAAUCAAAUCAAAUCAACACCAAAACAAUGAAAAGUAAAACUUUUGAAUUUCAACUUUAAACUUUUGUUAACCCCUAGAAUAUUCAGCGUUUUCAAAUUCUUCCGAUUGCAUAUCUUCUUCCUCCAUCAAUGCAAUAUUUGAACGAUUAUGAAAGAGUUUAAGAACAUAAAAAAUCUCCAAGGUUUAUACGGUAUAACAAAUUUAAAUUCUCAAUUACAAUAGAUAAUAAUUAAACUAAUAAUUUUUUAUGUACUUAUUUUAGUAAUUUCACCUAAGAAUAAUAUUGUAAUUAGAAAAAAAAAUCUAAUAAGUAGGGUGGUCUUAUACAAAAUCAACUGUACUGUGAUGAGUUUCCUUUUGUUAAUAAUUUUAGUCUAAUUUCAAUUGUACUGUGAUCGCUUCUCAAGGUAAGUGAAAGUUACAGAUGUGGCAAAAUAAAUAAUUAAGUUAACAAAAUGCUAACUAAUUUUCCUCAAUACCUAGGGUUGUACAAUUUCACCAACCUGGAAGAAUUGACAUUAAUGGACUGGUCUCCUCCCCAUAUAAUUAUAAUCCUUCUAGAAAGCUAUUUUUUAUUAAAUAUUUGCUUUUAAGUUAAUUUCAAUUAAAAAAUGUUUUAAGUUAUAUAUACUCUAAUGAGAUUCUGAAUUCCUUUAUUCCAAUAAUAAUGAAAACGUAUUAAAUUAGAAAUGAAAAAAUUGGUGUUGAUGAUUCAACCUAUUUGGAUAGAUUACGUGAAUAAAAUUAAAAUUUUGAUUUAAUUUUUGUUUAUUGUUAAUUCUCAGGCUAUCUUAAUUUCAAGAAUUUAGAAUGUUAAUUUGGUCAUGGAUUUCAACCCGUGAGUGUCAUAUUCUAGACUUAAUGGUACCAUUCUUUGAUUGAGGGCAAUGACUCUCACUCCUCUUGUAAAAAAAUAUUUUCAACUAUUUUGAUGACUUAAAAAUUGAUAGAUUUAUUGUUGUCAUGACCAAAUUAUUCAUUUUAAUGAAAUAUAAUUAAUGCAUCAAAGUUACCAGGUUUAUGUUCUAUCUUAAUGCGCUUUUUUUUUUUUUUUCAGUUAUAGCUUCUGCUUACGUCUGUUUCAUUUUUUUUUAAUAAAAAAACAAGGGAAGGUUUUUCCGAGUCAUCCAUUAUUUGAUUACCGUCAAUCAAGAAAACAACCAAAUUAAUUUCUCUCCAAAAUUUCCAAAAGCUAGAAAAUUUUGUUAUUUGAAAAUAACAUCAUUAAUUAUAGAGUGGAUCAAACCGCGUUAUUGUCUUUCAUAAAAUUGAUGUCUUUUUAAGAGUCAAUACUUUUUAUUUACGCAAACCAGUCGACAUCACACAUAUACUCUUUAAUUUGAUAAAUGGUUACACAAAUUUUGUUUACAAAAAUAUAUUAUUCAUGUUCUGUAUUAUUUUUUAACAUCAUAUUUUUAUUUAUUAUAAUUGUUUAAAGUUAAUUGUUAGGUUGAUAUAUAAUAAAAACGUAUAAUCGUUCUCUUACUAAACACACAUACUCAUAGUUUCUGUUCAUUUGUCAUCUCAAUCUAUCUCAUUUAUCCUUUGUUGAUAGCUCAAAACGCGUCACUGUGGAAAAUUAUAGCAAAACGACAAAUAUGGAAAAAAAUGGGAAGAAAAUUAAUGCAUGAAAGAGUUGCAGAAGACAACCAAAUAAGUCAACUAUACGCUAGUUGGGUGUAUAAAUUGUUAGAUGUGUUAUAAACAAAUAGCAUAGAGCCUUGGUUGGUUACAGAGAUAGAAAAAGUGUGUGUGUUUUUUAGAACUUAAAGAUAUAGUUAGAAUGGGUGGUUCAAAAUCAAAAAUGGUGAUAAUGUUUGUUCUGUUAUUAAUAAUAUUAGAAGGUGGGUGGAGUGAAGGAUGUUUGGAUCACGAGAGAUUUGCUCUUUUGCGACUCAAACAUUUCUUCGAUGAUACUGGUAGUUAUCUUUACAACUGGGGAGAUGGUGAGGGAGCUACUGAUUGUUGUCAGUGGGAAAGGGUUGAGUGCAGCAACACCACAGGCCGAGUGAUAGCGCUAGACCUUUUUGGCACGUAUCGGCGAGAGUACAGCUGGUAUUUGAAUGCUUCUUUGUUUACUCCCUUCCAACAACUUGAGUCACUUGAUUUACAUGGCAAAAAUAUAGCUGGUUUUGUUGAGAAUGAAGGUGCUUCGUCUAAUUCAAUUAAAUUACAUUUCGCUCUCCUAAUUUAAGUCGAAUAUCAAGACUGAGCAGCUAUAUGCAUAUUCAUUCAAUUGACAAUUUUUACAUAUUUUUUAAAAUGUUUAAUUUUGAAAUUACACCAAACAUCAUAUGUGAUCUUUGUUUUGAUUUUACUUGCAGGUCUAGAAAGAUUGAGCAACUUGAAGAGGCUUGAUUUAAGUCAUAACUUGUUCAACAAUAGCAUCUUAUCAUCUGUGGCUCAUCUUUCAUCACUAACAUCAUUAGAUUUAUCUGAAAAUAGAUUGGAAGGAAGUAUUAAUGUUAAAGGUACGUAAUUAAAACGUCAUCGCUUUUCCCAACUCUUUCAUUAACAUGUUAAAAUAAGAUUCAAGGCUUUGAAUUCAAUUUUUUUUAUGAGUAAAUAUUAGAAAAAUAGUUUUAAGCAAUUCAUAAAUACAAUUUUCAAUGUUUCUCAUAAUUACUCUAACUGUGAAGCAAAUACCCCAUGACUAAUUUAUCAUUUUGUCCAGUUAAAAAUGAUAAAAUUUAUCAUUUGUUUAUAUUGAUUUAUUAACUCUAUUUUAAGUCUUAAGUCUUGGCGUCUUGGCAUGUUUGCAGAAUUUGAUUCCUUGAGCAACUUAGAGGAGUUGGACAUGAGCUACAAUGAAAUAGACAAUUUCGAGGUUCCUCAAGGUAAACAAUUAAAAUAUUAUUUAAUUACAUUAAUUUAAUUCGUUUGAUUAGGGAAGACCCAAAAUGUACAAAAACAUAAUUAAAAAAAAAUAAAGAAACAGAGAAUUCAUAUUAUUUCAAAAAACAAAAGGUAAUACUAUUAUUUCAAAAAAAGAAUGUAAUAAAGAUUUGAUUCCGGUUCUUUAAUCUUUAUAGCAAUUGAACAACAAUGUUGCUCUUUUCCUAAAGCAUAAAAUAUGAAAUGAGUCAUAAUUGAAUUAGUCAUUUAUUUUGUUUAGAUCUAAAUUUAGACAAUAAAUUUUGAUUUUUUUUUCAAUCCUAUCCUUAUUAUUAUUGUUAAACAGGUUACAGAGGUUUGAGGAAGUUGAAAAGCCUCUAUCUAUCGAAUGUUGGAGUUAGAGAUGGAAGCAAGUUGUUACAGUCUAUGGGAUCAUUCCCAUCCCUCAACACUCUUUACCUGAAGGAUAAUAAUUUUACCGAUAUAGCGACAACUACUACUCAAGGUAAGUAAAAGGUACAUAUGUGGCCAAAUUUAUAAAUAAAUUGUUAAUUAAUUAAUUUUUCCGUAUUAUUAAUAAAGCUAAAUUCGUCGCUCAUUCCUUCUAAUUCUAAACAGAGUUGGCAAUUUCACCAACUUGGAGUAUUUGACAUUGGACUUGUCCUCACUCCAUUUAAGCCUUCUGCAAUUGCUUGAAGAAUGAAUUUAUUUAUUUAUUUAUUAUUAUUAUUAUUGUUGUUGUUGUUGUUGUUGUUGUUGAAGUGAGGUGGGCAAGCGUUCACUCAAUUAAUAUGUGAGGAAUUAAUAAUUACAAUCCAAGGUAGAAUUGUGGAAAAUUAAAGCAAAAUGAGAAAUAUGGAAAGAAAGGAAGAAAGUUAAGGGCAUGAAAGACUAGGAGAAGACUAAAGACCACCAAAUAAGUCAACUGAAAACUAGCUGGGGCCUGGGUGUACAAAUUGUUAGAUGUGUUUGUUAUAAAUAACAUAGAGCCAUCUUGUUGGUUGCAGAGGCAGAGAGACACAGAGUGUGCAUUUUAUUAAUUAAAAAUAUAUAUAAAAUGGGUGGUUCAAAAUCCAAAAUGGUGAUAAUGUUAGUUUUGUUAGUAUUAAUAAUAUUAGAAGGGAGGUGGCGUGAGGGAUGUUUGGUGCAUGAGAGAUUUGGUCUUUCGAGACUUAAAACAUUUCUUCAAUUCUCCUUAUAAUUUUUGUCACGACUGACCGUUGUCAAUAGAAUGGGGCUGGGUGCAGGGUUGAUUUACGUUAGAACAAUAUAGCCGGUAGUGUUGAGAAUGAAGGUGUUUCAUUUAAUUUAAUUAAUUUACUUUCUCCCUCCUAAUUUAAGUGGAAUAUCAAGACAGAACAAUUAUAUGCAUCUUCGUUCAGUUGACAAUUUUGACAUAUUUUUUUAAGUGAUUAAUUUUGAAAUUACACCAAACAUUAUUUGUGAUCUCUGUUUUGACUUUACUUGCAGCGCUAGAGACGUUAUCAAGAUUGAGCAACUUGACGAUACUUGAUUUAAGUUAUAACUUGUUCAAUAAUAGCAUCUUGUCAUUUGUUGCCCGUCUUUCAUCAUUAACAUCAUUAGAUUUAUCUUACAAUGGAUUGGAAGGAAGUAUUAAUGUUAAAGGUACGUAAUUAAAACGUCAUCGCUUCUCCCAACUCUUCCAUUAACAUGCUAAAAUAAGAUUCAAGGCUUUGAAUUCAAUUUUUUUUUAUGAGUAAUAUUAGAAAAAUAGUUUUAAGCAAUUCAUAAAUACAAUUUUCAAUGUUUCUCAUAAUUUCAUCUUGUACUUUUGUAUGUCUUGACUUUAAGAUUAAAAAAAAAUUACUCUAACUGUGAAGCAAAUACCCCAUGACUAAUUUACAAUUUUGUCCAGUUAAAAAUGAUAAAAUUUAGGGAAAUUAUCAUUUGUAUACCCUUAGUUUACUCUAUUAUCAAAAAUACUACAACACUUUGAGGGUGUAUCAAUCGUCCACCCUAAGUUGACAAAAUGUAUUAGCCAACCACCAAACCGUUAGUUGCCGUUUAAAUAUGAUAACAUCAUAAGGGUAAUCUGGUCUUUUCAUAUGAUACAAGUGAUAAUUUAAGGGUAUACAAGUGAUAAAAAGAGAGUUUAAGGGAUACAAGUGAUAAUUUUCAAGGGUAAAAUCGUCAAUUUACUGUAAUUCCAUUAACUUUCAAACGGCAAUUAACAGUUUGGUGGUCGGUUGAUACAUUUCAUCAACUUAGGGUGGACGAUUGAUACACCCUUAAAGUGUUGUAGUAUUUUUGAUAAUAAAGCAAAUAUAGGGUAUACGAAUGAUAAUUUCCCUAAAAUUUAUCAUUUGUUUAUAUUGAUUUAUUAACUCUAUUUUAAGUCUUAAGUCUUAAGUCUUGGCAUGUUUGCAGAAUUUGAUUCCUUGAGCAACUUAGAGGAGUUGGACAUGAGCGGCAAUGAAAUAGACAAUUUCAAGGUUCCUCAAGGUAAACAAUUAAAAUAUUAUUUAAUUACAUUAAUUUAAUUCGUUUGAUUAGGGAAGACCCAAAAUGUACAAAAACAUAAUUAAAAAAAAAUAAAGAAACAGAGAAUUCAUAUUAUUUCAAAAAACAAAAGGUAAUACUAUUAUUUCAAAAAAAGAAUGUAAUAAAGAUUUGAUUCCGGUUCUUUAAUCUUUAUAGCAAUUGAAAAACAAUGUUGCUCUUUUCCUAAAGCAUAAAAUAUGAAAUGAGUCAUAAUUGAAUUAGUCAUUUAUUUUGUUUAGAUCUAAAUUUAGACAAUAAAUUUUGAUUUUUUUUUCAAUUCUAUCCUUAUUAUUAUUGUUAAACAGGUUACAGAGGUUUGAGGAAGUUGAAAAGCCUCUAUCUAUCGAAUGUUGGAGUUAGAGAUGGAAGCAAGUUGUUACAGUCUAUGGGAUCAUUCCCAUCCCUCAACACUCUUUACCUGAAGGAUAAUAAUUUUACCGAUAUAGCGACAACUACUACUCAAGGUAAGUAAAAGGUACAGAUGUGGCCAAAUUUAUAAAUAAACUGUUAAUUAAUUAAUUUUCUGUAUUAUUAAUAAAGCUAAAUUUUUGCUCAUUCCCUCUAAUUCUAAACAGAGUUGCACAAUUUCACCAACUUGGAAUAUUUGACAUUGCACGGUUCCUCUCUCCAUAUAAGCCUUCUGCAAAGCAUUGCAUCAAUAUUCCCUUCGUUAAAAAAUCUGUCGAUAUCUUAUUGUGAAGUCAAUGGUGUCGUACAUGGUCAAGGUAAAAGAAAAGUGUUGGUUGUGCACUCACUGAGUGUUGUCCUACGUAUUCAAUAUUUUUAUUUAUUUAUUUUAUUGUUUAAUGUUUCUGCUAGGUUUUCCUCAUUUCAAGAGUUUGGAACAUUUGGGCAUGAUGUCCACGCGCAUUGCACUCAACACCAACUUUCUUCAAGUCAUCAGUGAAUCGAUGCCUUCUCUUAAGUACUUAUCACUGUCAUAUUCUACUCUUGGCACUAACAGCAGCAGGAUUCUUGAUCGAGGUUAAUCAGAUGCUCCCACCCUCCAUUCUUAAUCUAUAAUAUUAAUUUUCAGUUAAAUAUUUAAUUACACAAACCAAUCACUUAUUAUAAAAGAACAAUACGCAUUCAUUAAUUUUUAUAUUAUAUUAAUUGAUGAAUUUAAUAAAUUCCAGGCCUCUGUUCGCCGGUGCAUCUGCAAGAGUUAUACAUUGGUUCUAACGAUUUAAGAGGUAGCUUGCCUUGGUGCAUGACAAAUUUGACAUCCCUCCGAAUAUUAGAUGUUUCUUCCAAUCAACUUACUGGAAGCAUCUCCUCGUCUCCCCUCAUUCAUUUGACAUCCAUUGAAAAGCUGUAUCUUUCAAACAAUCACUUCCAGAUCCCAAUUUCACUUGAACCACUUUUCAAUCAUUCAAGACUCAAGACUUUUUAUGCUGACAACAACGAACUAAAUGCAGAAAUAACUCAGUCACAUUCUUUGACCGCCCCAAACUUCCAAUUAUCACGUCUCUCAUUGUCUUCCGGUUAUGAAGAUGGCGUCACAUUCCCCAAAUUCCUUUACCAUCAACAUGAUCUGGAGACUGUUGAGCUCUCACAUAUAAAGAUGAAUGGAGAAUUUCCAACUUGGUUGUUGGAAAACAACACAAAAUUGAGACAACUUUCUCUCGUCAAUGAUUCUCUUGGAGGACCUUUCCGGUUGCCAAUUCAUUCACACAAGCGGUUAGGAAUGUUGGAUAUAUCCAACAACAACUUCCGAGGCCACAUUCCAAUAGAAAUUGGAGAUGUUUUACCAAGUCUAUACCUUUUCAACAAUUCCAUGAAUGCUUUAGACGGUAGCAUUCCCUCUUCAUUUGGUAAUAUGAAAUUCCUCCAAAUUCUGGACUUAUCCAACAAUCACUUGACUGGUGAAAUCCCCGAGCACUUGGCCGUUGGUUGCGUCAACUUGCAGUCUCUUGCAUUAUCAAAUAACAACCUACAAGGUCACAUGUUCUCUAGAAAUUUUAACUUGAUAAACUUGAAAUGGUUACAAUUGGAGGGCAAUCGCUUCAUAGGUGAGAUCCCACAAAGUUUGUCUAAAUGCUCCUCACUAGAAGGAUUGUAUCUUAACAAUAAUAGUCUUUCGGGUAAGAUUCCACGAUGGUUGGGUAAUCUCACAUGGUUACAAUAUAUUAUAAUGCCCAAUAAUCAUCUUGAAGGCCCUAUUCCAGUGGAGUUUUGUCAGCUUGAUUUGCUUCAGAUUUUGGACAUUUCAGACAACAACAUAUCUGGAAGUUUACCAUCUUGUUUCCAUCCUCUCUCUAUCAAACAAGUUCAUCUUUCAAAAAAUAUGUUACAUGGACAGCUAAAAAGAGGUACAUUCUUUAAUUGCUCUUCCCUUGUGAUAUUAGAUCUUAGCUAUAAUCGCUUGAAUGGCAGCAUUCCGGAUUGGGUUGAUGGGCUUUCUCAGUUAAGCCACCUUAUCUUAGGUCAUAAUAAUCUUGAAGGUGAAGUGCUAGUUCAAUUGUGCGAAUUGAACCAACUACAAUUGUUAGAUCUUUCUAAUAAUAAUCUUCACGGUCCUAUUCCUCCUUGCUUUGAUAACACCACACUUUAUGAAAGUUACAGCAAUAGUUCUAGUCUUGAUGAGCAAUUUGAAAUAUUUUUUUCCAUCGAAAGCCCUCAGGGAAAUGUAGAAAAGCAAAUCCAUGAAAUUUUUGAGUUCACAACAAAGAACAUUGUGUACAUUUACCAAGGAAAAGUGCUUAGCCUCCUAUCAGGACUUGAUCUUUCUUGCAACAAGCUAAUUGGUCCUAUUCCUCCUCAAAUUGGAAAUUUGACAAGGAUUCAAACAUUGAAUCUAUCACACAACGACUUGAUAGGAUUGAUCCCAUCAACAUUUUCAAACUUGAAGCAUGUCGAAAGUUUGGAUCUUUCCAACAACAAAUUGAAUGGGAAAAUCCCUCAUCAACUAGUGGAGUUAAAGACAUUGGAGGUUUUCAGUGUGGCAUACAAUAACUUAUCAGGCGAAAUUCCAGAAUGGACUGCACAAUUUGCAACCUUCAAUGAGAGUAGCUAUGAGGGAAAUACUUUUCUUUGUGGAUUGCCAUUGCCCAUUUGCAGAUCACCAGCAACUAUGUCGGAGGCUUCAAUUGGCAAUGAACGAGAUGAUAAUUUAAUUGACAUGGACAAUUUCUUUAUCACAUUUACAACAUCGUACGUAAUUGUGAUAUUUGCAAUUGUUAUUAUUUUAUAUGUAAAUUCUUAUUGGCGACGUAGAUGGUUUUACUUUGUUGAAAUGUGGAUAACUUCAUCUUACUAUUUUGUUGUAGACAAUCUUAUUCCAACAAGAUUUUAUCAUUGAAAUUAAUUAGUAGUUUAAUUACGAUUCUUUAAGUACUAAUCAAGUUUGUUUAGGAAAUAUUUUUUUAUUAAAAUUGUAGUAGUAUUUAGCAUUAUAUAGCUUCCAACUUCCAAGCACUUCACAUUUGUCUCUACACUUAAAAAACUGAGUGAUCAUGUUUUGCAGAUCUGGAUUUGGAGCAGGAUGGAUCCAAACCCAUAUCUGUCCACCGUAACUUAUAGCUUCCCUAUACUGUGCAGCAUACUUAAAUAAGAGAACCAUCUCCAAUGUUAAAAGCAUUCACUCUAUAACAUUCAUUUAGAAACUAUAUUCAGAAUAAUUUUAUAAUUAAACACAAGAAAUGAAACACACAGAUACACUUGAUCGCCUAUUUUACUCUAAAAAAGAACGAUUAUUGUGCUAUCAUCAUCUUCUUCACUAGCAACAUUAACACCAAAUCGAUGGACCCAUACAUUUCAUCAAGAAAGGUCUAUAUCCAAUAAAGUUGAAGCCUAACAAAAAAUUCAAGAAGAUUCAUGCCUCGCCACAACAAGGGGCACAACAACAUCAAAGUAGAGAUUAAGCAGUAUUCUCAAAGCUAAAACUCUCAAAUCCACCCACCAGAAUUUCAUAUCUCCUCAACAAUUUUAAGAACUAAAGAUAAUUAGGAUUUAACAUUAGUUUUUUAUAUAUUAGUUUCAUAAUUUACAAAUCAAUGAAGAUGAAGAUUAUGCUAAUAAAUUCAAAUUAUACCAUACAUUCUCUAGAUGUUACCAAAAAUUUCUAAGUCAAUCCCACAUAUUUCAUAAUUUUAAGACUAGAAAAUUUCACUAGUUAGAAGUUUCAUUACCUUCAAGUGGAAGAUGAAGAACAUUAUACAAGUGAUUCAGAUUAUAUCAUACAUACUCCAAAUGCAACUAGAAAUUAACAAGUUCAUGCACACAUAUUUCAUAACAUUAUGAUUGAAAAGUUUCACAGAGAAAUUCUAAAUUCAAUCUCUUGCAUGAAGGCAAUUUGAUUGAUUUGAGUUACUUUCUUAUCAAGCUACUAAUAUAACAUUCAAGUCAGGGAGAAAAUAAAUUAAAACUGGGAAGAAAUAACAGUAAAAAUUUGUUGCUCAACAUGAUGUGUAUUUUUUUUCAAGGCAAUUUGGAAACACAAUUGUUACCACAGAUAUUCUUCUCAACUUGGAGAUAAAUACAAAUAUUAAAAUGCAUAUGAUCGCACAUACUACUUCGAGUUUAGUAAGAUUUCAUUAAAAGAAGCAAUCAAACCACUUAUCAAUUGUCGCAGUCGUUCUAUAAACUAAAAUAGCAAUAUAAUACAAGAAAAAGAACAUAUAGAUACUUGGCAAGAGUUCAUUAAGAAGUCACAUCACAUUCAGGUGAGGAGUUUGCUUCUGAUAUCUUGCUAGCUGGGGCUUUUUCUUGUCUUUCUACGUAUGCCGAGGGAAACCAACCAGCUUGGCCCUUGCAUUCACCUUCCGACCAUCCAAUAGGAGCCACCUUGAGAAGUUAUAACUAAAAUGGUGAAUUAAACAAAAGUUGACCGUUCAAAGACCUAAGGGGAAAACUAAUUCUUUUACGUAGGAGGAGUGAAUUAGUUGUGAUCACUGAAAUAACAGCAUAACUAUGGAAGCAUAACAAGAUAUAAAUUCACACGUCUAUAAGGGUAAACUGGGUGGUUGAGAACUGAGCUAGCAACCCUACUAUAUUCUGAUUUGCACUUCAAUGUAAAAGGGAAUAUAUGGUAGGAAGAAAGAAAACCAACCAUCAUUUGUUAACUCAUUGCUUUUCAAUCAAAAUUUUAAGAACAAAAUGCCAUGUGCUUUGAACAUCAAAUAAGUAUAAGCAUUAGUUCUAAAUUCCACAUAUCAUAAGUUGUUAGAAGGAUAAGUUAAUAGCAGAGUAGAAAAAUCUAUGUGUUGGUAUUUAGAGGGGAAAGUACCUGGCGAACCACAACAUAAUCAUCAAUUGAAAGACUUAGCUCUCCAUUUGCUUGAGCAUCAAAUGGAUGUAUAACCUGCAAGAUAAUGGGAUAAAUAGAACAUAAAAAAAGCAUAACAAAAGCGGCAACAGUAGCAGCAACGUUCAUUGUAACCACUAUGAUCAUGGCCAACAAAGAUAUAUUAGAAACAAAAUUCCAUUUUUACUACGACAUUAAUAUGUACUAUACGAUAUCAUGACGAUUGGGUUACUAAGAGCUAUCAAAGUCUAAUAAGUUCUGUAUAACUUUAUGUAGUUAUUUAAAUUAUGGAUCAGAUUUUAAAUUUGAAAUUUUGACUGCUCUCCACAAAACAUGGCCUAUGCACAAGAAAGUCAUAGAUAAUGAGGAUUACAAGUGUCCGACAUCUUUUGAGUGAUGGAUUUAACAUGAGAGCUUAUGGUCAGUCAAUUUCCUCUGCCUAGCAAUAUAAGCUUUCUCGGCCAGAUUUAUCAUCAAAUACAUAGAUUGCCCCCAAGUCACAUCCAUAUAAACAUAGUUUUUCUAGGUAAACCAAGUAAGGAGUAUCAUAAUUCAGACAUAAUCAUAAAAAGGCCCAUCUAACUUAAGAGAAAAUCUCAAAAAGAGGGAUGCUGAGCUAUCAGUCUUGUAUCUAUAAGCAAUAUCAAGACUUUACGUCACCUGCUACAUCGUGAGUGGCUACACAACUUUCAGUGGUUUGUCUUUCUUUGGCACGCCUAACUCAGCUUUGAUGUUGCUGAGAUAUUGAUAGUAGAGACACAUGAUACUUCUAGCUCAUGCAUUCUAUCUAACUCAUCCAACAACUAUCUCUUUUUUAAUUCAUUAGUGUUUGCUAAACCUCAUGCUUAAAAGUCCUGUUCUCCUAAACAAAGUUUCCUAAGAAUGACUUCCUUAGCACCACAGUUGGACACUUUUAGAGCAAUUUUAUUUGGGGGAAAAGAAUUUUCAAGGUGUUAACUAAUAAAUUUUAAAAAAUAAUUACAAUUUGUCCUACGAUCAUAUGACAAUUUAUCUGGGAUGAAAGGAUACAGAUAGACAUCUUCCACUUUCAAGACUAAUCACUACUUCCGUAGAUGUUGUGCAAUAAUACAAAUACUUGACCAGAUGGUAGAAAAAAAUUUUAUUGCUCCAAAAUUAAAAUAAGAAUGCAAUAUGUUAAGCAAAAGGCUGUGCAACAUCAAAUUAAUUGAUAAGUUUGUAAUUCAGUAAAUUAACAACUUUCAUGGUAAAAUACAACAAAUUUCUUUUGAAAAAAAAUAAAUAAAUCUUAAAAGACAACAUUCAAUUUUGUGUACAUCUUAUUUCUUAAGAUUUUUCAGGAGGAGGGCAAUAGAGGGACUUUCACCUAUGCAAGAGAGCAGAAGCCUUACUUUCCCUAUAAAGUAGACGUCAUUCUGAUUAAUAUGCGUUUGCAAAUCAGCUCCGUUUGAAUCAGUAUUCUGAUAGACACACGAGGCAUUUACAUCCAUUUCCAAAGUCACAUGUUGCGAGGAGGACUCAUUUGAUUGCUCCUAUACGAUCAUCUAAUUCAAGUAGCAAGGGUUGGAAGAGAAUAAAAAGUCACAAUUAUUCUUUUGCAUAAGUGAGACGAAAAUGAUAAAUGCAAUAUUAUCAGCAGUAAACAAGAAGAGAACGCUCCAAGAAAUAGAUAGAUGCAGACAGGCAAGUUAAAAUGCAUAGUCCCAAACCUCCGCAUACAACUUCUCUAAAAUAGCAAUAACGUGUUGAUGCUAUGUUUUCUCAGCAUCUACCUGCAAAGGCCCGAGACCAGGAAAACAACAAUAAAGGAGAAAGUAAAGAAAGAAAUACACUUGACAUAAAUCUUGAAAAGAAGCACAAUUUAAGACAUAACAAACCCCAAUCAUAUUGUUUAGAACUACCAUUCGUUAUUUCGUUAUUGUAGCAUUUCGAACAAGCGUUGACUUAAUUCAACAUUGUUGGAAAGAUAGGCUUUUAGAAGCGGAAGAAAGCCACUCAAACCAAAGUGAUUGUCCUUGUAUUGAUCAAGGGAUGUAAACAUAUUACAUUUGCAGGAUGAGUUUUAAUCACUCCCCUGAUUUAUUUGGGAUGCAGUAAAACUAAGCGAGCAACUGUUUGACUUUCAAGCAACAUCUAAAUCAGCUAUUAAAAUUCAAAUAAAAUUAUAAUAGAAUAAUAACAGGCCAUCUUGCAUCAAAAAUUAAGUUUAAUUUGUGAAUUUUUUUCUAUAGACAUGUUAGUUCCUGCUAUUGAAAUGUUAAAAGCAUUGAAAAAUUAUUCAAUAAAUUAUGCAAACAUUAAAAUAGAGGACAUAUUAAAAAGUUUCUAAUUACAAUGUUAAGAUUUCCUAUAUUUUAGCAUUUGCAUAUUUUAAUUUAUUUAAAAGCUACGUAGAUCAACUUUGGGCAUGAAGAUUUUAGCUUCUACGAGACUUGAUUGGAAUAUGCAUAAGGAAGUGUGUUAAAAUAUGAUGCAUCCAACGAAAGACAAACCACGUGUAGUCUUUUAAUUAAGCCAAAGUAGCAGCUCAAACAAAUGACACUUGGACCAACAUGCAAUCAUGAAGUGGCCGGAAAAAGGACAAAUGCAACUUUGGCUUAAAUAAAAAAUAACAUGUGACUCGACUUUUGCUGGACAUGCAUCAUGUUAUUACAAGACAACAAAAAUCAGUAUGAUAGUACUAAAAGUUGACAAUAACAUGAAGAUAAGAGGCAGAAUGUCAACACAUGCAUAGGCACACACAAGAAAGUAUUAACGUAUAUACCAUAGCAAAAAGUAUUUGAUAUGUCAUCUGUUGCUGCUGUGAUUCAACUGACAGCAUGGCAGCUGUUGCUUCUCUACCAAGAGCCAUUAUUGUAGAUUUAAGCUCGGUCAAUCUUGCUUCUGCAUUUCGAAGCUUCACAGCACUCUCUGCUGAUAUAUCAGAUUCCCUAAUCUUUGAUCGGUGCCUAAAUACUUCAGCUGCCUGGUGAAAAUAUUCAAUAUAAAUCUAAUAUAAUUCUCAUCUUGCCUUAUGCAUGCAUAUGUUACCUCAAAGCUUACCUGGGCUUCAACUUCAUGUCGAAGUUUGUCAUAACGAUGAGUCAGGUGUCGAGCAUCUUCCAAAGGUGCUCCGUUGAUUAACGCCCGUAGUGGCUCAGAUACCUACAUGUCCAAAAACCUGUAACAUAGUUAGAAAAAUGAAAAGAAAGAGCGAAACCUCAAUUAAAAAGUUCCUCCAACAUAAUCAUGGAAUUUGGGCCUACUUCAAGGAUAUAUAUAUAAGGAUAAUUUAUGCAAUUUUGGGUCUUAGGAUGAUUCAUAUUAGGUUAGUGUUCUUCUCUUCUGUAUUUAAGGUUAAAAUAGAAAUAAACCUAUGCAAAUAUAUAAAUUAGGGCUGUAAGACUUCCACAUGCAUCCUUCAGUCUCAUGGAUUUGAUUUUACUAUAGAUGCAAGUGUCUUUAUCGAAAAUGCUUGGAGUCAAUUGAGAGAACUCACGGCCAAUAACUUGUCACACGCUAGUCUUUGCUAGUGAUGUAAGAAGUCACAAGGUCUCUUCAGCAUUUGAACCAAUAAAAUUAUUAAGUCAUGGAUGUCACUAGCAAUGAUUUUAAUAUAAAAUAUUAAAUAUUUCAAGUUGUAACUUUAAAAUGGAUUCUUUUAUUCAAUAUCUUAGAACUAAGUUUCCUUAUGAGAAGAUAAUAGUUUCAGUAGUAAUGUACAUAUAAUUUUCUAUAUUUGAAUUAUUUUCUAGUUAGGGAUGAACUAACCUGAUCACGAAGAAUCCCAAGCAAAGUUUCCCUCUCAUUUUCCAUCAAAUCAUGUGAAGUGCCAAAUUGAAGAGCAGCUCUUGCAACGCAAGAAUUGUCACUUUGAUUCUCCACUCCAUACUUGCAACAAUCUUCGGCCAACUUUCUCGCUACAAUAUUUGAAUACAAAAAUAUUGUACACAAGAACUAGUCAAGAAAAUUAAAAAAAAAAUCAAAUAUUAUAACGAGAGCAAGAGCAAACGAACAACCUAUUUCCAUUUGUUUCAAGCUUACUGCAACAAACACUUCAACGCCACGGACAACAUUCCUCUGACAAUAUUCCAAAUUAUUGUUCAGAUAAAACCAUAGAAACCAUCAUAAUUGUUCAACAUACAUUAAGCUAAAGGAGGAUGGUGCCUUAGCUGCCCUGGUGGAAUUGUAUAGAUUUUGAAGUUGUUGGUGACACUCAAUUUCAGAUUCAUCAACCGCAACAUUUUCAAUACCAAGAUGGAGCAGAUGCUUCAAUACUGCCUGUACAAAUCAUAAAAAACUAAUGAAAAAUAAAUAAAAUCGAGAAAUUUCACUAACUAAAAGUCUAAAUAUAAUUUUUUUAAAAAGAAAAGAAACGGACUUGCUGCUGCUUGGCGACUUGUUCUCGGAGCUUGAUUGCCUGUUUCUUGAUAGCUUCCAUACUGUUUCUUUCAAAAAGCGACGACGGCUCAGCUCAUGGAGGUGGAAAAAAAAAGUGUGAUCGGGAAAAAUAAAAAGGCAUGAAUAAUUUUUGAAAAAAAGCGAAAAUCAAGGAAAGCCAGCUCUUUCCAGAAAAUAAAAAAAGAAAAAAGAAAAAAGAAAAUUAUAAGUUUGAAAGGAGAAGAUGAUUGUGGAAGUGUGCGGUGUGGCUGACAGCUACUUGGAUUGUAUUGUCGGGUAAGGUAAUAGUAGAGAAUUUUUUUUUUUUAAGAAAAAUAGUAGAGAAUUUUUUAAGAAGCUAGAACAGAGCAUGACAUUAGACUUUUGUUGACCAAAGGAUGUUGUUUUAUUCUUCUUAUACUUUACGUUUGGUUUGGUUUUUCAAACUAAAUAAUCAAGUAGCAAAAAUACAAAUUUAGAGAUUAGGGGGUGAACUAGCUAGGUGGUUUACAAAUAUUCCUAUUUGUAAGGUGAAUUAAUUGAAUCAUGAGAAAACAAUGUGACCAUAGCUCAAUAUGAGAUGAUUUCGGAGAGGCAUAUUGUUUUCAAGUGAAUUUGAUCCAUUAAGAGAUGAAGUGGAUUGAAGUGGAAAGUUUAAAUAACAAAUCCUUGUUCUUGAGUUUUACGACGUUGUUACUCCUUCAGGUGGCAGAUUAUGCAAGUGAAUUCAAAAACACAAUGCAUCAAUCACGGGGAUGCUACAUCAAAAGACGGGAUCAUAGUCUAUGCAUUGAACAGUUACAGUUGCUGCUACCAAUUGCCUCGGCAAAGAUCAAGAAGACUGAACGGGAAGUUAAUGCCAUCAAGGAGUUGUCUAGUGUUCUUUUCCUUAUGCUAUGAUCGGUGCUCUUGAGGCUGCCCUGAAACACAGGAAAAUACUUCGAUAUCCUCCAUUCGAUGAUGCAAAGAACCGGUUAAUGUAUGAUUACCUAAUUGACUCAGGAUCAGGUAACAACAACAACAAUUUAUUAAUAGUAAUAUCACAAACGAAGAAGAUUUCGGAGAGGGAGAUGUAAGCGUAUACUGUUUACAGGUUUGAUCCACUGGGGAUGAAGUGGUCUCAAGUGGAAAGUGAUUUAUUAAACAACAAAUCAUUGUUCUUGGGUUAUACCUCAUGAUGUCAUCAAGUGGAAGAUGAAGAUCGUUUGAUAUUGAAGAAUUUGAACAGAAAGCCCAUAGAAAGUACUUAAAUAAGCAUAUUCUUGUUGGGGUAGAAUAUUAAGAAAGGAGUUGUCUACUGUGUGUUGCGUAAUUAUGCUAUGAUCGGUGCUUUCAACAUUGCCCUGAAAACAGUGGGAAAUACUUCAUACCCUCGACAUGAUGAUGAAAAAUUGGUUACCGAUUACCUAAUUGACUCAGGUGACAACAAUCCAUUAAUAGCACAAUUUGACGUGAUGCCGUUUAGGUAUAUGGUUUUCAAGUUUGAUUCAUCAGUGAUGAAGCGGACUAAAAUUAAAAGUUUAAAUGAUAAGUCAUUGUUCUUGGGCAUAUCGUCAUUACUACUUCCAGUGAUCAACGAUGAAGAUGAAGAUGAAAAUUGUGCGAGUUCAAGAUUACCAUUUAUCAUUACUUGGGAUAUUACUUCAACAUAGAUGGGGUUAUAAUUUACUCCCACGAACAUCAACUCAACUUUAUGAUUGGAGUGUCUCACCGUGACUCAGACAAAUUCUGAUUCAACCUCCUUCACCAAUGGAUUUUGAUUAGUUAUUUUGUGAUCAAGCAACUUAAUUAAACUCACAGUUUGUUAGUCUAAUUUUAGUUUUACUGUGACCACUAUUCAAGGUAAGCGAAAGUUACAGAUGUGGCAAAAUCAAUAAUUAAAUUCAUAAAAUGUUAAAAAAUAAAACUUAUAAAUGUUGCAUGACUACUUACUAAUAAAUAAAUAAGUUAGAAUGUAGUUAGUUAAUUUUACACCAUAUUAUAUAUUAUUCGAUAAUAAUAUAAAAUAAAAAUAAUUAAAAAAUAAAUAAUUGAAUAAAUAAAUAUGGCUUUCUAAACAGUAAAAAUUCUAGAGUUAAAAUUUAUAUUAUUAUUUUAUUUUUUAAAAUUGACAUUUUUCUAUUGUCUUACAUGUACAAAGAUUUUGAGAGUUGAGAAGAAUAUAUUUAAUGAAGCUUGAUAACAUUUGAUGGGAUAGCAAGUAAGGGUAAAUAAGAUAUUUUUAUUUGUUAUUUAUUUGAAUUAUAUCUAUUUGUUCAAGUUAAAAUACUAAAUAUAAAUUGGAGGUAGACAUUUUAACAGAUCAUCUAAGCUCUCAAAUCUGAAAUUUUGUGUAGAUUUAAAUUCAUAAUCCCCAAUUAUUUGAUCAGCAACUAUCAAGAACUAACCAAAUUUAUUUCUUCAUGACUUCCAAACACUAGAAAAUUUUGUUAUUUGAUAAUAAUAUCAUUAAUUAGAGUUUAUCAAACCGCAUUAUUUUCUUUCAUAAAAUUGAUGCCUAUUAGUGUCACACUUUAUUUGUAUUACCUAGCGGACAUCAACUUUUUUUUUAAUUUUUUAAAUUAAAAAGACCAUUUGAUUUUAACCCAUGUUCUUGGCCUUAGGGAAGCUGACUUCUUUUAUAGUCAGGCGAUGAGUUAAGAAGUGACAUAGCAUUCAGGCGAUGAGUUUAUUUUUGUUAUCUUGCUAACAGUUUUAGUCUAAUUUUAGUUUUACUGUGACCACUAUUCAAGGUAAGCGAAAGUUACAGAUGUGGCAAAAUCAAUAAUUAAAUUCACAAAAUGUUAACUAAUUAAAUUCAUAGAGUUGCACAAUUUCAUCAACUUGGAAGAAUUGACUUUAAUGGACUGGCCUUCUCCCCCUAUAAUUCUAAUGCUUCUAGGAAGCAAAUUUUUAUAAAUUAUUUAUUUUUGAGUUAAUUUCAAUUUCAAAAAACAAAUUUUUUAAGUUAUUGAUACUCUAAUGAGAGUAUCUUCAUAACAAUUCCCUUGCUCCAAUAAUAACAAAAAGGUGGUUACUUAGAAAUAAUUAAAAUAAAUAAGUGUUGAUUAUAUAUCCUAAUUUGCAUCGAUUUUUUUUUACCUUAAUUUCAGGAAUUUGGAAUAUAAGUUUGUGAAUGGAGGAUGAUCACGCGUGUGUUAAUUUUUCAGUCAUUGACUGUCGUAUUCUCGACUUAACGAUAGUGUUCUUGAUCAAGGGCAAUGACUCCCACCCCUCUUUUAAAAAUAUUGUCAAGUAUAUUGAUGACAAAAUCUCUUAUAGUUAAUAGUCUUUAAAAAUUUAUAGAUUUACUAUUGUCAUGACCAAAUUAUUCAUGUUUAAUGAAAUAUUAAUGCAUCAAAAUAGAUAUCUUCGGAAUCUAAUCCGAUCGGCUCAAUCCGUUUCAUUCGCAAAAGUGCAAUCCGCAAAAAUUUGAUCUGUGGAUUAGUGGAUUGGAUUGGAUUGAAAGUUUAAAAAUCCAUAGUCGAUAAAUUGGAUAUCGAUUUACUUCUCUAAAUAUGCAAAAAUUCAUGAAUUCGCAAAAAAAAAAAAUGUAUUUACUAAUAAAUAAAUAAGUUAAAAUGUAGUUAGUUAAUUUAACACCAUAUUAUAUCUUAUUCGAUAAUAAUAUAAAAUAAAAAUAAUUAAAAAAUGAAUAAUUGGAUAAAUAAAUAUGACUUUCUAAACAGUAAAACUUCUAGAGUUAAAAUUUAUAUUGUUAUUCUAUUUUUUUAAAUUGACAUUUUUCUAUUGUCUUACAUGUACAGAGAUUUUGAGAGUUGAAAAGAAUAUAUUUAAAUAAAAUAUUUUUAUUUGUUAUUUAUUUCAAUUAUAUCUAUUUUGUUCAAGUUAAAAUACUAAAUAUAAAUUGGAGGUAGGCAUUUUAACAGAUCAUCUAAGCUCUCAAAUCUGAAAUUUGUGUAGAUUUAAAUUCAUAAUUUUAGUUAAUUUUCAUAUAUUCAUAUAAACAAAUUUAUGAGAUUUUUUUCUUUUCAACAUGUUAUAUUUUUAAACUUUCAAUGUAUUAUUUUAGCUAUAUUUAAACAAUUAAUUUAUUUAAUUUUAAAUUUGAUCAGUAUAAAAUGUUUUUAUAUCAAAUUUUUUUAUUUAAAUAGUUCGUGGAUUGGACAAAAUUAAACAUUUUUAAUUCUUAAAUGAUGGAUUGGAUAUGAAUUGGAUCAAAUCCACAUUCGAUCCGCAGUUAUAUGGAUUGAAUUUGAAUUGAAUUUCAUCAAUCUAUGGAUUAUAUUGGAUUAAAAAUUUAUAAUCCACAAAAUCGUUGAUUAGAUAUGGAUUGAUGUCCAAUUCGCAAAAUCUAAUUGCCGAACACUCCACUAUCAAAAUUUUCAAAAAUAUGUUUUAUCCUAUAAUUUUUUUUUAAAGUCAUAGUCUAAUGGCAGCUCAAUUUCUACUGCAUUCAUAUAAGCGGAGUUCAAAUCUCAUACCUCUUAUCUCCACACGAGAUUUAACCAGUUGAAAUAGCUAGCACCCACAAAUAUACUAGUACAGCAUCUCUUAACGUUUAACAUACGUAUAAUUAACGCCAUAGCUAUUGAUAAACACAUUGUUCAAUAUAUAUGAUCAAGAAUCUGAUCCUGCGAGCAACAGCAGUAAGAAGAACCAUUAUAAUGCCUAGCUCUUAUCCCGGUUAAUCCUCUGGCCCGAUGCUUCAUCAUAGUGAUUUAAAAAACAAACAACAGCUCUCUAAAAGAGAUGAAGAUAUCAUCUACGUAAAGAACAUGAAACGGAGAUUCACAACCCAUAAGAACUGAGAUAAAUUGGACCAGACCGGUAAUCUUGAGAUAAGUUAAACUGUGACCUAAGUUGAAAUCAGAGGACCAGAAUUUUAAAAUCUUUCGGCUAAGCCCCUGAGCAAUUUUCUAGAGUACGGCUUCUGCUUACCUCUGUUUAAUUUCUCUUUAUAUUUUUCUUUCAUUUCAUUAAUAAAGUCAAAUAAUAAAUCAAAGAACGAGGGAAGAUUUUUCCAAGUCAUGCAUUAUUUGAUUACCAUCAAUCAAGAAACCGACCAAAUUAAUUUCUCUCCGUGAUUUUUAAAAAUUAAAAAAAAAAUUAUUUGAACAUAACAUCAUUAAUUAUAGAGUGGAUCAAACUGCGUUAAUCAUGAAACUGAUACCUAUUAAGAGUCAAACUUUUUACUUAUGCAUACUAAAAGACAUCAAAUUGUUCCGAUCCCCAAUUAUUUGAUCAGCAACUAUCAAGAACUGACCAAAUUUAUUUCUUCAUGACUUCCAAACACUAGAAAAUUUUGUUAUUUGAUAAUAAUAUCAUUAAUUAGAGUUUAUCAAACCGCAUUAUUUUCUUUCAUAAAAUUGAUGCCUAUUAGUGUCACACUUUAUUUGUAUUACCUAGCGGACAUCAACUUUUUUUUUAAUUUUUUUAAAUUAAAAAGACCAUUUGAUUUUAACCCAUGUUCUUGGCCUUAGGGAAGCUGACUUCUUUUAUAGGUGAUAUCUGCUUGAACUUUGGUGUGUUAAUUAUUUCAAUCCCCAAUUAUGUAAUUUUUUAAAUUAUAGCCUAACGGCGGUCUCAUCACCACGUGUGUGAUUUUCUUUUGCCAAUAGGAUCUGCAGAGAGCUUGAUCUCAUCCAAUAGCAAAAUAAACUUCCUAAUAAGUGAAGGUAUAGUAUAAAUAUUUCACCCCCAUAUUAUUUAUUAGCAGCUUGAUUAUUUUAUAUGCAUCUUUGAUUUUAAUUUUUUUUCCCAUAAUUGCUACUAUGUUCGAACUGGUCAUGAAUUAUCUAUAAGAUUUUUCAUGUUGCUUUUAGGUGCAUUGGAUUUUUUGAGUUUAGUGCAAGAGUAGAGGAAGGCAAAUUAAGAAAAAGGAUAAAGAUCUAUGAUUAGCUAUUUUGGGAUGUCUCAUAACAUAUUGAUGCUAACAUUAUACAUAUGUAUAUCUAAAUAAUGGGCUUGGAUCAAGAGCCCAUUAAUAAUCAUAGAUUAGCUUAUAUAGUUCAAAAAAUGUACCAUAAAGCAAUUUUACAAGCACUUGUUAGCCUAUGUUGAGCUUUAUUAUCAAUAGUUCAUAGUUCAUCAGUGCACUGCAAGUUUACUAUUUGAAGUAAAUGUUGUGGUGCGUGCAUUCUUCAUAAGGCCAACUAUUGAAUUUAGCAUUGAAACUUACAAAAUGUAAUAGAAAGAGGUAGAUAACAGCCAUAAAACACUAAGAUUGGAAAUCAGGGCAACUAAAUACUAUUACAAGCCCUUAGAAAAGACAGCGAUCAUCCUGAAAUAUAUAUACUGAAAGUAAGAAAUGUUAAUCGCAAAGUUAUGUGCCAACAGAACUAUUGACUACUUGUCUCUAGUAGAAAGUAAAUAUUUUUAACUUCAGCCCUCUACUUUGUUCUAAGAACAAGGCAAUAUAAGGAAACAUCGGUGUCUAAAAUUUGCCGCUUGGAAUAUUUCACUGUCUAAACAUUCACUCACCACUUAUUUCAUUAAUGAAUUUUGUCUAAUUAUAUGUUGAUAAAGAUAUUAGAGUAAUAUAAUACAUUUAAGGCUUAACUUAUAUUUUUUAUUAGUAGAGUGUAGAACUUUUAAGAAAUAAAUUAUUAAAUUACUAUAACUAACAUAUUAUUUUAAAGUUAUGUUAAGGAAAAGAAUGAAACAAAAAUAAAUAAAUAAAUAAGGGUAUUCUAAAACUUUGAUCUUUUUAAAAGUAGAUUUUGACAUAGAUAAAAUAAUUUUUAUAUUUUUUAAAUCACAUACUCUAGUUAAAAUCAAAUUGUAUUUAUAAAGUUUGUAAAUUUUUUUUUUUUUAGCACUGAUAUUUGAACACUAUCAAGAUAAGAAAUAGGGCACUGGUCAUGCUACAACAUUAUUAUAGCACAUAAAAAGACAAUACCAUUUAUUUUAUUGUACUAUCAUUGUUGUUAUAAUAGUAUUUUUGUUAGUGGUCAAAUAUUAUUUUUUUAAGUAAAAAAAGUGAACAAUGUAAAUUAACUUUUAAUCUCUCCUAAAUUCUAAUUCCUAGUUACGAAACAAAAUUGUUUAAAACCAUAGGUGAUAGGUGAUAGAAGUUACUAACACAAGCAAAUUUGACGGUCCAUUUUAUAAAAUUUGUUAUUUACCAUUUUACCACCUAUAUAAGGAGUGCCGCAUCGACAUAUCAACUCAUUUGCAGAUUAUUUUAAUUUUGUAAAAUUCAUUUAACCUGCACUUGGUCGCCCCUAUUCUCUGAAUGGUUAUGGCGAUAUCAUCAUUAUCGUUACUUGUACCAACGCUAAACCCUUCUUAUUCCCUUUCUCGCCUGUCAUACCCUAACAUUAUAUCCCGUGUCCACACUAAAGACAAGUAGUCAAUUCAAGCCAUCAGAUUAUAGUGGACCCACAUCAAUCCAACUACUUACAAUGACCGACAGCCUCUCCAUCUCCAUUUCAGGUUUCCUCUUCAACUGGCUUCUGCUUCCGCUGUAUUUGCUCCAUUUCUUGGAUUCGGAGUCCGUAUUUGGUCGGUCGGUCCCGCACAGCUCCCUCUCACUCCAAUUGUCACCCAACAAGACCAAUUGCUUAAUCAAGGCACAGAACAAGAAGAGGAUGAGAAAUUGAAACAGAAUUUGAGAAUUGGAAAUCGAAAACGUACGCAUUGACCGUGCCUUUGAGGGCAAUUACUUUUCUUGAGAAUUGAAGUUUGGUAAUGUAAUUUGUUCUCCAUCUGUGUUCCUUUGUAGUCAUUUCAUUUAUUUGUUUGUUUGCUUUAUUUGCACUUACGAAGUCUCAGGUAUACCUACGCAGGAAUGAGCAGGAGAAAUUGAUCCUCGAGGUAACAUAUGGGCGCGCCAUAUCGGUGGGGCACAGUGGUGAUAGCUUACAAGAAAGUAAAUUUCGAAAGCAUAAUUUGGUUCCGAUUGAGGUAAUAAUUGUCUUUAAGCUCAUUUAGUUUUAUAUCAAACAAAAUCAAGACUGCCUUUCUCUUCAAUAGUUUUGAUGAUAAUAUCUUUAGAAGCAUCUCAUUGACAGGUAAUCGUGGUACCCCUUAAAGAGUCUAUAAACUCAAGGAUAUUAUCUUCUGCAAAUGGUUCAUUAAACUUCUUAGAUGUAGUUAAAUGUACACUGAGAACAACGAGAAGCUAUGCCACUGUAGCAUGUAGUGAUGGCACUUAAUGAGUGAGUUGCUAGGAUAUGAACUAGAAAAAUUAAACAUUGUCUCCCUGGGUAUGCUAGCUUGUAAGUCGGUUAAUAUUAGAGCUUGAGAUACUAUAACCAUGAGAAGCUAUUGACCGCCGAUUAAAAUAUCCAUUAAAAUGUCUAGGGAGUUAUGAAGGUGGAGGUGUCUCCCAAUUUCUAAGGCCAUAUAGUAGACAUCAUCCAGGAUCCUAUUAAAGUGCAGUUAGCCUCCUGCUUGAUGCUAAUGUCAAACAAUUAAUAAAUUUGGUCAAUGUAACUGAAACUUGCUAACUGACGUCAGAUUGCGACUUGAGCACCUUAAAAUGGGAUAGACGAUUAGUAGCACUGAAUUCUUCUUGCCUAAGAUUGAGCAAUUGUUCUAACUACUAUCUCCUAUUGUAGGUUGAUUAUUAUGUUCUAAUUAUGUCGAUUUUGACCCAAAAAAUUACAUAAUCUUGAUCUGCAUAAUGUCACUGAACAGUGUCAAUUUCGUUUACCAACUAACUUGAGUUUGAUAUAACAAACACACGGUGUGUCUCUCAUGUCUCACCAUGAUGGAGAAUUUUUCUAAUGCAUGAAGCAAGCUUCGAUAUGUGGGUUAGCUUGGAGAAGAUAUCUUAAAAUGAAGAAUAUGGGGAGUUAAUGGGAAGAAACAGUUCAGUAGUUUAUAAUUCUGUCGUCGAGCUGUAUCUCUAACAUGGUCAAAAUUUAUGUGAAUAAGGACAGGGAAUCUUCAUUCCUCUUUCCCUUUUUAUACCCACAUAUCUCUCAACCUUUAUAUGUUGCUCACUGGAGAUCUGCUUCUGAUAACUAAAAUAAAAAUUUCAUCCACUCAAAUAAAUUCUGACCAAGCUUUCACAAGAAAAAGUAACAUCUUUAGUGAAGUAAUUUACAAGUAAUUUAGAGUUCCUUAUCAUCUUCUUGUGAGUCUAUCAGUAUGAUCCAAAAACAUAAUAAAUCUUGUUAGAUCCUGUUUAUUGAUGUUUAAACGCUGCUCAUUGUGAAAUGUAGAAACAAUGACGUGAAGUUUCUUUGGUCAUCAAUUAGUGAGAUCUUGUUUGAAGUUGUUUUCUGAAAUGAACUGCCAAAUGAUAGUUUUUUUUUUUUUUUCUUUGGACGCAUUUGAUGGCUCUUUUCUCCUCAUUUUAAGCAUGUGCCUGCUUGGUAUGGGAAGGAAUAGGCUUCAGAGUUGUUAUAUAUGUUGACAUGCUCUGGUCAUUACACAAUAUGUUCAAAUUGGAAAUUAGAAUGAGAUAUUUGUCGAUGCUUUUUGAGAGAUCUGCAUUCUAUGCAGCAUAACAUGAUUAAUGAAAAUGGGUUUAAGGACUGGAAAGAUCUGUGGCAGCCCAAGCUUGCAGGAAGGAUUUCAAUGGUUAAUUCUCCCAGAGAGGUUAUUGGUACAGUUUUGAAGUAUAUGGGAGCAUCAUACAAUUCAAACGACAUUAAUUAGCAAGUUGCUGCUGGGAGGAUUGCUGUUCAGCAGAAUCUGGCAUUACUGGGAAACCAGGUACUCUUAAAGAAACGAUAGCUGGUCAAUGCAUAUUAUUGCCUGACGGCUGAUUUUGUUUGUAAAGUGUGCCUUUUCAUACAUAUGAAUGCAUAUGUUAGUGUUGUCUUCUCCUUUCCAUAAAUAUGAAUGCAUAUGUUGGUGUUCUUUUCUGAGAUGGAUGCAAUAAAGGCUUUUCUUCUCUAAAUGACGAGUUUUCAUUUAAAAAUGUUAUAAAUCUGCCAUGCAUAGUAUUCUAGUAGAAUCAUCUAUAAAUUCAAGUUAUUGAAAUUGUCUAUUUGUCCAGUUUGAGUUAAGGACGCAUGUAAUAUGAAAAUAGUUGUCGAAUAUUGUAGGUUAGCUAAUAUUGAUCAAUCCUAUAGGGAGGGCUUUAAGAUGUCUAACAACAUGUAGAAUGCCCCUGCUUCCCCCACAAUUUUUAUCUUAUACAAUUUUUAUCUAUAAACAGUAUUUGCCAGACCUUAACUGUUCAGAUUCCCCUUCUCGACUAUCAUACCCUACGCCCCGUCUCCGUGUCUCCGAUAAACAGCUCAAUUAAGGCCAUCAGAUUAUCCCGGUCCCACAUUGAUCAACGGCUCACAAUGACCGACAACCUCUGUCUCCAUUACAAGCUCCCUCUUCAACUCGCUUCUGCUUCCAUCCUACUCUUUCUCAGAUUCGGAGCCCGUAUAUGCUCGCUGGUCCCACGAAGCUCCCUCUCACUCCAGCUGUCAACCGACAAGACCAAUUGCCUUAUCAAGACAGAGAACAAAAAGAGGAUGAGAAAUUGAAACAAGAAUUGAGAAUUGGAAAUCGAAAACGUACUCAUUGACCGUGCCUUUGAGAGUUGUUUCUCUUCAGAAUUCAGUGCCUCAAUCUUGGGUUAAGGAUUUUAUGCGAAGUCAAGGAAAGUGAUUGAAGUUUCAGAUGAAUUUGUGUGCUAGCAUUGGUGGGAUCUUUAACAAUUUAUCUGCCCUUUAACAAAGUCAAGGCUAAUUCAGCUUCUUAUAUGGCUGCUGAUUUGGUUAGUGUUGGUGAUUCAUGGCUUAGUUUUGCCAUUAAAGAGAGAUUGAUUGAGCCAAUGGCUGGAGCUGAAGACCAAGAUUGGUUCAAAUGCUUAAGUCACAAAUGGAAGGUAACAUCUUUAUCUUUGGCCCGAUAAUUUUUAUUGUCUUACAUUGAAAUUUGGUAAUGUAAUUUGUUCUCUAUCUGUAUUACCCUUUUUAGUCAUUUUAUUUAUUUGUUUAUUUGCUUUUAUUUGCACUAACGAAGUCUCAGGUAUAUCUAUGCAGAAUGAUGCAGGAGAAAUUGAUCCUCGAUGUGAAAUAUGGGCGGCACCAUACAGGUGGGGCACAAUGGUGAUAGCCUACAAGAAAAGUAAAUUUCGAAAGCAUAAUUUGGCUCCGAUUGAGGUAAUAAUUGUCUUUAAACUCAUUUAGUUUUAUAUCAAACAAAAUCAAGACUGCCUUUCUCUUCAAUAUUUUUGAUGAUAAUAUCUUUAGAAGCAUCUUAUUGAUGGGUAAUAAUUGUAUCCCUGAAACAGUCUAUAAACUCAAUGAUAUUAUUUCUACAAAUGGCUCAUUAAACUUUGUCGUUGUAGUCAAAUGUACACUCAGAGCAAUGACAAGCUAUGCCACUGUAGCAUGUAGUGAUGGCACUUAAUAAGUGAGUUGCUAGGAUGUGAACUAGAAAAAUUAAAUAUUGUCUCCCUGGGCAUGCUAGCUCAUAAGUCAGGGUUAAUAUUAGAACUCAAGAUACUAUAACCAUGAGAAGCUAUUGACUGCCAAUUAAAAUAUCCUUUAAAAUGUCUAGGAAGUUAUGAAGGUGGAAGUAUCUUCCGAUUUCUGAGGCCACAUGGUAGAUAUCAUCCAGGAUCCUAGUACAGUGCAGUUAACCUCCUGCUUGAUGCAAUUAAUAAAUUUGGUCAAUGCCACUGAAACAUGCUAACUGACGUCGCAAUGCGACAUGAGCACUUCAAAAUGGGACAGACGGUCGGUAGCACUAAAUUUUUCUUGCCUAAGAUUGAGCAAUUGGUCUAACUACUAACCCCUUUUGUAGUUGAUCAUUAUUUUUCAAUUAUUUUCAGUUUGACCCAAAACGUUACAGAAUCUUGAUCUGAAUAUUGUCACUGAACAUUGUCACUGAACAUUGUCAAUGUCGUUUAGCGUAGCCAACUAACUUGAGUUUGGUAAAACAAACACACAGUGUGUCAUGUCUCACAAUUCAAAUUAUCAUUUGUAAUGAUGGAGAAUUUUUCCAAUAUGAAGUAUGCUUUGAUACGUGGGUUACCUUGGGGAAGGUAUCUCAAAAUAAAGAAUAUGGGGAGAAAAGUUCAGUAGUUUAUUAUUAUGUAGUCAAGUUUUGUCUCAAAAAUGGUCCAAAUUUAAAUGAAUAAGGACCGGGGAUCUUCAUUCUUUUUUCCCUUUUUUAUACCUAGAUAUCUCUCAACCUUUAUAUAAUCCCCACUGGAUAUCUGCUUCUAAUAAUUAAAAUAAAAAUUUCACCCACACAAAUAAAUACUGACCAAGCUCUAACAAUAAAAAGUAACUUCUUUAGUCAAGUGAUUUACAGUUCCUCAUCACCUUAGUGAGACUAUCAGUGUGUUCCAAAAACAUAAUAAAAUUGGUUGUUCCUGUUUAUUGAUGUUUAAAUGUUGUUCAUUGUGACAUGUAGAAAUGAUGAGGCGAAGUUUAUUUGGUCAUCAAUUUGUAAGAUCUUGUUUGAAGUUGCUUUCUGAAAUGAACUGCCAAAUGGUAGUUUCUUUGGGGCAUUUGAUGGCUCUUUUUUCCUCAUUUUAAACAUGUGCCUGCUUGGAACAGGAAGGAUUAGGCUGCAGAGUUGUUAUAUAUUUUGACAUGCUCUAGUCAUUGCACAAUUUGUUCACACUGGAAACUAGAAUGAGAAAUUUGUUGCAUUCUAUGCACAAUAACAUGAUUAAUGAAAAUGGAUUGUAGGACUGGAAAGAUCUGUGGCAGCCUGAGCUCGCAGGACGAAUUUCAAUGGUUAAUUCUCCCUGAGAGGUUAUUGGUUUAGUUUUGAAGUAUAUGGGAGCAUCAUACAAUUCAAACGAUAUUGAUUCGCAAGUUGCUGGUGGGAAGAUUGCUGCUUCAGCAGAAUCUGGCAUUACUGGCAAACCAGGUACUCUCAAAGAAAUGAUAUCUGGUCAUUGCAUGUUAUUACCUGACAACUGAUUUUGUUUGUAAAAGUCUGCUUCUUCAUACAUAUGAAUGCAUAUGUUAGUGUUUUUCUUCCUUUUCAUACAUAUGAAUGCAUAUGUUGCUUCUUUUCCUUUCCAUACAUAUUAAUACAUAUGUUGGUGUUCUCUCCUGAGAUGGAUGCAAUAAAGGUUUUUCUGAAGAAAUGGCAAGGGAUGUGAGAUUCUGUCUCAUAAAAUUAACAAAAACCCAAAACAAUGAAAACCCAUAAUAAUGUGGUGUGGGUAAAUUGACGCCAUUUGGUUCGUUUCCUUGAUGUGAAUACGCGGGCAAUAGAGACUAACAAAAUGAAGUGACAACAAGAAGUCAGUGUCCUUUGAUGGAUGCAUUUUUAGGCAGAAAUAGGUUUGUAAUUGACCAAAUUUGUCUGGCAUGCCAAUUUCAAAAAAAAUUAAAUUAUGUGGUUAUUAGCUGUAAUGAAAGGGGGAUUGUAGGUCCAAUCAGGUGGAUCCAUGAAAGUUCAACAAAGUUCUGGUAUGGCGUAGAAAUUGGUUUGUGCAACUCAAGAGUCUUUCUGGUGAACGAUGAUGGGUUUUGAUUUUAUAAAUGUUAUAAAUCUACUGUGCAUAGUAUUCUAGUAGAAUCAUCUAUAAGUUCUAGUUAUUGAAAUUGUCUACCUUGUUCAGUUUGAGUUAAGGGCACAUGUAAUAUGAAAAAUAGUUGUUGCAUCUUUUAGGUUACCUAACAUUUGAUCAAUCCUAUUAUGAGGCUUCAAGAUGUCUAACAAUAUGUGGAAUGCCCAUGCUCCUCCCCAUUGUUUAUCUUAUAUAAUAAUUUGUUUUAGAUGCUAAUAUCUUUGUCGAUACCGGUAACAAUAUUACAAUAUCUGCGUUUAUUGGGUUUUACAUAGGUUCGACUGUUUGACAGUACACACUCUCUGAAGGCAUUUGGAAAUGGAGAUGUAUGGAUUGCUGUUGGGUGGAGUAGUGAUGUUCUUCCUGCUGUCAAACGUUUGUCUAAUGUUGCAGUUGUUGUUCCCAAGUCUGGUGCUAGCUUAUGGGCUGAUCUUUGGGUAUACCCAUGCCUGCCAUUCUACUUCAAUAUUCACAUUGUUAUCUCCUUCAUAUUAGUGAUCAGUAAACAUGAUAAUGUGACUAAUAAGUUCGUAUUCUCUUUAUAGGCAAUCCCUGCUGACUCAAGACUUGAAACAAAACAAAUUGGAGGGUGAGUCAGAGGUGCAUUUCCAUUAAUCCAUCAAUGGAUAGAAUUCUGCUUGCAAACAGCGAGAGCAUUGCCUUUCAAGCAAGAGGUUAUCCCGAGCGCAUCUCCCUCUGCCUUGAGAGUACUCUGGUUAAGUUGCCUGAAGAACUUUUGAAGGGUAAACCAAGUCUGGAUACUAACUUAAUUGCUGGAGUACCCCUGACGGAAAUUCUGGCCAGAUGUGAGUUUUUGGAGCCAUUAUCUGAAGCUACAUUGUCGGAUUAUGAGUGGCUGGUUGCUAAUCUGCAAAAAUCCACUCCUGUACUGAUCAACAAGAUGCAACAUUACAUGUCAUCAUUGAUCUUUAGCUAAAGGUACAUUGAAAAGUUAAUGGCACUGCAUACCAGUCAUUAUAAUUGGGUCAGGGCAAUUGGGUCAGGGCAAUUAGGUCAGAGCAUAACUUCAUUAGGAAAAGAGGCUUCAGCUACGUUAAAUAUUACAGGAUGUACUGAGAUGGCUGAAGUUGGUGAGGUUUUACGAGAAACGAAAGAUAGUGUUUGUUUGAACAAAGUUGUUGCCAAUCUUGCAGAGUUCGAGAAGAAAGAUCACGAAGCGAAUGCCACCGAUUUCUUCAUCAUUGUAGCCUCCAUAGUUGAAGUUUCCUCAUUUGAAGCUGUUUAUGCAUAUGCUUUUUCCCUUCUCAAGUACAGGAAAUUGAAGAAUUAACCAGAUGUGAUAUGCUGAAAGAGGGAAGUUUUCUUCCUUGAAUGUGACCUUUGUGAUUUGUCUUGAAGGGAUAGGGUGAUCACUGGCAAGAACCCUAUCAAGGUAGAUUUUAUGAUGUUAACAUAUUAUUAAGCAUUUUGUUACAUCAGCAAUGAUGCUUUCAUAGCAUGAAAGUGUUUAAAUUUAACUGAAUGAUCUUGAUUGAUCAAUUAUGAGUUUUAAUCGAGUAAAAACUAAAUACAAUAAUCGUUAACAAAUAUUGAAAUUGGGUAAAUAAGAUCUUGAUAGUGAAGAAUUUGAAAUCACACCCACACAGGAAAUCACCCUUCGCGUGGGGAUGGAGAUGUUUACUGCAGCGAUAUUGAAUAUGUCCACUGCUGGACUAAUUCUGAUUACCUAAUUGACUCAGGAUCGGCUGGCAAUAAUAACAGUUUAUUAACAAUGCACAGUCCGAGUACUUUUCCAGGAUCAGAUACGACGUGGUCUAAUGUUGAUAAUAAUAGAUUAUCAAAUGACAAAUCGUUGUUCUACUAUUGCAAGCCCCCAGAUUUAAGAAUCUUUUUCAGAAAUUAAAUACAUUCUGAGAGAUGCUGGUCUACUAUUGCAAGCCCCCAGAUUUAAGAAUCUUUUGACGGUAAUUUAUCACCUGUAACUGUGCCGGAAGAUUCAACUAGCACUGAAAAAGAUGAUAAAUUAAUUGAUAUGGAGAGUUUUCAUAUCACUUUUAAAUCAUCUUAUGUAAUUGUGAUGUUAGGAAGCAUUAGUGAUCUAUAUGUGAAUUAUUAUUGGCGCCAUUGGUGGUUUUAUCUUGUUAAAAUAUGGAUGAAUUCCAGUUACUAUUUUGUUGCAGACAAUCUUCUUCAAUUAACAUAUGGUUUAAAAUCAUUAUGUAAAUCAAUCUAUUAAUUUUCAAGAUAUUUAACUGAGUUAAAACUAAGUGCACUCAAUAAAUCUCUUUUCCUUUAAAAAACUGUUACGCUUUGAUUUUAGUGCUUAAUAUUUAUUGAACUCCGAUACAGGGAAUUUGAAAUCAAACUCGUAACUACAUAUUAUCUAAUUGCAAGUUUCUAUCCAUAGCUGCUGAUUUGUAGUGAUUAUCUAAUUGACUGAGGUGACGACAAUUUUUUUUUUUUUAAAUUUUCAAUAGCACAAUGUGGAAUUCAAUAAUUAAAUUCUCCUUUUUAAUUUGUUUCCAGUUAAAUUAUUAAUUACUUAAACUCUGUUUUAAGUCUUUAAGUUUAUGUGUUUAUGCAGAAUUGGAUUCUUGAGCGUGUUGGACACGACCAACAAUGAAAUUGACAGUAAAAAAAACAAUACAACGUGUGGACUCCGGUAGAUGCCAUACAAGUCUACAACUUUACAAAUAAUAAUUGAGUAAGCAACUUUGAUUCUCGGGGCCCUUCAAUGAAUUUCUAGCCCCGUUGACUCCGCCAACUAAAGUUUGUAAAAUAAAAAAAUACAUAGAAUUCCACUAAAUGCAAAACGCGUGGAAUUUAAUUUUCGGCCAUGUGGACCAAAACAUAAUUUAAUGAAAAAGGAAAAAAAUGAUAAGAUUUCUAAAAUAUGUGAAAGAUGAUCCAUAUUUUACUGAAACGACUUAUUAAAUUUUUCAAAGAUUUAGAAUAUUUAGUCAUAAAUUACGUGCAUGUUAAUUUUUCCGCCAUUGACUAUCAUAUUCUAAACUUAAUAGUACAUUUCUUGUUGAAGGGUACUUAAUCUCUCUUCUCCUCUUAUAAAAAUUAUAUUGAUGGAUUUCUUGUUAUAGUUAAUAGUCUUUAAGAACGGAUAACUUUAUUGUUUUCGUGACCAAAUUAUGUCCGCCUAAGGUUGUGACUAUUAAUAAAAUUAAUAUUUAAUGUUUAUGUUAAAAGAUAUAAGAUUUUAUGCGUUCAUUAAUUGUUAUUAGCUAAAGGAUGAAUUAUUUUUUCAACCCAAUCAGUUGAUGCAUCUGCAAGAGUUUUUUCUUUUAUUGACCAUAAUUAUGUUCCGGGUACAAUAAAUUGUCUUUGGUGCUUGGAAAAUAUGACUUCUUACUUCAAGUUUGAUAUGUCUCUCUCCAUAAACUUACUGGAAAUAUAUCCUCAUCUACUGUCAUUUAUCUAAUAUCAAUUGAAGAUCUCACUUUUUCAAACUAUCACUUCCAAGUCUCAUUGUCACUUGGCCAUUCUUGGACCAUUCAAAACCAAUCAAGUGUUGAAAUAAUCAAAUAUAUGCAAAAUUAGAGUCACGAUUUUUGGUCCCCCAAAUUCUAAUUAUAUAACUUCUAUAUAUUUCAUUGCCAGGUCACGAACUUGUUGGCACAUUUUCCAAAUUCCUCUUCCAUCAGCUCUCACACGUUAACUUAAGUGAAAAGUUUCCAAGUUGAUUGCUAGAAAGCAACGCAAAAUCAGACACACUUGAUCUGUCCCCUAAUUCUCUUUUCUACGUUGAAAAAGAAAAAAAAAAAUAAAAUACAUACAUACAUAUAUAUAUAUAUAUAUAUAUAUAUAUAUAUAUAUAUAUAUAUAUAUAUCUAUGUAAAAAUAAAUAAUAAACUGAGUAAAAGUACAUUUGUUUAAUUAACAUCUGAUCGGGGCAUUUUUGGUGUAAGCCACAACUAAAAUCAAACAGCCCCUUAGCAUACUUCUUCCAUUUUAUCGGCUACUUUUGUGGAUCUUAUAGGGUGGGCAUGUGGACAGAAUUUAAAAGUUUUAAUAGGCUCAAAGAAGAAGAUGUGUUAAAUCUAAAGUUGUUGCACCUUCUGAUUAAAUAAAGUUGUACAAUUUCAUCAACUUGAAAGAAUUGACAUUAAUGAACUGGUCGCCUCUCCAUGUAUGAAGCCUUCUUAAAAGUUAAUUUUUAUUUCAGAAAAAAAAAGUUUAAGUUACAUAUAUUACAGUAAGAUUUUUUGAGACCAAUUCCCUUCUUGAAAUAAUAAUAGAAAAGUAUUAAUUUAAAAAUAAAAUGAAUAUGUAUUGAUUAUAUCCUGAUUUUCAUCGAUUAUAGUUAGAGUUUCACCAAAUCAAUUCCCUUAUUCAAAUAAUACAGAAAAAAUAGUAAUUUAAUAGUAAAAUAAACAGGUGUUGAUUAUAUAUCCUAAGUUUCAUCGAUUAUGUGAUCAAAGUGGCAUUGUUGAUUUAUUUUUUGUUCAAUGUUAAUUUUUAGGUUAUAUAAAUUUCAAGGAUUUAAAAUCUUUGGCCAUGAAUUACACGCUUGUUAAUUUUCCUGCCAUUGACUGUCAUAUUCUAGACUUAAUGAUACCUUUCUUGAUCAAGGGUAAUUACUCUCUCUUCUCCUCUUAUAAAUUCCUCUUCCAUUAACAUCACUAGGAGUAUGUUGAUCUCUCAGACGUUAACUUGAGUGGAGAGUUUCCAAAUUGAUUGUUACAAAACAACACAAAAACUAGACACACUUGAUCUGUCUAAUAAUUCUCUUUCGGUAAAAUUAAAUAAUUUUAGGGGAAUAUUCGGCCAACCUCUAUAAUUUCAUAGUGAUCAUUAAUUAAUUAAUCGAUACAAAUAUCUAAAGUGAUUAAAUGUGACUUGAAAUUUGAUCUCUAUCGAUUGGUUUACAAAUGGACGUACUUGUGCCUUUGUGGCGAUAAUCGAACAAGUACCCAUGAUUAUUAUUUUUUCCAAAAACUUUUUUACAACAAAUUCAUCUCGUCAAAAAUUCUAUGUUGCUAACUAACAAUAAUUGAGCACUUGGCCGCAUUGACUCCACGUCUCCACCUCUUUCUAAAUUCUAAGUAAAAACAUGGAAAUGUAAUUUCCACAAAAUGCCAAAUGUGUGGAAUUUAAUUUUUUGCCUUGUGGAUCAAAAUACAAAUGAAAGAAACAGAAGAAAAAAAAGGCCCAAAGACUUCUAAAAGAUGAAGAAGUCUUUGUGCCUUUUUAUAAUGGUGAAUUUUUUUAAAGAAAAAAAAUAACAACAUUUUUAUGGUUUGUUUUGAUAAUCAUAUUUACAUAUACUCUCUAAUUUUCAAAAUGGACACAUAAAUCUUUUUUUUUUACAAAAUAUAUAUUAUUCAUAUUUUUUUUAUUUUUUUAUUAUCAUAUUUUUAUUUAUUAUAAAUGUUUAGAGCAAAUUUUUAGGUUGAAAUAUAAUAAAAAGGUAUAAUUGUUCUCUUAUUAAACACACAUACUUUUAUUAGUUUCUAUCCAUUUGUCAUCUCAAUCUCUCUCAAUUAUUCUUUAUUGCUAGCUCAAAACGCGUUGCUGUUGCAAAUUAUAGCAAAAUGACAAAUAUGGAAAAAAAGGGAAGAAAAUUAAUGCAUGAAAGACUUGGAGAAAACAACAAAAUAAGCCAACUAUGAGCUAGUUGGGUGUAUAAAUUGUUAGAUGUGUUAUAUACAAAUAGCGUAGAGCCCUCUAGUUGGUUCCAGAGACAGAAAGAGCGUGUGUGUUUUUUCACAGUUAGAGAUAUAGUUAGAAUGGGUGGUUCAAAAUCAAAAAUGAUGAUAAUGUUUAUUAUGUUAUUAAUAAUAUUUAAAAGUGGGUGGAGUGAGGGAUGUUUGGAUCACGAGAGAUUUGCUUUUUUGAGACUCAAACAUUUCUUCAAUGAUCCUCUUAAUUCUCUUUACGACUGGGUAGAUGGUGAGGGAGCUACUGAUUGUUGUCAGUGGGAAAGGGUUGAGUGCAGCAACACCACAGGCCGAGUGAUAGCACUGGACCUUUCUUAUAUAUAUUCGGGAGAGUACAGCUGGUAUCUGAAUGCUUCUUUAUUUACUCCCUUCCAACAACUUGAGUCACUUGAUUUAACUCAAAACAAAAUAGCCGGAUGUGUUGAGAAUGAAGGUACUUUGUUUAAUUUAAUUAAUUUACUUUCUCCCCCCUAAUUUAAGUUGAAUAUCAAGACCGAGCAAUUAUAUGCAUAUUCAUUUAGUCGACAAUUUUGACUUUUUUUUAAAUGAUUAAUUUUGAAAUUACACCAGUAUCUAUGAUCUUUUUUAUUUUAUUUUAUUUGCAGGUAUAGAGAGGCUAUCAAGAUUGAACAACUUGAAGAUGCUUAAUUUAAGUCGAAACUCAUUCAAUAAUAACAUUUUAUCAUCUCUAACUCAUCUUUCAUCAUUAAGAUCAUUAAAUUUAUUGUGGAAUAGAUUGGAAGGAAGUAUUGACGUUAAAGGUACAUAAUUAAAACUUCAAGCUCUUUCAUUAACUUGCUAAAAUAAGAUUCAAGGCUUUGAAUUCAAUUUUUUUAUGAUUAAUAUUAAAAAAACAGUUUUAAGCAAUUUAUAAAUACAAGUUUUAAUGUUUCUUGUAAUUUCAUCUUGUACUUUCAUAUGUCUUGAAUUUAAGAUUAAAAAAAAAACUCUAAUAGCGAACCAAACACCUCCACAACUUAUUAUUAUUAUUUUAAUUUGUGGUGAGGUUUGAAACAUUCAACUCAAUUUGUACUUAUUACAGAAUUUGAUUCUUUGAGAGAUUUAGAGGAGCUAGACAUUGGCGGGAACAAGAUUGACAAAUUUGUGGUCUCAAAAGGUACUACAAAUACCAUAAAAAAAUAUGCUAACUUUUACAAAUUAGUUAGAUUCUUUGCCAUUUGGUUUAUUAUUUUACAGGUUUGAGUAAGUUGAAGUCUCUUGGUUUAAGUGGUAUCAAACUCAAUCGUAGCAUCUUAUCUUCUCUUUCUUCGUUAAGAGAAUUAGAUAUAAGUCGUACGGGAUUCAAAGGAACAUUUGAUGUUCGAGGUAAGCCUAAACCUUGCUUUCUCAUUUUAUAUAUGCCAACUAGAUUUGUGUAUCAUCGACAUAAUUUAAUAUUUAAUUUGAUAAGUCUGAAUGAAUUACAUGCUAAUUUAAACACACUUUUAUUUACUUUGUCAAUUAAUUAAUUAAUUAAUUACUAUUUGGCUUGGUUUGGACGAAAUUCUCAUGAUGUUUUAAUUUCUUUAAAUUAAUUAAUUAAUUAACUCUGUUUUUAAGUCUUAAGUCUGGGCAUGUUUGCAGAAUUUGAUUCCUUCAAUAACUUAGAAGUGUUGGACAUGAGUUGGAACGAAAUCGACAAUCUUGUGGUUCCUCACGGUAAACAAUUAAAAUGUUAUUCAAUUACAUUAUUUUAAUUCAUUUGAUUAGGGAAGGCCAAAAAGGUAAAAAAAAUAAUAAUAAAGAAACAGAGAAUUUGUAUUAUUUAAAAAACAGAAUGUAAUAAAGAUUUGAUUCUGGUUCUUUAAUCUUUAAAGUGAUUGAAAAACAAUGUUGCUCUUUUCCCAAAGCAUCAAAUACGAAUUGAAUGCCAAUUAACUUAAUCAUUCAUUUCGUUUAGCUCUAAAUUUAGACAAUGAAUUUUUAUAUUAUUUCAAAAACAUGACGUAAUAGAAUUUUUUUAAAAACAGAUUCUAAUAAAGAUUUGAUUCCAAUUCUUUAAUCUUUACAGUGAUUGAAAAACGAUACUACUCUUUUCCCAAAGCAUAAAUACGAAUUGACUCCCAAUCAAAUUAAUCAUUUAUUUCGUUCAUCUCUGAAUUUAAAUAAUGAAUUUUGAUCUUCAAUCGUAUUAUAAUUACUAUUAAAGAACAGGUUACAGAGGUUUGAGGAAGUUGAAUCAUCUUGAUCUAUCGGGAGUUGGAAUUAGAGAUGGAAGCAAGUUGUUACAGUCAAUGGGAUCAUUCCAUCCCUCAACACUCUUUACCUUUCGUGGAAUAAUUUUAUCGAUACAGCGACCGCUACUCAAGGUAAGUAAAAGGUACAAAUGUGGCCAAAUUUAUAAAUAAAUUGUUAAUUAAUUAAUUUUUCCGUAUUAUUAAUUAAGCUAAAUUUGUUGCUCCUUCCUUCUAAAUCUAAACAGAGUUGCACAAUUUCACCAACUUGGAAUAUUUGACAUUGGACUUUUCCUCUCUCCAUAUAAGCCUUCUCCAAAGCAUUGCAUCAUUAUUCCCUUCGUUAAAAAAUCUGUCGAUAUCUCAUUGUGAAGUCAAUGGUGUCCUACGCGGUCAAGGUAAAAGAAAAUCGUUGAUUGUGAACUCACUCAAUGGUGUCCUACGUGUUCAACAUUUUUAUUUAUUUAUUGUUUAAUGUUUCUGCUAGGUUUUCCUCAUUUCAAGAGUUUGGAACAUUUGGAUAUGGAUUACACGCGCAUUGCACUCAACACCGGCUUUCUUCAAAUCAUCGGUGAAUCGAUGCCUUCUCUUAAGUACUUAUCACUGUCAAGGUUAAUCUAUAAAUCGAUGCCUUCUCUUGAUCAAGGUUAAUCAGAUGCUCCCACUCUCCCCUCUUAAUCUAUAAUAUUAAUUUUCAAUUCAAUAUUUAAUUACACAAACGAAUCACUUAUUAUAAAAGAAUAAUACGCAUUCAUUAAUUUUUAUAUUGUAUUAAUAAUUGAUGAAUUUAAUAACUUUUCAGGUCUCUGUUCGUUGGUGCAUCUGCAAGUGUUGAACAUUGCAGGCAAUGAUUUAAGAGGUAGCUUGCCUUGGUGCUUGGCAAAUAUGACAUCCCUCCGAAUAUUAGAUGUUUCUUCCAAUCAACUUACUGGAAGCAUCUCCUCAUCUCCCCUCGUUCAUUUGACAUCCAUUGAAGAGCUGAUGCUUUCAGACAAUCACUUCCAGAUCCCAAUUUCACUUGAACCAUUUUUCAAUCACUCACGACUCAAGAUUUUCCAUGCUUACAACAACGAAAUAAAUGCAGAAAUAACUGAGUCACAUUCUUUGACUGCCCCAAACUUCCAAUUAAAAUAUCUCUCAUUGUCUUCCGGUUACGGAGAUGGUGUCACAUUCCCCAAAUUCCUUUACCAUCAACAUGAUCUGGAGACUGUUGACCUCUCACAUAUAAACAUGAGCGGAGAAUUUCCAAAUUGGUUGUUGGAAAACAACACAAACUUAGAAUAUAUUUUUUUGGUUAAUGAUUCUCUUGCAGGACCUUUCCGGUUGCCAAUUCAUUCACACAAGCGGUUAAGACUGUUGGAUAUAUCCAACAACAACAUCAGAGGCCACAUUCCAGUAGAAAUUGGAGAUGUUUUACCGGGUUUAUUUUCUUUAAACAUUUUCAUGAAUGCUUUAGACGGUUGCAUUCCCUCUUCAUUUGGUAAUAUGAAAUUCCUCCAAUUUCUGGACUUAUCCAACAACCAAUUGACUGGUGAAAUCCCUAAGCACUUGGCCGUGGGUUGCGUCAACUUAGAGUCUCUUGCGUUGUCAAACAACAACUUAGAAGGUCAUAUGUUCUCCAGAAACUUCAACCUGACAAACUUGAAAUGGUUACAAUUGGAAAGCAAUCACUUCGUAGGAGAGAUCCCACAAAGUUUGUCUAAAUGCUCCUCACUAAAAGGAUUGUAUCUUAACAAUAAUAGUCUUUCGGGUAAGAUUCCACGAUGGUUGGGUAAUCUCACAUGGUUACAAUAUAUUACAAUGCCCAAUAAUCAUCUUGAAGGUCCUAUUCCAGUGGAGUUUUGUCAGCUUGAAUGGCUUCAGAUUUUGGACAUUUCAGACAACAACAUAUCUGGAAGUUUACCAUCUUGUUUCCAUCUUCUCUCUAUCAAACAAGUUCAUCUUUCAAAAAAUAUGUUACAUGGACAGCUAAAAAGAGGUACAUUCUUUAAUUGCUCUUCCCUUGUGACAUUAGAUCUUAGUUAUAACCGCUUGAAUGGCAGCAUUCCGGAUUGGGUUGAUGGGCUUUCUCGGUUAAGCCACCUUAUCUUGGCUCACAAUAAUCUUAAAGGUGAAGUGCCAGUUCAAUUGUGCAAAUUGAACCAACUACAAUUGUUAGAUCUUUCUAAUAAUAAUCUUCACGGUCCUAUUCCUCUUUGCUUUGAUAACACCACACUUCAUGAAAGUUACAGCAAUAGUUCUAGUCCUGAUGAGCAAUUUGAAAUAUAUGUUUUCAUCGAAGGCCCUCAGGGAGGUGUAGAAAAGAAAAUCCAUGAAAUUUUUGAGUUCACAACAAAGAACAUUGCGUACAUUUACCAAGGAAAAGUGCUUAGCCUCCUAUCAGGACUUGAUCUUUCUUGCAACAAGCUAAUCGGUAUUAUUCCUCCUCAAAUUGGAAAUUUGACAAGGAUUCAAACAUUGAAUCUAUCGCACAACAACUUGACAGGAUCGAUCCCAUCAACAUUUUCAAACUUGAAGCAUGUCGAAAGUUUGGAUCUUUCCAACAACAAAUUGAAUGGGAAAAUCCCUCAUCAACUAGUGGAGUUAAAGACAUUGGAGGUUUUCAGUGUGGCAUACAAUAACUUAUCAGGCGAAAUUCCAGAAUGGAAAGCACAAUUUGCAACCUUCAACGGGAGUAGCUAUGAAGGAAAUACUUUUCUUUGUGGACUGCUAUUGCCCAUUUGCAGAUCACCAGCAACUACGUCGGAGGGUUCAAUUGGCAAUGAACGAGAUGAUAAUUUAAUUGACAUGGACAAUUUCUUUAUCACAUUUACAACAUCGUACGAAAUUGUGAUAUUCGGAAUUGUUAUUGUUUUAUAUGUAAAUUCUUAUUGGCGACGUAGAUGGUUUUACUUUGUUGAAAUGUGGAUAACUUCAUGUUAUUAUUUUAUUGUAGACAAUCUUAUUACAACAAGAUAUUGUCAUUGAAAUUAAUUAGGAGUUUAAUUACGAUUCUUUAAGUUCUAAUCAAGUUUGCUUAGGAAAUAAAUUUAUUUUUAUUUUUUAUUAAAACUGUAGUAGUAUUUAGCUCUAUAUAGCUUCCAACUUCCAAGCACUUCACAUUUGUCUCUACACUUCCAAACCCAUAUCUAUCCACCAUAACUUAUACUUCCCUAUACUGUGCAGCAUACUUAAAUAAGAGAACCAUCUCCAAUGUUAAAACCAGCCACUCUAUAACAUUCAUUUAGAAUAGUUUUAUUAUCAUACACAAGAAAUGAAACACCUAGAUGCACUUGAUCGCCUAUUUUACUUUAAAAAAUAAUGAUUAUGGUGCUAUCAUCAUCUUCUUCACUAGCAACAUUAACACCAAAUCCAGCGAUGGACCCAGACAUUUUAUCAAGAAAGGUAUAUAUAUAAUAAAGUUGAAGCUUGACAAAAAAUUCAGGAAGAUUAAUGCCUCGCCACAACAAGGGCACAACAACAUCAAAGUAGAGAUGAAGCAAUAUUUUCAAAUCUAAAACUCUCAAAUCCACCCACCAAAAUUUCAUAUCUCCUCAACAAUUUUAAGAACUAAAGAUAAUUAGGAUCUAACAUUAGUUUUUUAUAUAUUAGUUUCAUAAUUUACAAAUCAAUGAAGAUGAAGAUUAUGCUAAUGAAUUCAAAUUAUACCAUAGAUUCUCGAGAUGUUUACCAAAAAUUUCUAAGCCAAUCCCACAUAUUUCAUAAUUUUAAGACUAGAAAAUUUCAUUAGUUAGAAGUUUCAUUACCUUCAAGUGGAAGAUGAAGAACAUUAUACAAUUGAUUCAGAUUAUAUCAUACAUACUCCAAAUGCAACUAGAAAUUAACAAGUUCAUGCGCACAGAUUUCAUAACAUUAUGAUUGGAAAGUUUCACAAAGAGAAAUUCUAAAUUCAAUCUCUUGCAUCAAGGUAGUUUGAUUGAUUUGAGUUACUUUCUCAUCAAGCUACUAAUAUAACAUUCAAGUCAGGGAGAAAGUAAAUUAAAACUGGGAAGAAACAACAGUAAAAAUUUGUUGCUAAACAUGAUGUGUAUUUUUUUUUAAGGCAAUUUGGAAACACAGUUGUUACUACAGAUAUUCUCCUCAACUUAGAGAUAAAUACAAAUAUUAAAAUGCAUAUGAUCGCACAUAUUACUUGGAGCUUAGUAAGAUUUCAUUAAGAGAAGCAAUCAAACCACUUAUCAAUUGUUGCAAUCGUUCUAUAAGCUAAAAUAGCAAUAUAAUACAAGAAAAAGAACAUAUAGAUACUUGGCAAGAGUUCAUUAAGAAGUCGCAUCACAUUCGGGUGAGUUUGCUUCUGAUAUCUUGCUAGCUGGGGCUUUUUCUUGUCUUUCUACGUAUGCCGAGGGAAACCAACCAGCUUGGCCCUUGCAUUCACCUUCCGACCAUCCAGUAGGAGCCACCUUGAGAAGUUAUAACUAAAAGUCUAAAACAAUGAAUUAAACAAAAGUUGACCGUUCAAAGACCUAAGGGGAAAACUAAUUCUUUUACGUAGGAGGAGUGAAUUAGUUGUGAUCACUGAAAUAACAGCAUAACUAUGGAAGCAUAACAAGAUAUAAAUUCACACGUCUAUAAGGGUAAACUGGGUGGUUUAGAACUGAGCUAGCAACCCUACUAUAUUCUGAUUUGCACAUCAAUGUAAAAGGGAAUAUAUGGUAGGAAGAAAGAAAACCAACCAUCAGUUGUUAACUCAUUGCUUUUCAAUCAAAAUUUUAAGAACAAAAUGCCAUGUGCUUUGAACAUCAAAUAAGUAUAAGCAUUAGUUCUAAAUUCCACAUAUCAUAAGUUAGAAGGACAAGUCAAUAGCAUAGUAGAAAAAUCUAUGUGUUGUUAUUUAGAGGGGAAAGUACCUGGCGAACCACAACAUAAUCAUCAAUUGAAAGACUUAGCUCUCCAUUUGCUUGAGCAUCAAAUGGAUGUAUAACCUGCAAGAUAAUGGGAUAAAUAGAACUUAAUCUUAAAAAAAGCAUAACAAAAGCAGCAACAGUAGCAGCAGCGUUCAUUGUAACCACUAUGAUCAUGGCCAACAAAGAUAUAUUACAAACAAAAUUCCAUUUUUACUACGACAUUAAUAUGUACUAUAUGAUAUCAUGACGAUUGGGUUACCAAGAGCUAUCAAAGUCCAAUAAAUUCUGUAUAACUUUAGGUAGUUAUUCAAAUUAUGGAUCAGAUUUUAAAUCCGAAAUUUUGACUGCUCUCCACAAAACAUGGCCUAUGCACAAGAAAGUCAUAGAUAAUGAGGAUUACAAGUGUCUGACAUCUUUUGAGUGAUGGAUUUAACAUGAGAGCUUAUGGUCAGUCAAUUUCCUCUGCCUAGCAAUAUAAGCUUUCUCGGCCAGAUUUAUCAUCAAAUACAUAGAUUGGCCCCAAGUCACAUCCAAAUAAACAUAGUUUUUCUAGGUAAACCAAGUAAGGAGAAUCAUAAUUCAGACAUAAUCAUAAAAAGGCCCAUCUAACUUAAGAGAAAAUCUCAAAAAGAGGGAUGUUGAGCUAUCAGUCUUGUAUCUAUAAGCAAUAUCAAGACUUUACAUCACCUACUACAUCGUGAGUGGCUACACAACUUUCAGUGGUUUGUCUUUCUUUGGCAUGCCUAACUCAGCUUUGAUGUUGCUGAGAUAUUGAUAGUAAAGACACAUGAUACUUCUAGCCCAUGCAUUCUAUCUAGCUCAUCCGACAACUAUCUCUUUUUUAAUUCAUUAGUGUUUGCUAAACCUCAUGCUUAAAAGUCCUAUUCUCCUAAACAAAGCUUCCUAAGAAUGACUUCCUCAGCACCACAUUUGGACACUUUUAGAGCAAUUUUAUUUGGGGGAAAAGAAUUUUCAAGGUGUUAACUAAUAAAUUUUAAAAAAUAAUUACAAUUUGUCCUACAAUUAUAUGACAAUUUAUCUGGGAUGAAAGGAUACAGACAGACAUCUUCCACUUUCAAGACUAAUCACUACUUCCGUAGAUGUUUUGCAAUAAUACAAAUACUUGACCAGAUGGUAGAAAAAAAUUUUAUUGCUCCAAAAUUAAAAUAAGAAUGCAAUAUGUUAAGCAAAAGACUGUGCAACAUCAAAUUAAUUGAUAAGUUUGUAAUUCAGUAAAUUAACAACUUUCAUGGUAAAAUACAACAAAUUUCUUUUCAAAAAAAAAAAAAAAAAUUAAAAGACGGCAUUCAAUUUUUUGGGCAUCUUAUUUCUUAAGAUUUUCCAGGAGGAGGGCACUAGAGGGACUUUCACCUAUGCAAGAGAGCAGAAGCCUUACUUUCGCUAUAAAGUAGACGUCAUUCUGAUUAAUAUGCGUUUGCAAAUCAGCUCCAUUUGAAUCAGUAUUCUGAUAGACACGUGAGGCAUUUACAUCCAUUUCCAAAGUCACAUGUUGCGAGGAGGACUCAUUUGAUUGCUCCUCUAGGAUCAUCUAAUUCAAGUAGCAAGGGUUGGAAGAGAAUAAAAAGUCACAAUUAUUCUUUUGCAUAAGUGAGACGAAAAUGAUAAAUGCAAUAUUAUCAGCAGUAAACAAGAAGAGAACACUCCAAGGAAUAGAUAGAUGCCGACAAGCAAGUUAAAAUGCACAGUUCCAAACCUCCGCAUACAACUUCUCUAAAAUAGCAAUAAUGUGUUGAUGAUAUGUUUUCUCAGCAUCUACCUGCAAAGGCCUGAGACCAGGAAAACAACAAUAAAACCACUAGCUAAAGGAGAAAGUAAAGAAAGAAAUACACUUGACAUAAAUCUUGACAAGAAGCACAAUUUAAGACAUAACAAACCCCAAUCAGAUUGUUUAGAACUACCAUUCGUUAUUUCGUUAUUGUAGCAUUUCGAACAAGUGUUGACUUAAUUCAACAUUGUUGGAAAGAUAGGCUUUUAGAAGCGGAAGAAAGCCUCUCAAACCAAAGUGAUUGUCCUUGUAUUGAUCAAGGGAUGUAAACAUAUUACAUUUGCAGGAUGAGUUUUAAUCACUCCCCUGAUUUAUUUGGGUUGCAGUAAAACUAAGCGAGCAACUGUUUGACUUUCAAGCAACAUCUAAAUCAGCUAUUAAAAUUCAAAUAAAAUUAUAAUAGAAUAAUAACAGGCCAUCUUGCAUAAAAAAUUAAGUUUAAUUUGUGAAUUUUUUUCUAUAGACAUGUUAGUUCCUGCUAUUGAAAUGUUAAAAGCAUUGAAAAAUUAUUCAAUAAAUUAUGCAAACAUUAAAAUAGAGGACAUAUUAAAAAGUUUCUAAUUACAAUGUUAAGAUUUCCUAUAUUUUAGCAUUUGCAUAUUUUAAUUUAUUUAAAAGUUACGUCAAUCAACUUUGGGCGUGAAGAUUUUAGCUUCUACGAGACUUGAUUGGAAUAUGCAUAAGGAAGAGUGUUAAAAUAUGAUGCAUCCAACGAAAGACAAACCACGUGUAGUCUUUUAAUUAAGCCAAAGUAGCAGCUCAAACAAAUGACACUUGGACCAACAUGCAAUCAUGAAGUGGCCGGUAAAAGGACAAAUGCAACUUUGGCUUAAAUAAAAAAUAACAUGUGACUUGACUUUUGCUGGACAUGCAUCAUGUUAUUACAAGACAACAGAAAUCAGUAUGAUAGUACUAAAAGUUGACAAUAACAUGAAGAUAAGAGGCAGAAUGUCAACACCUGCAUAGGCACACACAAGAAAGUAUUAACAUAUAUACCAUAGCAAAAAGUCUUUGAUAUGUCAUCUGUUGCUGCUGUGAUUCAACUGACAGCAUGGCAGCUGUCGCUUCUCUACCAAGAGCCAUUAUUGUAGAUUUAAGCUCGGUCAAUCUUGCUUCUGCAUUUCGAAGCUUCACAGCACUCUCUGCUGAUAUAUCAGAUUUCCUUAUCUUUGAUCGGUGCCUAAAUACUUCAGCUGCCUGGUGAAAAUAUUCAAUAUAAAUCUAACAUAAUUCUCAUCUUGCCUUAUACAUGCAUAUGUUACCUCAAAGCUUGCCUGGGCUUCAACUUCAUGUCGAAGUUUGUCAUAACGAUGAGUCAGGUGUCGAGCAUCUUCCAAAGGUGCUCCGUUGAUUAACGCCCGUAGUGGCUCAGAUACCUACAUGUCCAAAAACCUGUAACAUAGUUAGAAAAAUGAAAAGAAAGAGCGAAACCUCAAUUAAAAAGUUCCUCCAACAUAAUCAUGGAAUUUGGGCCUACUUCAAGGAUAUAUAUAAGGAUAAUUUAUGCAAUUUUGGGUCUUAGGAUGAUUCAUAUUAGGUUAGUGUUCUUCUCUUCUGUAUUUAAGGUUAAAAUAGAAAUAAACCUAUGCAAAUAUCUAAAUUAGGGCUGUAAGACUUCCACAUGCAUCCUUCAGUCUCAUGGAUUUGAUUUUACUAUAGAUGCAAGUGUCUUUAUCGAAAAUGCUUGGAGUCAAUUGAGAGAACUCACAGCCAAUAACUUGUCACAUGCUAGUCUUUGCUAGUGAUGCAAGAAGUCACAAGGUCUCUUCAACAUUUGAACCAAUAAAAUUAUUAAGUCAUGGAUGUCACUAGCAAUGAUUUCAAUAUAAAACAUUAAAUAUUUCAAGUUGUAACUUUAAAAUGGAUUCUUUUAUUCAAUAUCUUAGAACUAAGUUUCCUUAUGAGAAGAUAAUAGUUUCAGUAGUAAUUUACAUGAAAUUUUCUAUAUUUGAAUUAUUUUCUAGUUAGGGAUGAACUAACCUGAUCAUGAAGAAUCCCAAGCAAAGUUUCCCUCUCAUUUUCCAUCAAAUCAUGUGAAGUGCCAAAUUGAAGAGCAGCUCUUGCAGCGCAAGAAUUGUCACUUUGAUUCUCCGCUCCAUACUUGCAACAAUCUUCAGCCAACUUUCUCGCUACAAUAUUUGAAUACAAAAAUAUUGUACACAAGAACCAGUCAAGAAAAUAAAAAAAAAAUCAAAUAUUAUAACGAGAGCAAGAGCAAACAAACAACCUAUUUCCAUUUGUUUCAAGCUUACUGCAACAAACCCUUCAACGCCACGGACAAUAUUCCUCUGAAAAUGCUGUGCUACAGAGCAUAUAUUCCAAAUUAUUGUUCAGAUAAAACCAUAGAAACCAUCAUAAUUAUCAACAUACAUUAAGCUCCGUUUGGUAAAUACUUGCAACUUCAGUCUAGAAAAUACAGUUGUUUGUACCAUAUUUGACAAAAUUAUUAUUUAAAAAUCAUAACUAAUUACCAAAAGCCACAAUAAAUCAAUAUCAAACAGAGUCUUAUUAUUAGCUAAAGGAGGAUGGUGCCUUAGCUGCCCUGGUGGAAUUGUAUAGAUUUUAAAGUUGUUGGUGACACUCAAUUUCAGCUUCAUGAACCGCAAUAUUUUCAAUACCAAGAUGGAGCAGAUGCUUCAAUGCUGCCUGUACAAAUCAUAAAAAACUAAUAAAAAUAAAUAAAAUCGAUAAAUUUCACUAACUAAAAGUCUAAAUAUAAUUUUUGAAAAAAGAAAAGAAACGGACUUGCUGCUGCUUGGCGACUUGUUCUCGGUGCUUGAUUGCCUGUUUCUUGAUAGCUUCCAUACUGUUUCUUUCAAAAAGCAACGACGGCUCAGCUCAUGGAGGUGGAAAAAAAAAGUAUGAUCGAGAAAAAUAAAAAGGCAUGAAUAAUUUUUGACAAAAAGCGAAAAAUAAAAAGGCAUGAAUAAUGAAUAAUUUUUGACAAAAAGCUCUUUCCAGAAAAUAAAAAAAGAAAAAAGAAAAAAGAAAAUUAUAAGUUUGAAAGGAGUAGAUGAUAGUGGAAGUGUGCGGUGUGGCUGCCAGCUACUUGAAUUGUAUUGUCGGGUAAGGUAAUAGUAGAGAAUUUUUUUUUUUGAAGAAAAAUGGGUAAUUUUUAAAAACCUCCCCUGAGGUUUGGGCUUGUUGUAAGUAGAUGGCGAGAAUCCAUUUAUUUGUAAAAAACCCCCUACGUUUUUGCUCCGCUUGGUUGCCGUUUGGGCAAUUGUGGGCAUUGUUGACAUUUCGCAAUAAAACAAAUCUUUUGCAACUUUCGUUUCCUUGAGAACAAUAGCUAGAUUUCUCAAUCUGUUUCAUCCAACACUUCAAAAAUUUCAACUUUUAUGAGUUAUUGCAUUCUCUGGCAAAGUAGACUUCUUCUAAUUUUAUCACAGUGCUUUCAGGAACAAGAAUGGGAUCCAUUAACAUCCCCUCAAAUUUUACAGCUUCCUUACAGCUAUACACUGCUGUAACACGAAGUUUAAUGAUUCCAUCGCCAAAUAGUCCCCAAAAUCUAUUCUUCCCCAUAUUGAACAACUUAAGUUCACAACACUUGCAUUCUAAAGGCUUCCCACUAACAUCUAAUAUCUCAAGACUCAACGUUGCUUUACAAUAAUUGUUAUUACUACCAAACAAACAUGAAGAAACCCCGAUUAUCGGAUAAAUCAACCCAAAAUGAACAAGAGAAGAACCCAAAACAAGUGAAUCGCUAGAGCAAAACCCCCAACCCAUAUCCCUAAUCCCACACUCAAAAAAACCCAAUUUCUCUCCAAAGUCAUUGACACUAGCAUCACUACUAGACUCUAAUUCCAAUCCUAGAUUACAUUUAAUGUUAACCCAACUAAAAUGAAUGUUCUUACUACAAUACGCAUCGUUUACACUCUCAAACAACGCGCUGAACUUACUCUUAAACGAUCCCACAUUGGUCAAACACUCAUCACUCACAUCGACAUCCAAGAAUUCACUCAAAAACUUCAUAGACUCGACAAUUGGAGAAAACAAAACCACUAAACUCAACUUUAUACAAGCAUACCCAUCGAGAAUCUUACCGUCAUUAACCGAAUCACAACAAAUCACCGGGUCCCACGCGCAGUCGUGAACGAGCUUACGCAUGGACGGGGCAACAUUUAACCCCCGCGGCAAAAACGACGAAGCUUUGGAAAAAUUGUGUUUUAGAGCUGGGUUGAGGAGUAGAGAUUGGAGAGAUUGGAAGGUGGAAUCGGGACGGUCAAAGGAAAGAGAGAGAGAAGGGAAGGGGAUCUUUAAAAGAGAAGUGGGGAGAGGGAGGAGAAGAAGGAUUUGAAAGAGAAAAGAGAGGAACGGAGAGGCGGGAAUGAGAUUAAGGUUUUCACUGCAACUAAAAGAGUAAUCAUGUAUGGCUCUUGGUCUUGGAGAUGAAGGAGAGGAUUCAGGUCGAUUAAGAGGACUAUACGCUGCAUUUUGGUGUAGUCUGCCGCCAUUGGUAGAAGUUUCGAAGUGGGUUUCUGUUUAGAUCCGAGUUUGACGAAGAAACGUGGUGGUUGCGCUUGGGACAAUAUUGUUUUUGCACUGGUCAAUGUAGAAAUUAAACGAUGGUAGGGUGUUUUUUUAUAAAUAAAUGAAUUCUCGCCAUUUAUAACAAGCCGAAACCUCAAAAGAAGAUUUUAAAAAUUACCCGAAGAUUCGAAAAAUAGUAGAGAAUUUUUUAAAAAGCUAGAACAGAGCAUGCUAGACUUUUGUGGACCAAAUUCAAAAGCCGAAGGGCACGGCCCAAAAGCUUUUGAAUACAAUAACUUACUAGAAAGCUCCAUUUUUUGUUGGCUACAGUAAAAGUAUGUUGUUUUAUGCUUCUUAUAUGUUACGCUUGCAUCAGCCUCAAUCACUUCUUAAUCGCUUGCUUUAACUGCAUCGCUCUCUGUGUACUCUUCUACACAUGUAACGGUUAUGCGGUUGUAGUUCACGGCUGAGGCUACGUGUUGGUUUGACGCGGCAGUUACGUUACGACAUUACGAGUCUGUUAAACAUUCAGUGAUAGAGCAUUAUUAGUUAUUUUAAGGGGACAAAUAAGAUUGGUUGCAAUAAACCCACUAAUAUUAUAAAAUUCGAGUAAUAUAGAAUAAAAUAAAAAAAUACAUACAAAAUUGGCUUUUAUUUUUUAUGGUUGACUGUAUUUUGUGUUCUCUUUCGGCACUACUACAUCAGUCACACCCAUAUAUCAUCAAUACAAGAAAUGAAAUCUAAUGUCACCUAUUUAGUUAAAGAAUUACUCAUGAAAAAAUUUUACCAUUUUACUUUGAGGAUCCAUAUUUUGAACUGCAAGCUAAUGUUCAUCAAGAAUCACUAAUGUUCAUAAAAAACAGAGCAUGGCCGUUGAGUAGAAAAACUAUUUUUGGACAAAUUAUUUUUGUUGAUAAAAGAAUUUCUUAAGGGACUACUAAUAUUAUGAAUAACAAUGUAGAACACACCCACAUAUCAUCGACACAAUUGACUUUAAGGAUCCAUGCUUUGAAUUGCCACCUAAUGUUCAUCAAGAACAGAGUAUGCCUUGUGAGUUGUGAGUAGAAAAUUUUAUGAUUUUGGUCCGAAAUAAAAAGAAAUUAAAUUAGAUGAGAAUCUGCCACUUUCUCAUAAAGAAAGGCAUACGGAGCAUACCAUGGUACCAUACAAUACAAAGAGUCUCUAUUCUCUGGUUUUUCAAACUCUGAAGGGGCCAAUAUUCCCGAAUUCCCCCUUGAAAAUUCUGAUUACGACAUUAUUCAAUUCUUGACACAAUCAAAGUAGCGACAAAGUUAAGAAAAAUAUGAGUCCUAAGUAAUGGCUAGGUAGGGUUCUUGAGAGCAAAAUUGUCCUAAGCAUUAUAUGCAUACAUGGUGUGGUACAUAGAGCACGUUGAAUUCCACACUAUAACACAAACCCAGAAAGACAAGUAAUAACUCAACUGAUAUAAAAACAAAAAGAAGAUAAAAUGAUAUAGAAAAAAGAAUUUCAAAGAGACAGCAACAUACGAUAGACUGAAGCCACUUGAUCUGCUCACUGAUUGCAGCCUUAAACUUACAAAUAGUUACUGUACGCUAGUGCUCUAAGAAGUGAAAAUGAUAAGAGACCUAAUUUCCUUUUGACUUCCAUUUACUGUCAAACAUUCUAGUAAUACAAAAAAUUGUUUAGAUAUCUUGCUAUAAAUAUAGUCGUUUGACUGUCAUAAUAAAGUCACAAAUAACCAUUCAUAUUGAUCCACUGUCACACAGCAUGCUUUAUGCAUACAACAUCUGCAUGUAUACCAACUCCUAACCUUAUCAAUACAUUUGGCAAAAACUUAAGAAGAAAACUAUUUCUCCAUCUCUUUUUUGAAAUUUCACAAUAAACCAGCACAUUGUGAAAGCUAUGUUCUAAUCUUAUGAUAAAUGCUCUAGACUCCAAAAGGAUUUUAUUUAUGAGAGUUUGUUGCAACAGAUAUAUUGACUUAUCAAGUAUGAAUCAUUGUCUGGAUGAACUAUCUUUAAAUAAAAGAAUAUUAGAACCACUGUAGAAUAUCUUUACGCUGCUGGUUCUAACAGGAAUCUGCAUGUGGCAACAAUUGCUAGAUCCACAAUUCCCCAACUUGAAAUACAUAGUUGCACACCGUGAGAUAGUGCUGCAAUCUACUGAGAUCUAACUUAUUUGAUACUUUAAGCUACUAAUGUUUGCAUAUUUCUACAUGUUAAAUUGACACUACCAUCUAUAAUCACCCCAAAACGACAAAUGAAAAGCAGCUUUUGGCCACUUAUUACUAGCAUCCACAACACAAUUAUAAAUAAGAGAUCAUGGGUUUACUUGUUGCAACUACUUAAUGAUCUGCAUUUGAUACCCUGACGCAAGGUUUAAAUAGUGACUGCUUAGAACCCUUGUAGUUGGAUCUUGACCUCUCCCAUUGUAGCCAAGAUUGGCUACUCUGGUAAUGAAUCAACACUCUCCUGCUUAUUUUUUUAUUUUUAAAAAAUAACGAAAUCAUAAAAUAAAUAAACACGUGUUUGGUUUUGGGCAUUUUCGUUUGUUCAUUUAAUAUCAUCUGGUUCCCUGAUUUUUGACUAAUUAACAACGGAAUCCUGUUAGUUUCUAAAUUGAAAUAAUAAAAGGUCAUGAGAUUAUUUACUCCAUUUAGCACUGUAGACUUAGAGUAUAUUGAAAAAGCUUUGUCAAAUAGUAGUAAUAGGGGCAUAAUAAAUAAGUUUUUCAGAAUUUACAUAAUGUACUUGGCUCUAGGAAGAUUGCCCUCUUAUCACUCAAGUUAAGUUUUGCCUUAGAGUUGAGGUAAAUCAUUAAAAUAAAUUAUAGCUAUCACAAAUUCGUUAGGAGAAUUUCAAUUUUUUUUCCAUUAAAUGGCUAUGAGGCAAAAUUACCUCAGCUUAUAUUGCAACACUAAUACUUCAAAUCCUAACAAUAAAAUUGAUGACAAUGGUUUUUAUGUAUAGUAAUUUUCACUCUUUUGUUUGAUCUAAAAGUAGUUCUUAAAAUGACAAUGAUGACUUAUUUAGAAGAAAUGGCAAACUUAUAGUUUGUAAUAUUGUUUGCACAAACAAUAAAGACUAAUUUGAUAAUAAUGAAGUGUUAAUUACUAUUUAACAUUUUUAAUUAAUUUUUAAAUUUAAAAAAAAAUGAAGGCCCAAACUUGUGCAUUAAAUUUUAAUUAAAAGUUGAUUGCUUCGAAGGUUGGAUCGUGACAAAUUGACAAUUGAAAAAAGAAGUAGGGAAUAUAUAUUCUGAUGAAAGGGACAAGAUUAAGCAAGGGGACAAUAUUGUCUAUUGGACCUACAAAUGGGGGCAAAGAUAUAUAUAUUCCAAAAUUUCUUAUUUGUGGAUUGGCCACCACGUGUAACUAAUAUAAAAAGAGAAAAUUUGGCAUGGUUUUAACCGAUAUAAGGGUCCGUUUGAGAUUGAGGUGCUGUAACUUUUAAGGUAUAGCUGCUGUGGAAAAAAAAACUGUAAGUAUUAAAUAAAAGUUAAUAAUAUAUAGUAAAUAUAAAUUUUAAAUAAUAAUUUUGAUGAAAUUAUUAAAGAUAUAAUAGAUUUUUUAUUAUACAAAUGAAAAUUCAUAUCAACAUAGCUUAAAAGUUACAGCAGUUAGUGUUUACCAAACACUUUAGUGCUGUAGCUUUUAAGCUACAGCUGCCCAACCUCAAUCCCAAACGCACCCUAAGAAGAGAAAAUUUUGAGUGUAUAAGAAGAGAAAAUUUUGAGUGCACAACAAGAACAAAGCAAAACCCAUGAAAAUUCACCUUUCAUGUGGGUUGGAUUGGAUAAAAUCAAUAUCUUGAAUAAAACAAAAUGUUUGGUACUUGAAGGUUUUUUUAACAUUUUCAUUUUUUUUCCAUUUAUGAAGUCCAAUUUUUUUUUAAUUUUGAUUUUUUUGAAUGAUUUUGCAGGUGUUGAUAUAAGGUCAUCAAAAGUUUGUGAACUUGGGGUGUUGAAUUAUAAGGCGAAGCGUGUGUUUUAUCCAUUUGAAGCAAGUAAAUUUCGUUGUCGGUAUGAUUACUAUUGGGCUUCUAUCUUCAAGGUAUUCAUACAUUUUCCCCUGUACUAUAAGCUUCUUAGUGGCGGUCUUGUGAGCGGAAGUGAGCGGUGUGGCUGACAGCUUCUUGAAAAUUAUAAGUUUGAACAGAGCAUGUUAGACUUUUGUUGACCAAAUUCGAAAGCCAAAUGGCACAGCUCAGAAGCUUUUGAAUUGAAUAACUUACUAGAAAGCUCCAAUUUUUUGUUGGCUACAGUAAAAAGAGGUUGUUUUAUUCUUCUUAUACUUUACGCUUGCAUCAGCUUAAAUCACUUCUUAAACGCUUUGCUUUAACUCCACCGCUUCGUACUGUUCUAUAGAUGUAUCGGGUAUGCGGUUGUAGUUCACUGCUGAGACUACGUGUUUGUUUAACGUGGAAGUUACGUUACGAGUCUGUUAAAACAUUCGGUGAUUAAAGUAUUAUCAGUUAUUUCAAAGGGACAAAUAAGAUUAGCUACAACACACACUAGUUUUAUAAAAUUCGAAUGAGAUGGAAUAAAAUAAAUAAGUAAAUUGACUUUUAAUUUAGUGCUUGAAUAUAUUUUGUAUUCUCUUUGGGCACUGCUGUAAUUGUUCCUUAUCACACCCAUAUGUUAUAGACACAAGAAAUGAAAUUUAAGAUCACCUGUUUAAUUAAAGAAUCACUCAUGAAAACAUUUUGUCAUUUUGAUUUGAGGAUCCACAUUUUGAACAACCAACUUAUGUUCAUUAAGAACAAAGCAUUGCCUGUGAGUAGAAAAUGAUUUUUGAACAAAUUAUUUUUUGUUUAUAGAAGAAUUUCUCAAGGGACUAUUAAAAUUACUAAUAAAAAUGUCAGACGCACCCAUGUACCAUCGACAAAAUUAACUAUGAGGAUCCAUGUUUUGAACUGCCACCGAAUGUUCAUCAAGAACAUAGUAUAACUUGUGACAAGAAAAUUUUUUGAAUUUGGCCUAGAACAAAAUGAAAUUAAAUUGAAGGAGAAUCUACUACUUUCUCAUUAAGAAAGGCAGACGGGGCAUACCAUGGUACCAUACAAUACAAAAAGUGUCUGUUCUCUGACUUUUCAAACUCUGAAGGGGGCAAUAUUCCCCAAUUCCCUUGUGAAAAUUCUGAUUACGACAUUAUUCAUCGCUUGAUACAUAAGUAAAAGUAGUGAUAAAAUUAGAAAAAAUAUGACUUAUAAGUAAUUACUAGGCAGGGCUCUUGAGAGCAACAUUGUGCUAGGCUUUAUAUGCAUACAUUGUGUGGUACAUUCUACACUAUAACACAAACCCAGAAAGACAAGUAAUAUCUCAAAUUAUAUAAAGACAAAAAGAAGAUAAAACGAUACAGAACAAAGCAUUUCAAAGAGACAGCAACAUACAAUAGACUAAAGCCAGUUGAUCUGCUCGUUGAUUGCAGCCUUAAACUUGCAAAUGUUUACUGUAGCCUGGUGCUCUAAGAAGUGAAAGUGAUGCAAACCUUGAUUCCCUGUUUACUUCCAUUUACUGUCAAACAUUCUAUUCAUACGAAAAAAAUUGUUUAGAUAUCUUGCCGUAAAUAUAGCCAUUUGAUUGUCUUAAUAAAGCCACACACAACCAUUCAUAUUGAUCCACAUUGCCAUAUAGCCUGAUUUAAGCAUACAACAGCUGAAUGCAUACUGACUCCUAACCUUAUCAAUACAUUGGAGACAACUUAAGAAUAAAACGAUUUCUCCAUCUCUUUUUUUUAAAUUUCACAAGAAAACAGCACAACGUAAGAGCUGCAAUGAAAAUGGACCGUCAGGAACUAUGGCGGAAGCUUCAACUAGUGUAGUGAUUUGACCUUCUUAUUAACUUAGCGAUAUCAAGCACUGCCCUUGAUCUUGAACAGAUCAAUACAAUACGCACAACUUAUGAUUGAAUCCAGAAACAAUCAAAUCUUUAGCAAGAAAAAUUAAUCAGAAUCAAGAAACAAGUUCAAUGAAUAUAAACCUAUAAUUGGAACAAACACAGCCAAAGAACCCAAGAAUGACACAACCUACACCACGGGAGAAGCUUUCCAGUGAGAUUUUAUUGAUGAUCAAAGAAGAAUCUUUUUACAAAGCUAACAAAAGAGAUUUCAAAGAAUAAGCUAUGACUCUCUCUCUUCAAUCUCUCUCUAGUUUGUUCACAGUGAUGACCCCAAUCUGCUUCGUUAGCCAGCUUCAUAAUUGCGUCAGUGACAAACUAGCAAACCCAGAUUGAGCAGAUUACCGACACGUGGAUAACGGCUAUUAAGAACUUGGUUAAAGAACUGCUCACAUAUUCGUCACGCGUGUUACUUAAAUGAUGGCCAAAACGACUUCAACCAGAUGUCGUUUUGAAGCUUGUGAAUUAAAUUGAAAACACGUGCUUGUCUCGUGACACUUAAAUACAACAACAAGCCCAAAACACUGCCGUUUCACUUUGUUGAGUUUGCCAUCUCUAAGCUUCACAACUAGCAACGGAGAAGAUGAUAAUUAAAUUGACAUGGAGAGUUUUUAUAUCACUUUUACAACAUUCUAUAUAAUUGUGAUAUUGGGAAUCGUCGGUGUUGUAUAUGUGAACUCUCGUUGGCGACACUGGUGGUUUUAUUUUUGUUGAAAUAUGGAUGACAUUUCGUUACUAUUUUAUUGUACACAACCUUAUUCUUAGGAGAUUUAAUCAUUGAAAUUAACAUGUUAGUUUCAUUAGCCACUAGGCCUUUGGCUGAGUCGUUCGGGUGUCUGCCCUCCAACUUGGAGGGCACCAGUUUGAACCCCCACAAGCGCAAUGUGGGGUAUUUUCUUCUUUAAUCCCUCGAAUAUUACUGAGGGUUAAAAUCUAGGUAGAGCUCCAUAAGUAUUAAUGUAAGUUGGUUCCAGUAAUAGUCUAAUUUAAAAAUAUCAGUUAUAGUCUCAUGUAAGAUGAGUUGUAAUUUGAGCAAUAGUCUCAUAUAAUAAUAAUAAAAUAAAAUAAACAUGUUAGCUUCAUUACAUUUUUCUUCGUUAAAAUUCUCAAGUAUUAGUCAGGUUUGCUUAAGUAAUAAAAUUUUGUCAUUAAAAUUGUAGUAGUAUUUCUGAGCACCUCACAUUUUCAAUGAUUGUUCAUAAAUCAAUUAAUCUGCCGUACCGAUAUUAGGUUUAGUUUUUCAUACUAAAUAAUCAAGAAAGCAAACAUACAAAUUCACAGUUUAGAGGGGUAAACUAGGUUGGUGGUUUAGAUUUUAGAACUAGGCUAGCUACCCCACUAAAUUCCAAUUUGUACAGUGAACUACAAGAAAUUGAGAAAACAGUGUAUUUAUAGUUUAAUUGAAUCGUGAGAAAGCAAUGUAGUCAUAGCUCAAUCUGAGAUGAUCACGGAGAGGCAUAUUCUUUUCAAGUUAAUUUGAUCAAUUUAUAAGAGAUGAAGUGGAUUGAAGUUAAAAGUUUAAAUAACAAAUCCUUGUUCUUGAGUUUUACGACGUCGUUACUCCUUCAAGAGGCAGAUUAUUUAUGCAAGUGAAUGCAGAAACGCAAUGCAUCAUCCACGGGGAUGGUACAUCAAAAGGCGGGAUCAUAGUCUAUGCCCGCAGAUUAACAAUUUCGCUCAUAUAGAAAAUUAAUUUUUUAUAUAUACUAAUCAACACUAAAUUGAUUAUGUUUUGUAUGUUUAUAUGCGAAUCAACACUAAAUUAUAUUAAAUGAAGAAAUAAUUCAAUUUUUUUCUAAUUUAAUUUAGAAAAUAAAAUUAUUAACAUUAAUAUUCCCAACAAAAAUUAUUUUCCAUUAGUAUUCAAAGUCUUCACUUAUGGAAAAUGUGUUUUACAUGAAUAUUAGUUACUGUGUGAAUUUGAAUGAUAGUGAAAAAUAAUUUUUUAAUUAUUGUAAAAAUAAUUAACCAUAUCAAAUCCCUUACGUAAAUAAUUUUUAUUUUUUAAAAAGAUAGAAAGAUGGUUAAUGCACAAGUAAAUUUUAAGCCCCUCUCUUCUUGGCCGAAGAUUCAAACUCAGAUGACUAGUUAAAUAAACCUAUGUGAAAAUCAUUCGGCCAGGUCCGCGGGGCAAAAAUACAAGAUCCUUAAUUUCAUAAUAUAUAUGAAUUAAUGUCAUUUACUUGAAUUAUCCAAAUUCAUCAGAGGUUAACGAAUUUUCCUGACAUGUAGUAGAUGAAGUUGUUGCUUCCUUCUUGGCAUUAUUUCAGCUCUGGUUGUUGGUCCCGAUGAGCUUUAGUCUUAUUUUAAUUUUAUUUAAACUCAUCAUAAGAUUCGUGGAGCACCUAACUGCUUAACUGACUGUGCAGAAAUGUCACAUAGCAUAUUUAACCGUUUUAACAGUAAUUUUGAACGGUCUUCGCAGUUAUCAUCAACAAACUCCUUCAUACUGGUCCAAUAUUCCGGACGAUAUCAUAUGCCUAAUAAUGAAUGAAUGGUCUUGGAUCGGUGUUUCGCAGCAAGAGCAACUCGACAAAAUCUGGAGUCAAGCUCCUCCGAUCGAACAAGGGAUUUCGAUUGAUGAUUGAGUUUCUUUGUGCUCAAGCAAGUUCAAAUCAUAGUUUUGAUUCUUUAGAUAUGAAUUCAUCACAUUACAUAUAACAGAUUGAGUUAAACAAAAUUUUAAUUUACUGAGAAAAGAAUUCUAUUUUGUGAACUAAUCAAUUGCAAAGCAUUAGUGUUGAACGAUACAAAAAAUUGGGAAAAAAAAAAAACUUAAAACGUGUGGACUCGGAUAGUCACACUAGAAAUCUACCACAAUAAUUACCUUUGAUGCUUGGAAUCUUUUAAUUUCUAGCCGUGUUGACUCCACUAGGUGAAGUUUUUGAAAUAAUAAUAAGCUCCCAUUCUUGAUUUAAAAAAAUGUGCUUAUAAUAAUUUUAGAAUAAUGGCUUAUUUAUAGAACAACUUAUGAUUUCCCAUUAGCAUUAUUAUUGAAGUGGGGUGGGUAACGGUUCACUCAAUUCGUCGGGAAUAAAAAAUUACCAUCCAAGGCAGAAUUGUAGAAAAUUAAAGCGAAAUGGGAAAUAUGGAAAUGAAGGAAGAAAGUUAAGGCAUGAAAGACUUCCAGUUGAAAUUGGUAAUCAUGUUUCUCUUUGGUAACUAAUCAAAUGGGAAACUGAACCAUAAACAGACAUUAAAACAUGUGUACUCCGCUGGCUGCCUUACAAGCCUACAAUAAUAACUGAGUACCUUUGAUUCAUCCUUCUAUGAAUUUCUAGCCGUAUUGACUCCACCGAAAUUUCCACAAAAGCAAAAAAAAAAAAAAAAAAAAAAAAAAGAAGAAUUUCCACAAAAUGCAAAACGCAUGGAACUUAAUUUUUGGCCCUGUGAUCACUAAGAUACAAUCCUUCUAGUGAAGAGCAAUCAGGCAAAUUUUUUUAGAUCUCUCCGACAAAGUGAUUACCAUCUAAUCGCAAUAUUGAACAAAAAUAAAAAUUUUAAUGGGAGUUUGACCUUAAAUUUAGAAAAUGAAUUUUCACUUUCUUCAAUUAUUAAACAGAUUACAGACAUUUGAGGAAUUUGAAAACACUUUAUCCAUCGAAAGUUAAAAUUAGAGAUGGAAGCUAGGUGCUACAGCUAAUGGGAUCAUUAAUUCCCCUCCCUCAAAUGUGUAGUUGUUCCUCUUUCCACAGCAUAAGCCUUAUAGUUAGAGUUUCUUUUAAAAAAAAAUGUUAAACAAUUUCGGUUGAGCAUGGUUUUGGUAGUUGAAUAGACACCUCCGCCGUACCUCAAACAAAACUGUCAUUAUUCGUGUCAUGAAACAUGUUUCGGCCGUCAAAGUCAUGAGUAGGAGUGGGCAUGGGUUGGUUUGGGUUAGAUUUUAAGUCAAUUUAAAGCAAACCAUAAAAAUUUGGGUUCAAUCCAAACCAACCCACAUAUUUUUAACCCAACCCAAACCAACCUAUUUGGGUUUGGUUUGGGUUUGGGUUUUGUUUGAAUUUUAUAAUUAAAAUAUUUUUUAUUUUAAUAAAUUUAACUAUAUCAAAUUAUAAUAAUUAUUAAAUUAAUAUUAAAAUACGAAAAAAUGUGGUGGAUAAAAAUUAUGAAUAAUGGAUUUUACAAUAACUUUGUUCUUAAAUAUUAACCAUAUUACAACAUAAAUUUUAACAAUGUCAAUACAAAUUAAAGUAAGAUAAGAUAUCUCAACUCAAGCAUCAAAGCAAUCCAUCAAAAUUAAAUUAUUUAAUUUUAUAAAUUUAAAUCUUCCGAGAAAUAAAUCUAAAAUUUAUUGUAAUUAGAAAAAGCGCCAAAAUUUUAAACGCAGUAAGAAAAAUUAGACAUGAAAUCUAAUUAGGUUUAAAUUUAAUUAAAAAAUAACAAUAGAAUUAUAUUUUAUUUGAUAAAAUCUUAAAAUCAAUUGCAUUUUUAAUUUUAGUAAGUUACAAUACAAAUAGGAUUAUAAAAUUAUAUUACAGGAUUUCAUAAAAAUAUUAUUUGAGUAAUUUAUUAAAGGACUCACCUACGUUGCCACAGUUGUAGCUUACCACACUUUUUGUCUUUUUCCAGUAAAAUCGUAGAUGCUUUCAAAUUUAAUCUAACGGCUGCAAUUAAUUAUUAGAUAAUUUAAUCAGCCGUUGGCAACCUUUACAACCGGUUAUAUUCUCUCGUUACAUUUCUCGGCUACCAAACAAUCCCCAAGAAAAUGACGAAGUGAGUAACUAAUACACACACCGCAGAGAAAGAUGACAGGAGAAGAGAUGACGGUAGGCCCACCGGCACAAAGGUUCUUCGAUUGCUCAAUUUCUUCGGCGCCAGAUUUAUCUACACAGCUACAAUCGACAAGUGGCGGGAACUCGAGCGGAAGUCAUUGAAGAAGAAACAGCAAGAGAGCAAUCUAUGGACUGAUGAUAACUCAGCAACUACGGUAAAGAAAGCCGUCAAAUGAUUUUUUUUAUUUGACUUUUGAUGGAUUUUCAAGAGUUUUGGUAAUAAAAUGUCUCUUAAUUUUUCAUUUCAAUGGCCUAUUGUUUGAGUUAUUAUUAUGCAUAAUUGUUGGAAGAGUUAGGGUUUUACUAUUGGAUUUUGGAAUUUGUAUUUUGGCUUUGAUAUGUUAUUGUUGUGAUGUCGGUCAAGAAAUUUUUGACAACACUCUCCUCGAGUUUGAUACUAUAGCUAAUGAAAUUUUAUGGCAAAUAUAUUCUUUUCUUUGAAAAAAAAAAAAACACUUUACAACUGGUUAUGCAUUCAUUUAGGAGUUGUUAACUGAGCGUGAGUUCCAUAAUUUUCCAACCAGUGGUUAGGGUUUCAUAGAAAAAUGUCGACAUUGAUCUUUAGGCAGCACUUAAGACUGAAAUUGGUUGUAGAGGAUCGAAUUUGGGGAACUAGAAAUUUCUGAUCAUUAAUAAUUGAAAAUGGCCUCUCACUUGUAGGCAGUUGUUGGAUGUAAUGUAUCCAGUUUCUGAAAUCGAAAGCAGAGUGAGUUCUUAGGUUAGAUGUAACUACAUGCAUUAAGGUUCGAAGAUGUAGAAUAGGCCAAUUGUUUGAUGUCAGCUUUGUUGCACAUGUUCUGAAAUUGAUCAUUUAAGAUGGCUUGGAAGCACUCCGUGAUGUGACUAAGAAGAUUCGAGGAAGUAUUAAAUAUGUUGAAAGUUCACAAUUAAUAUAAGGAAAGUUCAAUGAGAUCACCCAACAAGUUGAAAUCAACGGUCAAAAGAGCCUAAAGUGUGAUAUUUUUCUCUUGGAUUGUUUUUUUAUUUUCCAUUUCAAAGCUGAUAGUGUAAAUAUUUUGUUUGCAAAAGUUUCUAAAAAGUACUUGAGUCAAGAUGGUUAGGUAUUUCAUAACUUCCUUUUUACUCUUAACUAGAUUCAUAGAGAGUUAUAACAUUAACAUAAUUUUUCUUUUAAAAGUGAUCAAUUAGACACUGAUGAGAUAUCUCACUUUUGAAUCAUUUAGCUUUAUGUAAUGUCAUUACUAUUAUAUGCCCCCAGGAAUUGUUGAAGUAUAUAUAUCUUGGCAUUUCUUCACUGACUGAAUUAUCUUUCAUAAUAUUCCAGCUUCAAAUGGGUACACUGCAGAGCCGAUUGGAUGCAGAAUUCCUUCUAGCUCAUAUGUGCUCUGUAAAAUUCAAAGACUGAAUAGUGGUUAUGGCAACUCUUUUUAGAUGAUCUAAGGUAUAAUGCCCAAUUAUUGCUUUUGCUUUCUCUGUUUUACCUUGCAACAUUUUGAAAUUUAUGAGAAGCAUAAAAUUACUGAGCCAAAAUUGAGGAUCUGAACUUUCGUAAAAAUAUUUGUAUUUUUAAAUUAUAAAAUAUUGCAUUUGAUGCUUUAGGUGGAACUUAGUUCACUACAGAAAGGAAAAUUAUGUUGGGCAUAACCAGAUGUUUUUCAAGAGAAAAUUUCACUGAUAUUUUUCUGAGGAUUUUACUUGGCCAUCUUAUUUCAAGCUGCUUGAAUUUUUUCUUUAUAUCAUCUUGGUUGUAUACUAUAACUCGUUGAAUUUGCUAGCACUUUUGCUAGUUGUUUAUUCUAUAUGUGAUUGUGGUGGUAAAGUUUGGAAGUUGUUUUUCUUAAUAACUCCAAUUAACUUGAAGUUGUUACCUGAUUUAUUAUGACAGUGUGCAUUACGAUAAGUAUCCUUGCAUAUUAAGAUUUUCCUUCCAGAUCUUUGCGGUACUUUUUGAUCUUUUCCGACAUGAUAUGCGAUUAUGGGAAGCAUAUGCCAUCACCUUACAGGUAUUCUCUUAAUUUUUAGAUAGUGCUCAAGAUGACAUUCAAGUUGGCUAUUAUUGGGUGCAAGAUUUACCAUGCUCUUAUUUUGCUUUUUUAGUCUAACCCGACAUUUGCUUAAUACCAUGAUCUGCUUCAAGCCUUGGAUGGAAAACUUUCAUUUUUUGUAUAUUCUGCAAUGAGAUGAGGGUAGUUUUUCUGAUGAUAUUUAGCAGUAAAUUGGGACUAAGGUGGCGUUUGUUUUUUAACUUAAUGACUUAAAGUGACUUAACUUAAUUAAUUAAGUUAAUUAGAGAUGUUUGUUUUUAUAACUUAAUGAGACUUUUUUGAUAAUUUUGACUUAAUAAAAUAAGCCAAUUUUUUUGGCUUUUUACUUAAUGGAGAAAUCUUAAUUAAGUCAAUUACUUACUAAUGUCAAAAAUAUCCCUGCUUUAUAAUUUAUUUUUCAUGUCUAUCCCAAAACUCACCCAUAGACAUUUACCCCACAUAAAAAUAUCCAUGUUUUUUCUUUCUUAUAUUAUAUACGAUAAAAUUUGAAAUUUAUGGUAUUUUAUAUAUUAAAAUUCCAAAAUAAUUAUGUAUUCACUUGAAUAUAGUUUUAUUUAUAAAUGUUAAAAUAUUAUGGUAUUUAAUAUAUUAUUUAUUUGACAUUCAAAUUUAAUAAGGAUACAAAUGUAAAAGUAUAUAUUUUCAGCUUUUUAAGUUAAAAAAACAAACAACUUAAUACUUAUUUUUCAAGAUUCAGACGAAAAAAUAAACAUAUUAUUCAGAUUCAGAUAUUCAGAUCUAUUCAGAAUUCAGACUAAUUCAGGUCUAUUCAGAUUUCAGACAAAAAAACAAACGCCACCUAACUAAAGUAAUUUUCUUAAUGGCAUGUCUACUUCUCAGAUGAAUGACCGUCUGUUCAGACUCCCAAGUGAUGAAUUAACAACCACCGAUCUAUUCUGGGUGAAGAUGAUGACGUUGACACCAAGCCAGUGGAAUGACUAGGACUUCCCUUUUGUUACAAUAAAUUGUGUUCAUUAGACACACACAGUUAAUUAGUGUAGAUAAAGGAGGUCUAUGAACAAUAGACUGUUUUGUAUUUCGAGAGUCCUUUUUUUGUUUCUUUCAUUCUCCAUUCUUUUGAAAUUAUGUACAAUGGUUAUAUUGUCUAUAUUAUUACGGAUUUAUGAUGGGAGUAUCCUAAGUUUAUGGAAUAAUUAUAAAUAAGGACUUUAAAUUUUUGUUGAAAGAAGUUGAGUGAGAGAAAAGAAGCUAAAGCAGUAAGCAUUUGUUAUACUUCAUUCGAUUGUAUCUAAAUUACAAAGGUUGGUGGCCUUAUUUAUAGUGAAGUUCCCACAGGCCACUUGCACUCAAAACAUUCGAAAUAUGCAAACAUAUUGAUAUAUAAACAUACAGAAUUAAUAUUCUGAAUCCUUGUAAGUAAUGCAAAUAAAAGUGAGGUUGGGGCAGACAAUAUUUACAUCAUGUAUUAAUAGAAAUAAAAUCAAUUAUUUCCAAAUAAAGUCACUUAGUUCAAAGCACGGGCUUCAGUUAAGUUGAACAAGCAAGCCAAUUUUUGUUGUUACUUCAUGAUUGUCGUAAGCCGUGGGUAGUGGAUCGUGUUCCCUAUAAAAGACAAACAGAAGCAUAAGUUUCUCUCAAUUAAGGCACCUGAAAUGUAUUUCCAUGUCUACUAACCUGGUCAUUCGUCCAUGAACUAAACCCUUCUGAGGAUCUUGAAUAGAUUUAUAGAGAUCUCAGAUAAUUUCCUGGUGUGCCUGAGUAAAGACAAGUCUUAUGUACUUGAUUACUUCUGGCCAAUCUAUCGAGGCCACCACCUGUCUCAGUCAAUUCAAUCUUUUAAUAGAGUGAAUUACUAGAAUAAAAUUGAUUAAAGUUGAUAUAAAAUCUAAAUUAAAAAAAUCAGAUAAGAGAAUGAUCCAAAAUCCAAAAAAUCAAAUAUUUAAGGAGUGGACUUGUGACCCUCUAUAGAAUCCAUGGAAGAGUAACUAAGGGAAAAACAUUAGAGGUGCUUUUGGCGAUACUAUUAGUAUUCUUGUGCUGAUCAUAAUCUUGGGGGUAGAUCUAGACUAAUUAGCUAUUCAUUGAACAAUCCAUUUCUCCACAGUUACAUGCAAAAAUGCAGCUUGCAGUUGCAGCCUAGACCAUAGAAAUAUAGAAUUCCAAUUAUCAACAUCUAAAGCUACUGUAGUGACUUGCAACCAUGAGAUGAUAUAUACAUAUGCUGAGAUUCAAAUAUUUGAGAAGUUUAAACAUCCUGAUGAAAAAUAGACUAGUUCACAGCUACUUUGGGGAAGUUGAUUUCUAAUAGCAGUAGAAAAUACAAGUUUUUUUAAACAUACCUACUCCAGUAAACUCAAUUAACCAAAACAAAACUCAAAGCAUGAAAAAGAGGGAUUUUAACUAACCUAAUCAUUAUCAUUGAUAUUUUAACAUAUUGAUCUUCACAUGGAGUUAACAAACACAAGACUUAGUGCCUAGUACAUAUGUCUGGGGUUGCACAGUCUGUUCGACAAAUUUAUUGAAACUAUAUCCAUGCUCCUUCUUCAAUAAAUAAAUAUCCUCUUGCUUCUUCCAUCCUACUCUAAUUCUUCCUGGAAAGCAUUCUCCCCUUCUCUAAUUCUUCCGAAAAAACAUAACCGACAAUCCUAAACUAAUUACCACCGUUAAAUCUUUCAAACAAAAUUUACAAUUUCUUAUCAGUAGUUUCCUGCCGCAUCCGAUCGAACGGCUCAUCAACGAAUCAAACAGACUUCUUUCCACCCUUUUUCCAUAUAAUUACAUUUGCCUAAUUCCUAAAGUUUCGGCUCCGCCCAAUGUCGGCCGCAAUUGGCUGCCGCAGCGAUAUGUUCAUCUUCAACUUCUCUGCUGCGAUUUCAAAUUUACUUCAGCCUCGUACCACCACACUUCCACUGGCAAUUAAUUUCAUUAUCCGAUUUUACUAUGUGUGGAAUAGAUUUGAGCAAUUUAUGAGUUUUCGCUACGAUUUCGACGAUGUCCUCUCAACACUAAUUUGAUCACCUAAUUUUAACUGUUUUGGGUUAUUUAUUUUUUUAUUAUAUUUAUCUACAGUCUCUGCAGGCAACUGACUACUUCACUUAUAUGUGGAACUCAUCUGAGCUAUUAGAUGGAGGCCCUCCAGAUCCUACGGCGAUUAUAUAUGAGGACAAAAAGUGUUGUAUGUUGGAACUGUUGCAACGUAGGAGGAUCCUUUAUUAAAAUGUUAAUUUAGUUUUUUAACUCAAGUUUAGACCGUAAAAAAUUGUUAUAUAAUAGUGUAUUGUAUAACCAAUUACAUAUGUAUUUGCCUUGUGCAACACUUCUAUUAUUAUUAUAUAAUAAUAAUUAGUAGUAGUAUAAUUACUAUAUAAUAAUAAUUCUAAUAAAAAAUUAUUAUUAAAAUAUUGAUUUAGCCUUUUAUUUUAUUUAAUUUACUUUUUAUUAAUAUGUUAUCUUGAAUUUGUUCAUGACCCAUGAGUAAACCAUACCCAAACCAUUAUAAAAUAAUUUCUUUCAUAAAAACUCAAAUUUAACCCAUUUCAUGAUUUAUCCAACCCAAAUAAUUUAAUUUAGUUUGGGUUUGGAUAAACCUAUGGAUUGUGGGUUUAUGCCCAACCCUAGUCAUGAGAGGGGUGACGACGCUGCAUAUGAUGACACACCAGCCGACAAUGUAGUAACAGCACAAAACCAAAAUCUACCAAAAUCAACCAAAGUCAAUAAAAAAUUAUUUUAUUAAUAAAAAAAAAAAUUAUUAUUUGUGGGGAUGUGUAUCUGAUUCUGUGGACUGAAAUGGAAAAUAUGACGAAGUUCAGAGUCGUUGUAUAGAUUGACUUCAGUUGAACGGGUCUAAUAGAUAUUUUAUGCUGACGUGGCACGAAUUAGUUAUAAUCUGUUAUAACGAUUCCAGAAAUAUCAGUAUAAAUAGAAGCUGAUGAGCAGUGCCUGUUGUACGAUCCUUUUCUUCUUCAGUUGUUCGUCAAUUUGCAUAGAAUCUGUUUCAUUGUGAUCUGUGCAAAGUCUUCUGUAAAUCCACGUAUGUUUGAUUAGUUAUUGAUCAAUAUCGAGAGUAAAUUUUUCCUUCAAAUCUUGCUGGUUCGUGCCCCUGUUUCAGUUCUGGAUUUUUCUUUUUUUGUUUAGUUCUGGUUUCUUAAUUCAAUUGAAUUUCUUGGUGCUUAAUUCAUCAAGAUUCAGUGGAAUCGACUUGAAAAGGACUCAAUAGACUCAAAAUUAUUUAACGACACUCUGACCGUGGGGUACCGUAAUCAUAAUCUGAUUUUAAGAAAAUUACAACUUAUUUUAAAUAGCGCUUCAAUGUAAUUCUAAAUAUUUAAAAGGAAAACAUUAUCCACCUGGAACGACUUCAAGUCCAAAGUAAAAGACAAGAGUGGCUCCCCGCAAUUUUCUUGUUUUCAGUAUAUUUUCUCUUUUUCUUUUUUAAAAUCUUUUGACGCAUGCAUAAUCUACCCUUGUUUAUUUUUAAAAUGGACUUUGCUCUGCUCAAGUCCAUUUUUUUCAAAUAUUAUUUUAAAUAAUAAAUUGAAUAAAAUUACAUUUGUGUAAUUAAUUAGUAUCUGAGGGGGGCAUAUUUGGUGUAAUGCUAUGUAAGACUCAGCUAUUAUAUCACACAUACGCAUAUAAUAUAAUUAAGCAUUUGUUAUUAUAGCAAAGAUCCAUAGCAUGAAAGUGAAUAAAUUUAACUAAAUGAUUAAUUAAUCAAUUAAGUUUCAUGAGCUUUAAUCGAGUUAAAACCAAGUACAAACAUCGUUAACAAAUACUGAAAAUUAGGAAAUUAAAAAAAAAAACUAAUUCAAGUAAGAUGUAGUUUUUACAUGUUGAUCAGCAGAAUACAACAUUACAUUUUGUCAUUGACAAUAUUGCAUACCAGUCAUCCAAAGCAUUACCUCACGAGGUUUUAUGAGAAACGAAAGAUAAGUGUUUGCUCUGAACAAUUAAAGUUGCUGCUACCAACCUCCCCGAAGACCAAGAAGACGGAACAGGAAGCUAAUGCAUCAAUGUCUUCUUCAUUACAGCUGCUGCGUAGUUAGGUGUAGUUUCCUCAUUUGAAGCUGUCUAUACAUAGGCUUUCCCCCUGCUUAUGUACAAAUAAAUGAACAGCCUUGAAGCUUUAUUAUUCGCAACAAAAGGGGUUACCAAUUGGAGAAGACUUUACAGAGUUUCUCUCACACUCUCUCUCUCUCUCAAUUUCAUCUAGAAGUCCCUCCAAAAGCAUCUCCCAAAACAGUUAGUCAUCUUUAAUACUCUGUUUUCUAGAAACAGAGUCCUAACUAGAUUAAUUGACUGUACAGUGCAUUUCAACAUAGCAUAUUUAACCGUUAACCGUCUUCUGAGUUAUCAUCAUCAAAUUCAUUCAUAUUUCUCCAGUCUUACGGACGAUAUCAUAUGUUUAAUAAUGAAUGAAUAGUCUUGGAUCAGUGUUUUGCAGCAAAUUCACAUCAUAGUUUUGAUUCUUUAGAUAUGAAUUCAUCACAUUACCGAAAAGAAUAUGCGCUAAAAAAUGAUUCCAAGACUAUUUGACUACCAAAAGCUGCUGUCAGAGUGCACUGAAAUUUCCGUAGGAUACUUUGCGGUUGUUUAUUAUGUUAUGAUGGGCAUAUAAUUCUCAAAUUUUGACUCCUCUCAGCGAAAAAUAUAUCAAAGUUUAGAUUAUGUGUUCGAGCUUUAAUAAAUGCCUGAGUUAAUAAUAAUAACAACAAUAAUAAUAAACUAAAAAGCAAAAUUACUAUUGAAUGAUCGGAAAAAAAAAUUAGAAAACGUGUGAACUCCAAUAACCACCCCACAAAUUCAGUGGCGAAUUUUGGAGAGGGCAAGGCCGGGCUUCUCAGAAAAAAAAAAAAAAAAAAUUAUUUGGAGAGGGCAAGGCCGAGCUCAUUCUUUGGUUUUACUUGCAGGGAUUGAAGAAGACUAGAAUGACACAAAAAAAAAAGAAAAAAAGAGUUGAGCGAGUGCAGGUUUUGUCUUCAUUUAAGGAGCUCUUUAUAAAUUUUAGGAUUUUUUUCCUGAGAAAAUUUAUGCCAACUCAUUCUUUGCUUCUUUUCUGAAGGGACACAUGCAACCGAAAGUAUAUUCUUGAAUUCUCCAGGAUAAGAGACAUACGUUUAGAUUCUGGAGCAUUUAAAACAAUGUCAAAUUUUAGAUUGCUGAAAUUUUAUAUAUCCGAGUAUGAUGGUGUUCCAAUUAUAAGCUCCAGGGUGCAAGUUCACUGAGGUUUAGAAUGCCUUCCUAUAGAAUUGAGAAAUCUCCAUUGGCAUAAAUAUCUUUUGAAAAUACUGACAUCAGAUUUUGAAUUGGAGAACCUGAUUGGACUCAGCUUGCCUUGUAGUAAGGUUAAGCAAAUUUGGAAAAGAGAAAAGGUAUAAUGUAUUACUAUUACCAAAGUAUCUAUUUUUCUUUCUUUAAGUAUUUAUAAUGAAUAACUUUUAAAUUCAAUGAUGCUCAUUUAGUAUAGUUAUGUAUCUUUGGUUAUAGGAAGCUGUCAAGUUAAAAUCUAUAGACCUUCACCACCCCUCUAUCUCAAUAGGAUCCCAGAAAUACUAAAUCUUAAAAAAAUAAAUCUUUUAAAUUGUGAAAGCAUGCUUACGUUACCCCCGUAUAUCCACAAUUUCAACUAGCUGAGUAUGUUGUGUUUCAGGGAUGCAAAAUUCAUUUUGUUUCUCAUGAAAGGAUUGACUUGUCCGGAUGUAUUAGGGUUAAUAAACCAACUAAUCCCAUAAUUUGUUGAUGUAGGGUCCUAACAAAUUAUUGCAGUAGAUUGUAGAUCAGUACACUAUUCGAAAACGUAUUUGAUCCACAUAGUGAAGUGGAUAUUGGACCAAUUUGAUGAUAAUGAAUUUCUUUCAACCUCAAUCUUUUUUCCUUUUAGCAACAUGACUAGUCAUUGCGCAAAUUCAAACUCUGACAAUGAUUUCUCAAUCGGUUUCUAAGAUGAUGACCAUGUAUGUAUAUGUAUAUGCGUGUGUGUAUGUGUGUGUGUGUGUAGAGAGAGAGAGAGAGAUCACACGUGUGUGAUUUCCUUUUGCUAAUAGGAUAUGCAGAGAGCUUGAUCUUACCCAAUAGCGAAACAAAAUUCCUAAUAGGUGAAGGUAUAGUAUAAAUACUUAUACUUUCAUGUUAUUUUGUUCAUCAGUAGCUCGAUUAUUUUAUAUGCGUCUUCGAUUUUAAUUUUCUUUCCCUAUAAUCGCUAUUAUCUUUGAACUGGUCAUGAUUUGCCUAUAAGAUUUCUCAUGUUGUUUUGAGGUGCAAUGGAUUUUGAAUUUAGUGACGAGCAGUGGAAGCCAGAAGGCAAAUUAUGAAAAUGGAUAAAGAUCUAUAAUUAGUUGUUAUGGGAUGUCACAUAUCAUAUUGAUGGUAACAUUAUAUAUAUGUACAUAUAAUUAAUGGGGUUGGCUCACGAAACCAUUAAUAAUCAUAUAUUAGCUUAAAUACUUCAAACAAUGUACCAUGAAGCAAUUUCACAAAUACUCGUUAGCUUACGUUGAGCUUUAUUGAAUCAGUAGUUCACAGUUCAAUAAAAUGCAGGUUUUCUAUUUAACGUACAUGGUUAUGGUGUGUGCAUUCUUCAUAAGGCUAACUACUAAUUUAUCAAUGAAACUUGAAAAAUGUAACAGAAAGAUGUCGAUAACAGCCGCAAAACACUGAGAUUGAAAAUCAGGGUUACUAAAUUCUAUUAAAAGCUCUUAAAAUAGACAGCGAUCAUCCUUAAUCGCAAAGUUAUGCACUAAUAGAACUAUUGACUACUUAUCUUUAGCAGAAGGUAUAUUUUUAACUACAGCUUUCUGCUUUGUUCUAAGAACUAGGCAAAAGUGGUAUAUCUUCAAUCCAAUCAACAUAUAUACCACUUAUGUUCCUCUUCACUUCUGUCCAUUUUGAUUUGCACUUCAUAUCCUGCACUUGCUGCUUAGAAAUAGUCUUAGUCCGGACAUUGAAAGUAGAAAAAGUACUUGAAACAAUCAUUGGCACAGCCCGAGAUUCCAUUGAAUCGUGGACUCCAAACUUUCAUAGUUCUAUAAAGAAAAUGACAAAACUUCAUACAACUGGCAUUCUGCUUUUAACAUUUGCACAACCUGAGCGAGUUAGCAAGCCCCUUGUUGCGUUCCCAUUGAAUAGACAUACUUCUGUUAUCCACAGAAGAUCCACCACUCAAAAUGUUUAUCACCAGGCUAUUCUUAAACUGAGCCUAAUGUCACGGGAUGAGUGUUUUGCGCAGCUAACCCGUGUGGCACUUAGACAACUUUGCCGAAUGUUGCUAAGUAAGCCUAGAGCUUCUCGAACUAGAGAAGAGAGCAAUUGAGCCAAAGAAGAAAACUUGUAUUGCACAAAGAGAGAAUACAAUGCUUGAGUUGCUUACAAUGUUUGUUGGAUACAAAUGCCUAAUGCCAUCCCAUAUUUAUAGGGGAGUCUUGACAAGCUCUAGAGAUUCUAGAGAAUUCUACCCACUAUCUAGAAUUUACAUGUGCUGGAAAGUCAUAGAGAAUUCUAGAAUAUUUACAUGUUCACAUGUGCUAGAGUUGCCUAGAACCUUCCGGAAUUGGGCCAAGCUAGCACUCUUGGCCUUGUAUUGGCUCUCUAGCCCGAAAUUGUGGGCAAUUGGGCUAGUGAAUUGGGCGGUCCGCAACAUCCUCCCCCACCUAAGCUCGCGGCGUCCUCGUCGCGCUCUCGUGCUUGAACCUUUGGAUGUGCUCAGCGAAUUGCCACAAAUCAUCUUCACGUUCCCAAGUGGCUUCGCUCUCGGGGAGGCUUUUCCACUUCACCAAGUACUCGCUAUGUGUUGGCACGCCCCUCCUCAAAACCACGCGGUCCGCAAUGAUGUAGUCCACAUCUUUGUCGAAUGCGGUAACAACGGCAGUUGGCACGCGCCUCGAUUCUCCGCGACUUGGUUCUCCCAUGUCUUCGUGAUAUGGCUUGAGAAGGCUCACAUGGAAGACCGGAUGGAUCUUGAGUCUUGGCGGAAGUUGGAGUUGAUAUGAGACACUGCCCACACGUCGAACAACCCGGAAGGGUCCCUCGUAGCGCCUCACUAACCCCUUGUGAACUUUCCGCAAAGUCUUGAACUGUUGGGGUAGGAGCUUGAUCAUGACUUGAUCACCUUCCUUGUGCUCAACAUGCCGUCUCCUUGUAUCCGCCCAUUUCUUCAUUUUCCUCGCGGCUUUGUCGAGGUAGGCUUGCGUGAUGUCCGCUUCCUCAUGCCAUUCGCGGGCGAGCUUGUGUGCCGCGGGGCUUUUCCCUCCGUAAGUCGAGGCAUUGGGGGUCAUGGGCUGGAAUCCCAUGAUGAUCUCGAAUGGACUCUUGCCCGUAGCCUCACUUCGCUGCAAGUUAUAAGAAAAUUGGGCGACGUCAAGUAGUUUUGCCCAAUCCCGCAGAUGAGCGCUCACAUAAUACCUCAAGUACAUCUCGAGGAGCCCAUUAAUGUGCUCGGUCUGCCCAUUCGUUUGUGGGUGGAAGCUUGUCGAGAACUUGAGAUCGGUCCCCAACAUCUUAAAGUGCUCCAUCCAAAAACGCCCAGUGAACCGAGGGUCUCGGUCGCUCACAAUGCUCUUCGGAACUCCCCAAAGCUUCACAAUGUGCUUGACGAAUAGGCGGGCUGCCUCAUCCGCUUUGCAAUCGACUGGUGCGGCAAUGAAUGUGGCAUACUUGCUGUAUCGGUCGACAAUGACCAUGAUGCUUCCGCAACCUUCGGACUUGGGCAGCGAUGUGAUGAAGUCCAUGGAGACACUUUCCCAUGGCCUUGUUGCUAGUGGUAGCGGUUCCAACAAUCCCGCUGGAAGUUGGUGAUCCACCUUGUCUUGUUGGCACACAAGACAAGUUCGCACAUAUGCCUCGAUGUCGUCCCUCAUGUGCGGCCAAAAAUACGAGGCUUGGACUAGUGCGGUGGUGCGCUCAAUUCCUGGGUGACCAGCCCACUUAGAGUCGUGGCACUCUUUGAUUACUUCCUUCCGCAAGUUUCCCCACCUUGGCACGAACAGCCGAUCUCCUUUGGUGAGGAGGAUGCAUUCCUCUUGCCAAAAUCGCCUUGUCUUUCCCUCGAGCACCUUCUCCAGCAAGUCCUUUGCUAGCGGAUCUUGUUGGAGGCCUUCCUUGAUGCGUGAGACAAUGUCGGACUUCGGUUGGCUCAUGCUAAGCGUUGCCAAUUCCGCCUUGCGGCUUGGAGCGUCCGCAACGACAUUGGCUUUACCCAGUUUGUACUCUAGCCGAUAGUUGAAUUCCGCAAGGAAAUCUUGCCACCGUGCUUGCUUCGGACUCAACUUCUUUUGAGUUUGGAAGUACCUUGUCGCCACGUUGUCCGUCAUGAUCGUGAAGUGUGAGCCAAGCAAAUAAUGUCGCCACACUCUUAGACAAUGGAUGAUGGCUGUCAUCUCCUUUUCUUGCACCGUGUAGCGGCGUUCCGUGUCAUUUAGCUUUCGACUCUCGAACGCUAUUGGGAGGCCUUCUUGCGUAAGGACUCCUCCUAUGGCGAAAUUCGAGGCAUCCGUUUGGACUUCGAAGGGUUUAGUGUGGUCCGGAAGAGCGAGGACGGGUUCCUCCGAAAUUGCCUUCUUCAACUCCUCGAAUGCGCGUUGGCACUCUUCGGACCAAUGCCACAUUAUGUUUUUCUUGAGCAUAUCCGUCAAGGGUGCCGCCUUGGUCGAAUAACCCUUGAUAAAGCGGCGGUAGUAAUUCACCAGCCCAAGGAAUGAGCGAAGCUCGGGAACUUUCGAGGGAGGCUCCCAAUCGAGGAUGGCCUUUACUUUGGCAUUCUCCAUCAUAAUCUUCCCACCAGCAAUCUUGUGGCCAAGGAACUCCGGAAGAGCGAGGACGGGUUCCUCCGAAAUUGCCUUCUUCAACUCCUCGAAUGCGCGUUGGCACUCUUCGGACCAAUGCCACAUUAUGUUUUUCUUGAGCAUAUCCGUCAAGGGUGCCGCCUUGGUCGAAUAACCCUUGAUAAAGCGGCGGUAGUAAUUCACCAGCCCAAGGAAUGAGCGAAGCUCGGGAACUUUCGAGGGAGGCUCCCAAUCGAGGAUGGCCUUUACUUUGGCAUUCUCCAUCAUAAUCUUCCCACCAGCAAUCUUGUGGCCAAGGAACUCCACUUCUUGUUGGGCAAACGAGCACUUUUCCAACUUGAGGAAGAGCUCGAUGUCUUGGAGUACUUGGAGGACUUGUCGCAAGUGUUGGGCAUGAUCCUCGAGUGUGGUGCUAUACACCACGAUGUCGUCCAAGUACACGACCACGAAGCGGUUGAGGAAUGGUUGGAGUACCUUGUUCAUGAGUGUGCAAAAUGUGGCGGGUGCAUUAGUAAGGCCAAAAGACAUCACAAGGAAUUCGAAAGACCUGUACCUUGCUGUGCACGCUGUCUUCGGUUCGUCUCCCUUGGCGAUGCGCACUUGGUAGUACCCGGAACGCAAGUCAAGUUUGGUGAAGUACCGCGCUUUGCCAAGCUGGUCGAACAAGUCCGCAAUCAAUGGAAUCAGAUACUUGUUCUUGAUGGUGAUCUUGUUGAGCGCUCUAUAGUCGAUGCACAUCCGCAGCGAUCCAUCCUUUUUCUUUUGGAAGAGAACCGGUGCACCGAAUGGGGCCUUUGAGGGGUGAAUGUAGCCUGCGUCCAGCAAGUCUUUGAGUUGUCUCCGCAACUCCUCUAGUUCGGGUGGUGCCAUGCGGUAGGGCGCCAAGGCUGGUGGCUUCGGGCCUUGUUCCAGCUCGAUUGCAUGAUCUACCUCUCGUCGAGGUGGGAGCUUCUUCGGAAGUUCUGGAGGCAUCACGUCCUUGAACUCAUUGAGGAUGGUUUGAAUUCGCGGAGGGACUUGGCUUGGCGACGUUCCUCUAUUUCCUUCCUCGUUUAGUUCUCGGAUUGAGACCAAGAAGCUUGGGUCCUUUUUUAAAGCCCUCUUGAAUUGCACGGCGGAGAGUGUCUUCUCCUCGGACUUGCCUCGUUUCGUGAGAACCAUGCAUGCUUUACUCCCGUCGAGGAUGCUUAGGGAGUUUGUAGCAGGCAGCGGGAAAGCAUGCACUUGGUCGAAGAAUUCCAUGCCGAGGACCAUCUUAAAGUCGUCCAUGGGCACGAUGGAGAAGUCAAACUUUCCGCUCCACGUACCAAGUGUGAUGUGCACGCCUUGUGCAAUUCCCGCAAUUGGCUUGGCGGGUGAGUUUACUACCUUCAUUGUGCCUCUUUCCUUAGUAGCCUUGAGGCCUAAGCGCUUGGCCUCGUCUACAGACACGAAAUUGUGCGUUGCUCCCGUGUCUAGUAGCGCGCGAACGGACUGACCGUUUACCUUUGCGCUUACAUACAUGAGCCCUUUCUUGACGAGUGCGGGUUGUUGGCGAUUAAGUGCGCCGAGGCGUUGGAGAGAACCCAUGCUGAGUUGGGGUUCCUCCGCGGACAUUGUGGGGUUGCUCUUGAGUUGGGCAGCAAGAGCGUUAAGUGACCUUUUCUCUGGACAGUCACGUACCCAAUGAGGACCAUUGCAUAUGAAGCAUGGGCUUCGCGGCUUUGGCGCCUCCUUCUUGCCCUCCAAUUUUCCUUGCCCGCUCUUGUUGCUAGGCGACUUUUUCUGCCCUCAAUCUUUGCGGUUGUUGCCCUUGUCCUUGCGACUCUCUCCCCCACCUUUGCCUUGGCUAGACUUCUUGUCUUUGGAUUGGGUAGAGUAUUUGGUGAGCGAUUCCGCAACGGCGAUGGCGUCGUCAAGUGUUUGAACACCACGCCUAUCAAGCUCGGUCUUGGCCCAAUCUUUGAGGCCAUCUUGGAAGUAGAAGAGUAAAUCUUUGUCGGACAUGUUGCUUAUCUCCAACAUAAGGGUAGUGAACUCAUUGAUGUAGUCCUGAAUGCUACCCGAUUGCUUGAGGUGACGUAAGCGCGCUCGCGCUUCCUUCUCCGCAUUGCUUGGGGCGAACUGCUUUCAGAGUUCUUGCUUGAAGUCGGCCCAAGUGUCGAUGGCGCAAAUGCCCUUGCCCAUCUCGCCAUGCUUGCGACGCCACCAUAGUUGUGCAGCGCCUCGAAGAUAGGUGGGUGCAGUGCCCACUUUCGAUGCCUCAUCUCGGACACCCAUGGCAUCGAAGUAUUGAUCCAGCCCGAAUAGGAAGUUGUCCACGAUUGUGGCGUUGCGUGUGCCAUCGUAGGUGUCGAGCUUUGGCACAUCAAUGCGGCGCGCAUCACUCGAGUUUGCGGAAGCUGGACUAGCGGAGAGUGUGCGCUUGUGCCAUGCCCAAUCCGAGCGGACUUCAUCCACUUCCGCACGGACAGCUCGUAGUUCAUCUUGAACAAAACUACGAAGUUUUAGCAACUCAUCAUGAAAAGAACGAAACUCACCUCGGAGAGUGUUUGCUUGCUCUUGGAUGAGAGCUUUGGUUGCCACCGUGAACUCGGCGUAUUCCCCCUCGAGACCGUCCACUCGUUCCUCCAAUCCCUCGAGGCUAUCCUGAGCGGCGGACAAUGCUAUUUCGAGAGUGCCUACACGAGGCUCCAACGCAUCCACGGAUAGGGCCUUGGACUUGCCGCGAGUCUUGCCUUGGGCGCGUUCUCCCUCUCGGCCGCGGCUUGGUUCUGGUGGAGCAUCCACACUAACAACACCCUCUUAUGCUACGUUCGAAGGGUUGGCCAUUGCUUCGUGAGCUAAUUUGUGUGCGUGCAAACCUUAGCUCUGAUACCACUUGUCACGGGAUGAGUGUUUUGCGCAGCUAACCCGUGCGGCACUUAGACAACUUUACCGAAUGUUGCUAAGUAAGCCUAGAGCUUCUCGAACUAGAGAAGAGAGCAAUUGAGCCAAAGAAGAAAACUUGUAUUGCACAAAGAGAGAAUACAAUGCUUGAGUUGCUUACAAUGUUUGUUGGAUACAAAUGCCUAAUGCCAUCCCAUAUUUAUAGGGGAGUCCUAACAAGCUCUAGAGAUUCUAGAGAAUUCUACCCACUAUCUAGAAUUUACAUGUGCUGGAAAGUCAUAGAGAAUUCUAGAAUAUUUACAUGUUCACAUGUGCUAGAGUUGCCUAGAACCUUCCGGAAUUGGGCCAAGCUAGCACUCUUGGCCUUGUAUUGGCUCUCUAACCCGAAAUUGUGGGCAAUUGGGCUAGUGAAUUGGGCGGUCCGCAACACUAAACUGAGUAGAAACUUCCGCACAUCUCUCAGCAUUUACAUGAAGAAAUCGACAACUAUCCUCAUCUCUCAGCACAUCUCUCAGCAUUCUACAAAGUUGCAUUUCACUAAGCAAUCUAUCCUCUCCAUUCCUAGCAAAGUGACAUUGAUUCCCGUAUUUGUAAUCACCUAACUUGGGUUUUGGGCAUAGCGUGGUCUUAAAAUUACCACCCAAUACUUUGUUCAGUGCCAAUGGCAUCCACAAGCUCUAGCCCUGUUAGCUGAAUCAUAUUCAAUGGGACAGUGAGGCAGCAUUUCACUGACAUAUUCAAUUUGACUACUUAUAUUGACGCAAAUAUUAGAAUUUGAAAUCACUUCUUUUCUUGGAAUAUUAUAUUAAAAUGACCCCAAAUGAAAGUUCUUGAAUGGAAAUGAUUUUUAUUUAAUUUUCCAACAGAUUCAAGAAACCCAGAGAACACAAAAUUUACACAGUAAUAUGAUUAAGACCUGAGAACGUACAUGUAGUAAAUGUCUAUCAAAAAACAUCCAAGGGUUUCUUUAAAAUUAGAAACUAGUAAACAAAAAGAAAGAAUCAUUUUACAUUUUUAGCAACUUUGGGGUGAGUGAGGAGUGAGAAAUUGAAACCCUAAAGUGAUGACAACAGUAAGAUUCAGUAUGAAGUGAAACCCCAAUUUGGAAUGUAGGCAUGAGUUGCUGAGUCAGUAGAUGAAGCUAUAAAUAGGCAUUCGGUUUGGAGGGCCAUGGAAUCGUGUACUGGAGUGGGCUCCAAGUAAUAGCCUCUAUCACUGGAACGACACAUCUGUAAAAUGUGAUACAUGGGGAAGGAUUGGGCAUUAUAUUCUUAGAUUAGCGCCUUAUUUAGGGUGUAUAUUAAGCAGAUUAUAUAUUACAUGGAGAUGGAGUUUAUGAAAUAGAUUAAAAAGAAAAGGAAAUUUCAGUGCCUAAAAGUUUGCCACUUGGAAUAUUUCGGUGUCUAAAAAUUCACUCACAAAACUAUAGCUGACAAAAGGUUACUAACAAAAAGUUAGGUCCAUGGGUUGUUAAAACUAUAUAGCUGACAAAAAGUUACUAACAAAAACAGAAUGUCCAUUUUAUAACUUUCUUAAAAAACUUUCCUUAACUUUUUUAAAAAGUUACCAACAAAAACUUAUUUCCAAUUUUUAUUUUGUUAUAAUUUUUAUAACAAAAUUCGUAGUUAACUAAACUCUUCUUAUUCCCUUUCUCAACUGCCAUACCCUAACCCACUAAACCACGCUCAAUUAAGGCCAUCAGAUUCUCCCGGGCCCACAUUAAUCCAACUGCUCACAGAGACCGACAGCCUCUCUAUCUCCAUUUCAAGCUCCCUCUUCAACUGGCUUCUGCGACCGUCCUACUCUUUCUCGGAUUCGGAGUCCGUAUUUGCUCGGCCGGUCCCACGCAACUCCCUCUCACUCCAAUUGUGACCCAACAAGACCAAUUGCUUAAUCAAGGCACAGAACAAGAAGAGGAUGAGAAGUUGAAACAAUAAUUUGAGAAUUGGAAAUCGAAAACGUACGCAUUGACCGUGCCUGUAAGGUUUGUUUCUCUUCAGAAUUCAGUGCCUCAAUCUUGGGUUAAGGAUUUUAUGCGAAGUCAAGGAAAGAGAUUGAAGUUUCAGAUGAAUUUGUGUGCUAGCAUUGAUGGGAUCUUUAACAAUUUAUCUGUGCCCUGUAACAAAGUUAAGGCUAAGUCAGCUUCUUAUAUGGCUGCUGAUUUGGUUAGUGUUGGUGAUUCAUGGCUCAACUUUGCGAUUAAAAAGAGAUUGAUUGAGCCAAUAGCUGGAGCUGAAGAUCAAGAUUGGUUCAAAUACUUAAGUCAAAAAUGGAAGGUAACAUACUAACAUCUUUAUCUUUGACCCGAUAAUUUUUAUUGUCUUACAUUGAAAUUUGGUAAUGUAAUUUGUUCUCUAUUUGUGUUACCCUUAGUAGUCGUUUUAUUUAUUUGUUUAUUUGCUUUUAUUUGCACUAACGAAAUCUCAGGUAUAUCUACGCAGGAAUGAUGCAGGAGAAAUUGAUCCUCGAGGUAAAAUAUGGGCGGCACCAUACAGGUGGGGCACAACGGUGAUAGCCUCCAAGAAAAGUAAAUUUCGAAAGCAUAAUUUGGCUCCGAUUGAGGUAAUAAUUUUCUUUAAACUCAUUUAGUUUUAUAUCAAACAAAAUCAAGACUGCCUUUCUCUUCAAUAUUUUUUAUGAUAAUAUCUUUAGAAGCAUCUCAUUGACAGGUAACAAUGGCAUCCCUAAAAGAGUCUAUAAACUCAAUGAUAUUAUCUUCUACAAAUGGUUCAUUAAACUUUGUCGUUGUACUCAAAUGUACACUCAGAUCAAUGAGAAGCUAUGCCACUUUAGCAUGUAGUGAUGGCACUUAAUAAGUGAGUUGCUAGGAUGUGAACUAGAAAAAUUAAAUAUUGUCUCCUUGGGUAUGCUAGCUCGUAAGUCAGGGUUAAUAUCAGAGCUUAAGAUACUAUAAUUGUGAGAACCUAUUGAUUGCCAAUUAAAAUAUCCAUUAAAAUGUCUAGGGAGUUAUGAAGGUGGAGGUAACUUCCAAUUUCUAAGGCCACAGAGUAAAAUAAUUUGGAUAGAACUAUUGACUACUUAUCUUUAGCAGAAGGUAUAUUUUUAACUACAGCUUUCUGCUUUGUUCUAAGAACUAGGCAAAAGUGGUAUAUCUUCAAUCCAAUCAACAUAUAUACCACGUAUCUUCCUCUUCACUUCUGUCCAUUUUGAUUUGUACUUCAUAUCCUGCACUUGCUGCUUAGAAAUAGUCUUACUCUGGACAUUGAAAGUAGAAAAAGUACUUGAAACAAUCAUUGGCACAGCCCGAGAUUCCAUUGAAUCGUGGACUCCAAGCUUUCAUAGCUCUAUAAAGAAAAUGACAAAACAUCAUACAACUGGCAUUCAGCUUUUAACAUGUGCACAACCUGAGCGAGUUAGCAAGCCCCUUGUUGCGUUCCCAUUGAAUAGACCUACUUCUGUUAUCCACAGAAGAUCCACCACUCAAAAUGUUUAUCACCAAGCCAUUCCUAAACUGAGUAGAAACUUCCGCACAUCUCUCAGCAUUUACAUGAAGAAAUCGACACCUAUCCUCAUAUUUGCAAGUUUUCUGAUAAUAGAACUCUCCACAAAGCUGCAUUUCACUAAGCAAUCUAGCCUCUGCAUUUAUAGCAAAGUGACAUUGAUUCCCGUAUUUGUAAUCACCUAACUUGGGUUUUGGGCAUAGCAUGGUCUUAAAAUUACCACCCAUUACUUUGUUCAGUGCCACUGGCAUUCACAAGCUCUAGCCCUGUUAGCUGAAUCAUAUUUAAUGGGACAGUGAGGCAGCAUUUCACUAACAUGUUCAAUUUGACUACUCAUAUUGACGCAAAUAUUAGAAUUUGAAAUCACUUCUUUUCUUGGAAUAUUAUAUUAAAAUGACCCCAAAUGAAAGUUCUUGAAUGGAAAUGAUUUUUAUUUAAUCUUCCAACAGAUUCAAGAAAACCCAGAUAACACAAAAUUUACACAGUAAUAUGAUUAAGAGCUAAGAACGUACAUGUAGUAAAUGUCUAUCAAAAAACACCAAAGGGUUUCUUUAAAAUUAGAAACUAAGAAUCAUUUUACAUUUUUAGCAACUUUGGGGUGAGUGAGUGAGUGAGAAAGUGAAACCCUAAAGUGAUGACAACAAUAGAUUCAGUAUGAAGUGAAACCCCAAUUUGAAAUGUAGGCAUGAGUUGCUGAGUCAGUAGAUGAAAUUAUAAUUAGGCAUUCGGUAUCUUUCUUUUCGGUUUGGAGGGCCAUGGAAUAGUGUAUUGGAGUGGGCUCUAAGUAAUAGCCUCUAUCACUGCAAUGACACAUUUGCAAAACGUGAUACAUAGGGAAGGAUUGGGCAUUAUACUCUUAUAUUAGUGCCUUAUUUAGGGUGUAUAUUAAGUAGAUUAUAUAUUACAUGGAGAUGGAGUUUAUAAAAUAAAUUAAAAAGAAAAGGAAAUUUAGUGUUUAGAGUUUGCCACUUGGAAUAUUUCGGUGUCUAAACAUUCACUCACCACUUAUUUCAUGUCUGAUUAUAUGUUGAAAAGAUAUUAAAGUAAUUUAACGCAAUUAAGGCUUAACGUAUAUUUUUUAUUAGUAGAGUGUAGAACUUUUAAGAAAUAUAUUAUUAAAUUACUAUAACUAACAUAUUAUUUUAAAGUUGUGUUAUGAAAAAAAAUGAAAUAAAAACGUAAAGUAAAUAAGAAUAUUCUAAAACUUUUAUCUUUUUAAAAUUAGUUUUUAACAUAAGGUGAACAAUUUUUUUUUAAAUCACAUAUUCUAGUUAAAAUCAAAUAUGUAUUUAUAUGAAGCUUGUAAAUUUUUUUUUAGUACUGAUAUUUGAAUAUUAUCAAUAAAAAAAAAAGGGUAAUGUUCAUGCUGCAUUAUUUUUGUAGCACACAAAAGGACAACACCGUUUAUGUUAUAAUACUAUUGCUUCUGUUAUGAUAGUAUUUUUGUUAGUGGCAAAAUAUCAUUUUUUUUUUAAGUAAAAAGGUGGACAGAAUGCAAAUCAGUUUUUAAUCCUCAAUUUCUCCCAAAAUUUAAAUUCGUAAUUAGUCAAAUAAAAUUGAUCGAAAACCAUUAAGCUAGGUCCAUGGGUUGUUAAAACUAUAGCUGACAAAAAGUUACUAACAAAAACAGAAUGUCCAUUUUAUAACUUUCUUAAAAAACUUUCUUUAACUUUUUUAAAAAGUUACCAACAAAAAGUUAUUUCCAAUUUUUAUUUUGUUAUAAUGUUUAUAACAAAAUUCGUAGUUAACUAAACUCUUCUUAUCCCCUUUCUCAACUGCCAUACCCUAACCACGCUCAAUUUAGGCCAUCACAGUGACCGACAGCCUCCCUAUCUCCAUUUCAAGCUCCCUCUUCAACUGGCUUCUGCUUCGGUCGUACUCUUUCUUGGAUUCAGAGUCCGUAUUUGCUCGGCCGGUCCCGCACAACUCCCUCUCACUCCAAUUGUCACCCAACAAGACCAAUUGCUUACUCAAGGCACAGAACAAGAAGAGGAUGAGAAGUUGAAACAAGAAUUUGAGAAUUGGAAAUCGAAAUCGAAAACGUACGCAUUGACCAUGCCUUUAAGGGUUGUUUCUCUUCAGAAUUCAGUGCCUCAAUCUUGGGUUUAGGAUUUUAUGCGAAGUCAAGGAAAGAGAUUGAAGUUUCAGAUGAAUUUGUGUGCUAGCAUUGAUGGGAUCUUUAACAAUUUAUCUGUGCCCUUUAACAAAGUUAAGGCUAAGUCAGCUUCUUAUAUGGCUGCUGAUUUGGUUAGUGUUGGUGAUUCAUGGCUUAGUUUUGCCAUUAAAAAGAGAUUGAUUGAGCCAAUUGCUGGAACUGAAGAUCAAGAUUGGUUCAAAUACUUAAGUCAAAAAUGGAAGGUAACAUACUAACAUCUUUAUCUUUGACCCGAUAAUUUUUAUUGUCUUACAUUGAAAUUUGGUAAUGUAAUUUGUUCUCUAUUUGUGUUACCCUUAGUAGUCGUUUUAUUUAUUUGUUUAUUUGCUUUUAUUUGCACUAACGAAAUCUCAGGUAUAUCUACGCAGGAAUGAUGCAGGAGAAAUUGAUCCUCGAGGUAAAAUAUGGGCGGCACCAUACAGGUGGGGCACAACGGUGAUAGCCUCCAAGAAAAGUAAAUUUCGAAAGCAUAAUUUGGCUCCGAUUGAGGUAAUAAUUUUCUUUAAACUCAUUUAGUUUUAUAUCAAACAAAAUCAAGACUGCCUUUCUCUUCAAUAUUUUUUAUGAUAAUAUCUUUAGAAGCAUCUCAUUGACAGGUAACAAUGGCAUCCCUGAAAGAGUCUAUAAACUCAAUGAUAUUAUCUUCUACAAAUGGUUCAUUAAACUUUGUCGUUGUACUCAAAUGUACACUCAGAUCAAUGAGAAGCUAUGCCACUUUAGCAUGUAGUGAUGGCACUUAAUAAGUGAGUUGCUAGGAUGUGAACUAGAAAAAUUAAAUAUUGUCUCCUUGGGUAUGCUAGCUUGUAAGUCAGGGUUAAUAUCAGAGCUUAAGAUACUAUAACCGUGAGAACCUAUUGACUGCCAAUUAAAAUAUCCAUUAAAAUGUCUAGGGAGUUAUGAAGGUGGAGGUUACUUCCAAUUUCUAAGGCCACAGAGUAGACAUCAUCCAGGAUCCUAGGAAAGUCCAGUUAACCUCCUGCUCGAUGCAAUUAAUAAAUUUGGUCAAUGCCACUGAAACCUGUUAACUGACGUCACAAUGCGACAUGAGCACUUCAAAAUGGGACAGACGGUCAGUAGCACUAAAUUUUUCUUGCCUAAGAUUGAGCAAUUGGUCUAACUACUAAUCCCUAUUGUAGGUUGAUCAUUAUUUUUUCAAUUAUGUUCAGUUUGACCCAAAAAGUUGCAGAAUCUUGAGCAGAAUAUUGUCACUAAACACUGUCAAUGUCGUUUAGGUUAGCCAACUAACUUGAUGUUAAAACAAACACACAGUGUGUCUCAUGUCUCACAAAUCAAAUAAUCAUCUGUAAUGAUGGAGAAUUUUUCCAAUGUAUGAAGUAUGCUUUGAUACGUGGGUUACCUUGGAGAAGAUAUCUCAAAAUAAAGAAUAUGGGGAGAAAACAGUUCAGUAGUUUAUUAUUCUGUAGUCAAGUUUUGUCUCGAAAAUGGUCAAAAUUUAAAUGAAUAAGGACAGGGGAUCUUCAUUCUUUUUUCCCUUUUUUAUACCAAGAUAUCUCUCAACCUUUAUAUAAUCCCCACUGGAUAUCUGCUUCUAAUAAUUAAAAUAAAAAUUUCACCGCUCUAACAAUAAAAAGUAACAUCUUUAGUCAAAUAAUUUACAGUUCCUCAUCAUCUUAGUGUGAGACUAUCAGUACAUUCCAAAAACAUAAUAAAACUGGUUUGAUCCUGUUUAUUGAUGUUUAAAUGUUGUUCAUUGUGACAUGUAGAAAUGAUGAGGUGAAGUUUAUUUGGACAUCAAUUAGUAAGAUCUUGUUUGAAGUUGUUUUCUGAAAUGAACUGCCAAAUGGUAGUUUUUGGGGGCAUUUGAUGGCUCUUUUUUUUUCCUCAUUUUCAACAUAUGCCUGCUUGGAACAGGAAGGAUUAGGCUGCAGAGUUGUUAUAUAUUUUGAGAUGCUCUGGUCAUUGCACAAUUUGUUCACACUGGAAAUUAGAAUGAGAAAUUUGUUGAUGCUGUUUUGAGAGAUCUGCAUUCUAUGCACAAUAACAUGAUUAAUGAAAAUGCAUUGUAGGACUGGAAAGAUCUGUGGCAGCCUGAGCUCGCAGGAAAAAUUUCAAUGGUUAAUUCUCCCCGAGAGGUUAUUGGUUCAGUUUUGAAGUAUAGGGGAGCAUCAUACAAUUCAAACGAUAUUGAUUCGCAAGUUGCUGGUGGGAAGAUUGCUGUUCAGCAGAAUCUGGCAUUACUUGCAAACCAGGUACUCUUACAGAAAUGAUAUAUGGUCAUUGCAUGUUAUUGGCCUGACAACUGAUUUUGUUUGUAAAAGUCUGCUUCUUGAUACAUAUGAAUGCAUGUGUUAGUGUUUUCUUCUCCUUUUCAUACAUAUAAAUGCAUAUGUUAGUGUUGUCUUUUCCUUUUCAUACAUAUUAACACAUAUGUUGGUGUUCUCUCCUGAGAUGGAUGCAAUAAAGGCUUUUGCUCCUAAAUUUAGCUGAAGAAAUGGCAAAGGAUGUGAGAUUCUGUCUCAUUAAAUUAACAAAAACCCAAAACAAUGAAAAUCCAUUAUAAUGUGGUGUGGGUAAAUUGGCUCCAUUUGGUUCAUUUACUUAAUGUGAACGCGCGAGCAGUAGAGACUAACAAAAUGAAGUGACAACAAGAAGUCAGUGUCCUUUGAUGGAUGCAUUUUUAGGCAGAAAUAGGUUUGUAAUUGACCAAAUUUAUCUGGCAUGCCAAUUUCAAAAAAAAAAAUUAUGUGGUUAUUAGCUGUAAUGAAGGGGGAUAGUAGGUGCAAUCAGGUGGAUCCAGGAAAUUUCAACAAAGUUUUGGUAUGGCGUAGGGAAAUUGGUUUGUGCAACUCAGGAGUCUUUCAG
This 124106-nucleotide long non-coding RNA is filed under the name Citrus maxima (pomelo). RNAcentral describes it as "long non-coding RNA (CMAX_LNC001450)". Lineage: Eukaryota; Viridiplantae; Streptophyta; Magnoliopsida; Sapindales; Rutaceae. The record is from RNAcentral.